AUUGAGAUUUUAGCUGAAGUUUGUUAAGCGUCAACAUGUGGUGGUUUAGAUAUGGUAUGCUCGGAAGCCUUGAGUAAUGGUAUUUUAAAUGCCCUGAAAAUGAGUACAGGUGGAGUUUUCCUUAGAAACAUUUGCAUAAGUCAUUUAUUUAUGUGGAACCAUUGAAGUGGUUUUGGGAAUAUUUUGUUUUUUGGAAACUUUCAUCUGUUCAGGGCUUCUUUUGGGAUUUUUUUCUUCUAAAUUCUAGACAUUUUGUUCUAUCCAUAUUUGCAUAUUUAUAAUCAUGGUUAAGCUGUGAUGCUUAAUCCUUAAACCUUGGAUGUAAAACUUUAUUCCCUUUUGGAUCAUAAUGACUGGACGAAGAUGCUUCUGCUCCUGAAUUAUGUAGAAGACAUUUUAGUUUGUUGAAAAUAGAAUCUGUUCUUCCUGUCUUUUGUUUAUUUUUUAAUAGUUGGUUAUAUAUUUUCUCAUAUUCCUUUAGGGCAUCAUGUUCAUGCACAUGUGAGCAAGUUGAUAAAUUUAAACAUCUGCAUCUUUUUUUUUCCCUUAAAGAUAGUGUUUAUGUAAUCAGAUUUUCAUAUUUUUUUGAAGGUUUUGACUCUGCAUUUUUAGUGUAAAAAGGAGCAAUGCUUUUCAUCCCAGCGAAGAGAUGCAUGCAUGGAUCAUUAUUUUUUCUUACGCUACUCUUUGAACUUCAAUUCACUUGUGUUCUAGUUGUUUUUUUCCCCCCAUGUUUUUCUUCUUUUAAAGAGCUUUUGUUGCACCUGGCAAUAUUCAAGCGUUUACCAUUGAGACAGAGUAAAUUGUUGGGUUAAGUAUCAAGUUGUUAAAACCAAGUACUUUGUCCAAGCUGUGAAGGAAAUCUGUGUGGCAUUUGAUGAAUUACAUAAAGAGAAGUCCAUUGGUUUGAGAGAUGAAACUGAUAGAUCAACACCUGGCUGUGAGACUUAAUCUGUUGAUGGGGUUGAGGAUGACGGUGCAAGAUGCAAAAAUGCAUUUGAGAAAUCCAAAGAUGUUGAACAGCUAUGGAAAAAAAAAAAAAAGAAAUGAAAUGAAGUAUGGUUCUUAGGGCAUUUAAACUUAUGGAAAAGUUAGUGGGAGUGCCAACAAAAACAAGAUCCAAGGUAACUAUACAAUUGGCUGAUUUAAUGUCUUCUUCAUAUGUUGUGGCUCUCUAAUUAAAUAAUGUAAUAAUUUGUUAAUAGGGAAAAUAAUUAUUGAAAAUAAACAUCCUAAUCAUGUUAUUUACAAGGGAUGUGUAGCUGUGGAGAAUUUUAUUAUAACUGCAACAAUAGUUGGCUUCCUCAAUUUUGCCAAGAAUAUAUUGUCUGAAAAUAAGAAAUAGAUGUGUCCAUGAACUAAGAGGAGCCAAGCAUGGUUAAAACCUUGAAAUCUUUGGAUUGGUUUAAUAUUUUAAUAUUUUAAAAUAUAUUCUAAAUAAAAUUAAUUUGUUUUUAUUUUAUAUUAACACAAUCGACUGGAGUUGGAUUUUUUUGGUUUCAUAUGUGGUUGUGUUAUUAGAAAAUUUUUUUCUUUUUUGUUCUUUACAACCAUAUUGGCGACAAUAAUCUUGGUUUUCUUUAAUUGAGGGUUGCAUUUUGACCUUUCAUUACUCAAUUGUGCUUUAAGGUACAGUGAAGAUUUUUCUUUCGCAUGAAUGUGGUGAAGAUUUGGAUGAAGUUGAUUUUUGUUGCCCCAGAGAAAAUAAGUUUGUUGAUCUUUUAAAUGAGAAAAUUUUGUUUAGUUGACUGUUUAGUUAAUAUGGUUAAGGAAAAGUUGUGGAUUUGACUACUCAGAUUGUAUAGAGAGUACUUUGUUGAUUUUUUAUUUUCAACAAAGCUCUUUGUUUUCCGUUAGAACUCUAUUUUUGAUUAUUGUAUUCUCUCUGUUUAGAAGGAAGCUUGAAGCCUUGUGUUUUUUUUUUUUUUUUUUUUUUUUUUUAUAUUUGUAUACAAAUAUUAAAGUCUUUAUUCUUCAUCUUUGUCCAAGUUUGGUGUCAUUAUCUUUUCCAAUUUAUUAUUCGAAUUAGCUAUUUUUUUCGUUGUUAGUUUUGAGUUUAAUUUUGAGCUUUUGAUGAAUGAUUUCGGGCGUAGAUUUGUAGUGUAUCAGUAAGUAAAAAAGGCAACGAUUGCUGGUAGUUACCCCAAAUGAUUAUCUUUAAUAUGUUUUUGGAUUUUUAUUUUUCGAUUUGAAAUUUAAUUCAAAUUUAAUAAAAAUAUUUAAUAGUUGAAAUUAAAUUGAAUUGAAGAAAAUAAAUUGGUCCGAAUUGAAUAUUACAUUUUUAAAUUGAUUUUUAAUUUUUUAAUUUUUUUUCCUGUCAUACUAGUUAGCUUUUCUAUAUUCUUUUACGAAGAAUGAUGAUGAAAUCCUUGUUACUAUCAGGAAAAGAGUUCUGACAUUAGUAAAAUAUCCAGAAUUGACUCUCUAAUGUAUAAAAAUGGAUUACAUUUAAGAAAAGCAGAUGCAUCACCAUAAGUAGUAAUUAAUCAAAUUGCGAGAGAAAAUUAUCUUUUGGCAAGUUCUGUGAAAAGUUGUCUUUCUCUUAUUGUUGGUAAAUUUUACUAUUUUUCGAAUUGACAUUUGAAUGAAAUAGUCAUUAAUAUUACAUUCUCCCGAACAUGAUCGAAACGUUAUAGAAAAAGUUUAUAACGAUACGGGUAAUAUUUUUUUUAGUGUGUAAAAUCAAGUAGAGAAUAAUUUUUUUUUUUUUAAGAUUUAUGAGAUAUAAAAUUUAGUUUGUUAUUGUUGUUUAUUUUACUCAGCUUAAUCACAUAUUUUCAUGAGAUAAAAUAUAUUUAAUUUUAUCAUUUAUAUUAAUGGAAUAUAAAAUUUUUAAAUAAAAAUUAAAAAAAUCAUAAAUUAAAUUUUAUCUAUUUUUCAUAUAACAAAAUACAAAUAGAUGACUAAAAAAAUUCAAGCAUAUUAAACUAUAAUAAUUGUCUAAUUAUAUAAAUGGAAAGUAAAAAACAACUAUAUCUAAAGAUGCAAUUAAAAAGUAAAAUUAUUCAAUUUUUUUAAAAAAUAAUGGGAUAAGUUAUAUUUAAUUUUUUUAUUUAUAUUUUAGAUUUGAAGGAAAAGAUAUUUGAUUGGGUUAAAUUAAUAUUCAGGUGUUUAUCUUUUAUAUUCUUUUUAUAUUCUUUAAAAUAAAAAUAAUCUAUUUAUAUACUAUUGAAUUAUAUAAAAAAAUGUCAAUAAAUUUGUUGGUAGAGCAAUGAAAUCUUAAUUUCUAAUUCAAUCAUUGACACUUUCACAUACAAAAAAAGAAAAGUUUAAUUAUAUUCGGAUGAUACUAAAAAAUGAGUUUUUAGGCAUCAACUAGAACAUGCCACACAUAAUUAUUUAGAAGUAUGAAUAUUAUACACUUACCAAUAUCAAAUCAAUUCUCAUUUUAAAUCUUAAUACUAGUUAACUUAUUUAAAAAUAAUUAAUUAAAUAAAAUUUUAAAAAAUUAGGAAAACUUAAAUCGUGUUCUCACAUUUUUAUCUAAAAAAAUUGGAUAUGGCUAGCAUCUUAAAAUUUUAUGUUCAGGCAAAUCGUCAAUGUAAUUUUUUAUUUAUUAUUAAAAUAUUAAAAAGAUUUUAAUAUUAAUAAUUUAAUUUUUUUAAAAUAUAUUUUAAAUUAUAUUAACAAAUAUUAUUUAAUUAAAACAUAAUAAGCAACCAACCUUGAUAGAAACUUUAAAAAUUUUAUUCAAUAUUCGAUUAAGUGAAGACUAACAGCUAAUCUAAUGCACAGACAAAUCUAAUAACAAGAUAUCAUAGAAUCAUUUAUGCUAUUUUAUCGGACAAAGUUUUUACGGUGGCAAAUAAUAAAAACAAAGUAUUUCAUUGCAAUCGAAUAUAUUGCUCAAAAAAUUAAAAAAAAUAAAAGACCAUUCAUUUACUCCAAUGAUCAAGAUUUGUAGGACAAGAGAAAAACAAAUGCAUCAACAUCUAUCAGUUAUAAUUAAUUAAAUUGCAAAUUGAAGGAAACUUUGGCAAGUGAAGUCAAGGUCUUCUAUUUCUCUAUCUUUCUCAAUCUCAGUAGUUGUAAAUUCUACUAUAUAGUGACAAUUUUAUAUUUUUAGUAAUAAAAAUGCAUUUUGUUAGAUUAUAUUCUUCAAAAUGACACUUGAAAAUAUUAGUCAUUAACAUCAUACUCCCUUAUUUUUCUAUAACGUGGUGAAAACGUUAUAGGAAAAUUAUGCAAUAAGACAAUUAGCACUUUGCUUAACAUGUAAAACCAAACAUGAGACCUUCUUUUUCACAAAACUAAAAUUUUCUUCAUGCAACAUACUCAAUUUAGUUGUGUUAUUACAAAUUUUUAAAUACCUGAAUAUCUGAAUUUAAAUCAAAUCAAAUAAGAAAAAAAUCGAUCUUAAUCAAAUAUUAUAUUUUUUAAUUGAUUUUUGAAUUUUGAAUUUUUAUCUUAUUCUACAAGUUAGCUUCAUUAUAUUCUUUUAUGAGGGAUAAUGAUGAAAUCCUCAUGGCUAUGUUGAAAUAGUUCCUAUAUGGCUAUCAGGAGAAGAGUUUUGGCAUUGGCAAAAUAUCAAGAAUUGAAUCUCAAAGGUAUAAAGACGAACUAAAUUUGAGAAAAGCAAAUGCAUCAACAUCAGUAGUAAUUAAUUAAAUUAUAAAUUGAAGGAAAUUAACUUUGACAUGUCCUGUCAAGAUCGUUUUUCUCUCGUCGUUGAUAAGUUCCACUAUUUUUCGAAUUGACAUUUGAAUGAAUUAGUCAUUAACAUCACUCUUUCUCGAACGUAACUGAAAAGUUAUAGAAAAAAUUUGUAAUAAAACAAGUAAUAUUUUCUAGUGUGUAAAAGCGAGUAGAGAAGAACUUAUUUUCCACAAAACUAAAACCUUUGUUCACGCUACAAACUAGACAACAGAAACUCAUUGUCAAGCAAAUUUGAGUUAAUUUCACCAAUUACUUUCUAUCAGGGCCACCCAACAUCAUUAAAUGCAUUACCCAAAUUGCAAGUGAUGUUUUGACCCCAAACCCAAUUUCGGUGCGAAGAGGAGCUAGCUCAUUACCGAACUGGGUUUUUACUAAUUGGCUUCCAUUUUACUAUUUUAUUUUUUAAAAUUUUAUGCCAUUUAAUUUCUAAUUACCAACAUGAAUUAAAUUUAUUAUUUUUAAAACAUAAAAUAAUGCAUUCAAUAAAAAUAAAAAAUAACGAAAAAUUAAAUUAAAUAAGAGAAUUUUAUUUUAUUUUAAUUUUUUUUAAAUUCAAUAUUUUAUAUUUAUUGUUUUGGAUUUAUUAUUAUUCUUAUUCUUUUAAAAGUUUAUAUUUAGAAUUAGUAUUUUCUUAUUAUUGCCUUUAUAUGUUUUAUAAGUAUUAUUAAAAUUAAUUCCAUAUUAUUCAAUUUUAAAAUUAUUUUUCAUAAAUAACUUUUUUAAAAAUGUACCAUGCAACAUGAGGGCAUCAUUCUAGUGAUAUAUUAAAGUAUAAAUUUUUUUCCUUAAUUAAUAGCUCAUAUAAUUUUUUACAAUUAAAACUAUGUAAUUUAGCACUAUGUUAUUGAUAGACAAAUCUAAACAUUUGGUAUUCAUAGUUUAUAGUUUAAGAAUCUAUGUAUACAUAUACCUAUAUGUAUUUCAUUUAAUUAACGUGAAUAUGAAGGCAAAGUCAAUGUCAAGAUCCCCCCAAACAAUAAAAUAUUUGGUAUUAUAUAAUCUCGUAGACUUAAAAGUAGUUAUGGACCGGAACUCACAAUAAAAGUUUUUUUUCUUUCCACGGAAAAUAAAAUGUAGCAGAAAGCCACAUGGAAAGUGUGGAAAGAAUUUUUUAUCCCACACUCCAUGAUUUUAUGACUCACACUUUGGAUUAAAGUAUUAAUUACAAAAUAACAAAAUGAAAACCCAAUAGCAGUUGGAGCCGCCAAUUUGUCCGUUUUGAUUAUAUUUAUUACUCUCUCUGUCUCUUUUUUUUUAUUUUUUUAUAAUGUCCUAAAAUUAUAUAUUUUCUUUUUAAACAUCUAAAACAUUUACUUUUUUAUAUUUUAAAAUUAUUGUUAAGAUUUUUUUAUUUUUAAUAUUAAAAAUUAUGAAACUUUAAUUUUAUAAAAAAAAUUUAAAUUUUAAUAUUAAAUACAUUAAAGUCAAAAUUUUUUUAAACUCUGUAAAAGUCAAUAAAUAACAAAUAUUUUGAGACGGAGGGAGUAUUAAAAUAUCAAAAUUAUAUUGAAAGCAAAAUAAAUUUUCUUUAAAACAAAAAAUAAAUUUGCAUAUAAAUUCAAAUAAAUAAUAUUUAAAGGAAUAUAUAUUUUUUGAGAAAUAGUACAAACAAUUUUAAGCAAAUUCAAUUUAAAAUACACACUUAAAAUUUUUAUCAUUUCAAAACAUCAACCAAUUUAAAGUUAACAUUAUUAAUUAAGGAUUGAAAUAUUUAAAUUAAUAAAUUAUCAAAGGCAUAUAUAUAUAUAUACAUAUAUAUAUAUAUAUGUCGUUUACUACAUAUUUGCAGUUUUAAAGUUUAUAGUUUUUAAUAUAGUAUAGGUAAAUAUAGAUAUAGUAAAAUCUUAUAAAGCAAAUAACAUUAACCCAAUGAAAGUACCUAAUAUAUUCAACAUUUUCUCUUCCCUUAAAACUUCUUGAAAUGUAUCAAAAAAUGGAAUUAACAAAGUGGUCUUACAUUUUUCUUUUGGUAUUUAUCUAAGCCUAUAACGUUUGACUUACAAAAUCAAAGUAAUUUACUCACAUUUUAAGUAUUACUCCAACAUUUGGGUGUUUGUCUUUUAUAUUCUUUAAAACGAAAAUAAUUUAAUUAUCCACUGUUGAAUUAUAUAAAAUAUGUCAAUAAAUAUAUUGGUAGAGCAAUGAAAUCUUAAUUUCUAAUUUAAUCAUGGACACCUUCAAAUAAAAAAAAAAGUUUAAACUGAUGAUCCUAAAAAUUGAGUUUUUAGGCAUCAACUAGAAACAUGCCACACAUAAUUAUUUAGAAGCUUUUUAUGAAUAUUAUAAACUUACCAACAUCAAACCAAUUCUAAUUUUAAACCUUAAUGCUAGUUAACUUAUUUAAAAAUAAUUAAUGAAAUAAAAUUAAAAAGAAAUUAGGAAAACUUAAAUUGUUUUCUCACAUUUUCAUAGAAAAAAAAUCGAACAUGUUUAGCACCUUAAAACUUAUGUUCAAACAAAUCAUCAAUUUCAUUUGUUAUUUAUUAUUAAAAUAUUAAAAGAUUUUAAUAUUAAUAAUGUAAUAUUUUUAAAUAUAUUUUAAAAUAAAUUAACAAAUAUUAUUUAAUUAAAACAUAAUAAGCAAUCAACCUUGAUAGAAACUUUAAAAAUUUUAUUCAAUAUUCAAUUAAAUAGAGAUUAGUAGAUGAUCUGAUAUAUAGACAGGUCUAAUAACUAGGUAUCAUAGAAUCAUUUACGCUAUUUUAUAAGACAAUGCCCUUACGGUGACAAAUAAUAAAAACAAAUUAUUUCAUUACAAUCAAAUACAUUGCUCAAAAAAAAAAAAAGACCAUUCAUUUACUCCAAUGAUCAAGAUUUGUAGGACAAGAGAAAAGUAAAUGCAUCAGCAUCUAUCAAUUGUAAUUAAUUAAAUUGCAAAUUGAAGGAAACUUUGGCAAGCGAAGUCAAGGCCUUCUAUUUCUCUUUCUUUCUCAAUCUCAUUAGUUGUAAAUUCUACUAUAUAUUGACAAUUUUAUAUUUUUAGUGAUAAAAAUGCAUUUUGUUAGAAUAUAUUCUUCGAAAUGACACUUGGAAAAACUAGUCCUUAACAUCACACUUCCCUAUUUUUCUAUAACGUGAGAGAAAAAUUAUGCAAUGAGACAAUUAGUAUUUUGUUUAGCGUGUAAAACCAAGCAUAAGACCUUAUUUUCCACAAAACUAAAACUUUCUUCACGCUACAUACUCAAUGUAGUUGUGUUAUUAGAAAUUUUUAAAUAUCUGAAUAUCCAAAUUUAAACUAAAUCAAUAAGAAAAAAAUUGAUCCUAAUCCAAUAUUAUAUUUUUGAAUCAAUUUUUUAUUUUUUAAUUUUUAUCUCAUCCUACAAGUUGGCUUCUUUCUGUUCUUUUAUGAGGAAUGAUGAUGAAAUCCUCAUGGCUAUGCUGAAAUGGUUCCUAUAUGGCUAUCAGGAGAAAAGUUUUGGCAUUGGCAAAAUAUCAGGAAUUAAAUCUCAAAGGUAUAAAGACGGAUUACAUUUGAGAAAAGCAAAUGCAUCAACAUCAGUCGUAAUUAAUUAAAUUGUAAAUUGAAGGAAAUUAUCUUUGGCAAGGUCCUGUCAAGAUCGUCUUUCUCUCAUCGUUGAUAAAUUUCACUAUUUUUCGAAUUGACAUUUGAAUGAACUAAUGAUUAACAUCACUCUCUCUCGAACGUAGCCGAAACGUUAUAGAAAAAAUUUGCAAUAAAACAAGUAAUAUUUUCUUUAGCGUGCAAAAACAAGCAGAGAAGAACUUAUUUUCCACAAAACUAAAACCAUUGUUCACGCUACAAACUAGACAAUAGAAACUCAUUGUCAAGCAAAUUUGAGUUAAUUUCACCAAUUACUUUCUAUAAGGGCCACCCAACAUCAUUAAAUGCAUGACUUGAAUUGCAUGUUUUGACCCCAAACCCAAUUUCGGUGCGGAAAGGAGCUAGCUCAUCACCGAAUUGGGCUUUUACUAAUUGGCUUCCAUUUUACUAUUUUAUUUUUUAAAAUUUUAUGCUAUUUAAUUUCUAAUUACCAACAUGAAUUAAAUUUAUUAUUUUUAAAACAUAAAAUAAUGCAUUGAAUAAAAAUAAAAAAAUAACGAAAAUAAUAAAUUGAAUAAGUGAAAAUUUAUUUUAUUUCAAUUUUUUUAAAUUCAAUAUUUUAUAUUUAUUGUUUUGGAUUUAUUAUUAUUCUUAUUCUUUUAAAAAUUUAUAUUUUAGAAUUAGUAUUUUUUUAUUAUUGCUGUUAUUAUGUUUUAUAAGUAUUAUUAAAGUUAAUUACCAUAUUAUUCACUUUAAAAUUAUUUUUCAUAAAUAACUUUUUAAAAAAUGUCCCAUGCAACAUGAGGGCAUCAUUCUAGUGAUAUAUUAAAGUUUAAAUUCUUUUCCUUAAUUAAUAUCUCAAUUAAUUUUUUACAAUUAAAAUUUUAUAAUUUAUCACUAUGUUAUUGAUAGACAAAUCCAAACUUUUGGUAUUCAUAGUUUAAGAAUUUAUAUAUACAUAUAUAUUCCAUUUAAUUAACGUGGAUAUGAAGGUAAUGUCAAUGUCAAGAUUCCCUCAACCAAUGAAAUAUUUGAUGUUAUAUAGUCUCGUAGACUUAAAAUUAGACAUCGACUGGAACUCGCAAUAAAAGUUUCUUCUUUCUAUGAAGAAAUAGAAUGUAGCAAGAAGCUACAUGGAAAGGGGGAAAGAAUUUUUUAACCCAAACUCCACGAUCUUAUGUAAAGUCACACUUUGAGCUAAAGUAUUAAUUACAAAAUAACAAAAUGAAAACCCAAGCAGCAGUUGGAGCCCUAGCCAAUUUGUCCGUUUUGAUUAUAUUUAUUACUUCCUUUGUCUAUUGUUUUUUAUUCAUCUUUUCCUUUUGGAAUGUUCUAAAAUUAUGUUUUAUUUUAUUUUUUGAACAUCUAAAACACUUACUUUUUAUAUUUUAAAAUUAUUUUUUAUUUUUUAUUUUACUUUUUGAUAUUAAACAUCAUGAAACUUUAAUUUUAUAAAAUAAUUUAAAUUUUAAUAUUAAAUACAUUAAAAUCAAAACUUAUUUCUUAAACUCCAUAAAAGUCAAUAGAUAACAAACAUUUUGGGACGAAGGAAGUAUUAAAUAUCAAAUUAUAUUGAAAGCAAAAUAAAUUUUCUUUAAAACAAAAAAUAAAUUUGCACUUAAAUUCAAGUAAAUAAUCUUUAAAAGAAUAUAUAUUUUUUGAGAAAUUGUAAAAACAAUUUUAAGCAAAUUCGAUUUAAAAUACUACUUAAAAUUUUUAUCAUUUCAAAACAUCAACCAAUUUAAGGCUAACAUUAUUAAUUAAGGAAGAAAUAUUUAAGUUAAUGAACUAUCAAAGGCACACACACACACACACACACACAUAUAUAUAUCGUUUGCUAUAUAUUGGCACUUUUAAAGUUUAUAGUUUUUAAUAUAGUAUAGAUAAAUAUAGAAUAGUAAAAUCUUAUAAAGCAAAUAACAUUAACCCAAUGAAAGUACCUAAUAUAUUCAAGAUUUUCUCUCCCCUUCAAACUUCUAGAAAUGUAUAAAAAAUGGAAUUAACAAAGUGGUCUUACAUUUUUCUUUUGGUGUUUAUGCAAGCCUAUAGCAUUUGACUUACAAAAUCUAAGUAAUUUACUCUCAUUUUAGGUAUUACUCUUAAUAUUUUCUUUCUAAAAUUUAAAUUUGAGACUUUCAAGUUAAAUAUGUUGUCUUUGAGUCAGUAUCUUAUAUAUUAUGAAUAUGAUCAUAUAUAUUGGAUGCAAUGUUGUAAGGUGAAUAGGACAAUACCACCUCAUUAAUGAAUAAAUUUUUAAAAAUAUAUAUUAAUUUUUGUAUAUUUUAUUUUAUGUACUGAUAUUUAUUCAUUAAUAAAUUGACAUCAUCUUAUUCAGUUACAAUAUAUAGAAUCUAUAUACUAAUGCAUUAAAUAUAAACCCAAAAUGAAAUUACUUAUAGUAAAAUAAAAGAAUUUGAUGAAACCAACAAAAACAUAAAAGUAAAAUUGUAAACUUUUAUUAUGGUAGAACUUAUAAUAUCAUUAUUCAUUUCUGAACCAAUUUUUUUAAUACGUUAAAAGCUCGAAUUUAUAAAGAAAUAUGAAAAGAAAAAAAAAACUCUUAGUUGACAAAUCAAAAUAUUUUGUGUUCAUACCUUAAGAAUCCAAGUAUACAAAUAUAUAUAUAUAUAUAUAUAUAUAUUCCAACUGAUUAUAGUGGAUAUGAAGGCAAUGUCAAUUUCAAGGUUGACGCCAUUGUCAAUAUUUGAUGUUAUAGUCUUUUAGACUUAAAAAAAAAAAAAAGAAAAGUAGAUAUAUUGACCGGAACUUGCAAUAAGAUUUUCUUCUUUCCAUGAAGAAAUAGUAUGUACCAGGAAGCUACAUGGAACAUUAAGUGUGGAAAAAUUUUUUUUCUCUCAUUGAUUUUUCUUUUUAUCAAAUUAACUCAACUUUAACCAUUAAUUUUGAAAAUAUAAUGUAAUAAUAAAUUUUCAAAAAUAUAUAAUUUGAAAACUUUGGAAUUCAAAAUUUCAAGUCUUAGUUUUUAAAAAUAUAUAGCAUUAUAAUCUUCUGAAAAAUAAUAGUUAAAGUUGAGUUCAUUUAAUAAAAAAAGUCACUAAAAACAAAUUAAUUGAAAUGGAUAGAACAUUAAACACCGAAACAAAUUUGACAUUGUACUAUGGAUUAAUAUUUAAUUUUUUCCUUAAAAUUUAAUUCGUUGAAUUUUGUCACAAUACUUUUAAUUUAGGUAAUUUUUUAACAAAAAUGAAGAAAUUGAAAUAAUUCACGAAAUAAUUUAUUUAUGCAAACGACAAAUCUGCUCAAUGCACUGUCAAUUAAUGUUGAUUUUGAAUAUAUCAGUAUGAAAAUGACAAACUUUCAUUAAUUUCAUCCCUUAUAUUCAAAAGUCAUUUUUUAGAGAUGGCUAUUAUUGGGUAACUCCUUGAUUGGCUAUAUAUAUUAAGCUCCAUGCAAGGCUUAUUGUUAUAUAUUUAAUUUUAUCAUUUAUAGUAAUGGAAUAUAAAAUUUUUAAAUAAAAAUUAAAAAAAUCAUAAAUUAAAUUUUAUCUAUUUUUCAUAUAACAAAAUACAAAUAAAUGACUAAAAAAAAUUCAAGCGUAUUAAACUAUAAUAAUUUUCUAAUUAUAUAAAUGGAAAGUAACAAACAACUAUAUCGAAAGAUAAAAUUCAAAAAUAAAAUUAUUCAAUUUUUUUGAAAAAAUAAUAGGAUAAGAUAUAUUUAAUUUUUUUAUUUAUAUUUUAGAUUUGAAGGAAAAGAUAUUCGAUUGGGUUAAAUUAAUAUUCAAGUGUUUAUCUUUUAUAUUCUUUAAAACAAAAAUAAUCUAUUUCUAUACUAUUGAAUUAUAUAAAAUAUGUCCAUAAAUUUGUUGGCAGAGCAAUGAAAUCUUAAUUUCUAAUUCAAUCAUUGACACUUUCAAAUACAAAAAAAAAAAAAAAAGUUUAAUUAUAUUCAGAUGACACUAAAAAAUGAGAUUUCAGGCAUCAACUAGAACAUGCCACACAUAAUUAUUUAGAAGUAUGACUAUUAUAUACUUACCAACAUCAAAUCAAUUCUCAUUUUAAAUCUUAAUACUAGUUAACUUAUUUUAAAAUAAUUAAUUAAAUAAAAUUUUAAAAAAUUAGGAAAACUUAAAUCGUGUUCUCACAUUUUUAUCUAAAAAAAUUGGAUAUGGCUAGCAUCUUAAAAUUUUAUGUUUGGGCAAAUCGUCAAUGUAAUUUUUUAUUUAUUAUUAAAAUAUUAAAAAGAUUUUAAUAUUAAUAAUUUAAUAUUUUUAAAUAUAUUUUAAAUUAUAUUAACAAAUAUUAUUUAAUUAAAACAUAAUAAGCAAUCAACCUUGAUAGAAACUUUAAAAAUUUUAUUCAAUAUUUGAUUAAGUGGAGACUAACAAAUAGUAUGAUGCACAGACAAAUCUAAUAACAAGAUAUCAUAGAAUCAUUUAUGCUAUUUUAUUGGACAAUGUCUUUACGGUGGCAAAUAAUAAAAACAAAGUUUUUCAUUGCAAUCGAAUAUAUUGCUCAAAAAAAAAAAAAAGACCAUUCAUUUACUCCAAUGAUCAAGAUUUGUAGGACAAGAGAAAAGCAAAUGCAUCAACAUCUAUCAGUUAUAAUUAAUUAAAUUGCAAAUUGAAGGAAACUUUGGCAAGCGAAGUCAAGGUCUUCUAUUUCUCUAUCUUUCUCAAUCUCAUUAGUUGUAAAUUCUACUCUAUAGUGACAAUUUUAUAUUUUUAGUGAUAAAAAUGCAUUUUGUUAGAAUAUAUUCUUCAAAAUGACACUUGAAAAAAUUAGUCAUUAACAUCAUACUCUCCCUUAUUUUUCUAUAACGUGGUGGAAACGUUAUAGAAAAAUUAUGCAAUAAGACAAUUAGUAUUUUGCUUAGCGUGUAAAACCAAACAUAAGACCUUAUUUUCCACAAAACUAAAAUUUUCUUCACGCUAUAUAUUCAAUGUAGUUGUGUUAUUAGAAAUUUUUAAAUAUCCGAAUUUAAACCAAAUCAAAUAAGAAAAAAAUUGAUCCUAAUCAAAUAUUAUAUUUUUGAAUCAAUUUUUUAUUUUUUAAUUUUUAUCUUAUUCUAUAGGUUAGCUUCUUUAUAUUCUUUUAUGAGGAAUAAUGAUGAAAUCCCCAUGGCUAUGCUGAAAUGGUUCCUAUAUGGCUAUCAGGAGAAGAGUUUUGGCAUUGGCAAAAUAUCAAGAAUUGAAUCUCAAAGGUAUAAAGACGGACUACAUUUGAAAAAAGCAAAUGCAUCAACAUAAGUAGUAAUUAAUUAAAUUGUAAAUUGAAGAAAAUUAACUUUGGCAAGUCCUGUGAAGGUCGUUCUUCUCCCAUUGUUGGUAAAUUUCACUAUGCUUCGAAUUGAUAUUUGAAUGAAUUAGUCAUUAACAUCACUCUUUCUCUAGAACAUAGCUAAAACGUUAUAGAAAAAAUUUACAAUAAAACAAGUAAUAUUUUCUUUAGCGUGUAAAGCAAGCAGAGAAGAACUUAUUUUCCGCAAAACUAGAGCUUAUUUUUCACAAAACUAAACCUUUGUUCACGCUGCAAACUAGACAAUAGAAACUCAUUGUCCAGCAAAUUUGAGUUAAUUUUUUCAAUUACUUUCUAUCAGGGGCACCCAACAUCAUUAAAUGCAUGACCUAAAUUGCCGGUGAUUUUUUGACCCCAAACCAAUUUGAAUUGUAAUUAAUUAAAUUGUAAUUAAUUAAAUAGUAAAUUGAAGGAAACUUUGGCAAAUGCAUCUCUGUCUUAUUGAUCUCAUCAGUUGUAAAUUUUACUACAUAGUGAUAAUUUUAUAUUUUUAAUAACAAUUUUUACCUUCACUGAAAAUGUAAUUUACUAGAAUAUAUUCUUCGAAAUGACACUUGAAAGAACUAACCAUUAACAUCACACUAUCUUGAACGUGUUCGAAAUGUUAUAAAAAAAUUAUGCAAUGAGACAAUUAGUAUUUUACUUAACGUGUAGAACCAAACAAAAUACCUUAAUUUCCACAAAACCAAAACUUUCUUCACGCUACAAAGUCAAAGUAGAAACUCUCAAACAUCAUUAAGUGCAUGAAUUGAAGUGGCUGUGCUGUUUUGACCCAAACGCGUUUCCAAUGCAAAUAUAAUACUAACAUUGCACUUGACUAAAUUGCAAUUUAAAGGAAAUUAAUAUUGGCAAAUCCCGUCAAAGUUGUCUUUUUCUCGUCUUGAUAAAUUUCAUUAUUCUUCGAAUUAAUAUUUGAAUGAAUUGGUCAUUAAUAUCACACUCUUCCAAACGUAGCCAAAACGUUAUAAACAAAGUCUACAACAAAAAAAGAAAUAGUUUCCUUAGCGUGUAAAACAAAGCAGAAGAACUUAUUUUCCACAAAAUUAAAAACUUUGUUGACUCUACAAACUAGAAAGUAGAAACUCAUUGUCAAGCAAAUUGGAGUUAAUUUCACCAAUUACUUUCUAUUUGGACCACCCAACAUCAUUAAAUGCAUGACCUGAAUUGCCAACGACGUUUUUGACCCCAAACACAAUUUCGUUUUGACCCCAAAUGCGGUUAUUACUUGUGUUUGAAUUGGAUUUUUCAUGUAUAAAAAGCUAGAUGCAAGAAUGCAUUUGAGAAAUAUGAAGAUUUUGAACAACUUUGGAAAAAAUAAAUGGAAUGAAUCCUUUUUUAUCAGAUUAUUUAAUUAUAGUAUGAAAAAGUUAGUUGGUUGCCAAUAAAUUUAAGAUCCAAGGGCACUAUACAAUUGGCCAAUUCAAUGUCUUUAUAUGUUGUGCCUUUCAAAUUAAACAUAGUAAUAAUUUGUUAAUAAGGAAAAUAAUUAUUGAAUAUAAACAUCCUAAUCAUGCUGUUUGCAAGGGACAAGUAACUAUAGAGAUUUAUAUAUAUAAAUUACAAUUAUGUGUUAGUAAUGUGUUAUGAAGAGAAUUUAUACAUUAUAUUAACGCUUCAAUUGGUUUCCAUUUUACUAUUUUAUCUUUUAAAAUUUACGCUUGUUAAUUUCUAACUACCAACAUGAAUUAAAUUUAUUAUCUUUAAAAAAUAAAAUAAUGUAGCAUGAGGUUUUACCCAAUAAAAGUUUCCUUUUUCCAUGAAGAAAUAGGAUGCAGCAGAAACCCACAUAGAUAAUGGUGAAAAGAGUUUUUAACCCAAAGUUCACUAUUUCAUGCACAAAUCACACUUUUGGCUAAUUACAAAAUGACAAAAUGAAAACCCAAGCAUUAGCGAGAGCUCAAGCAAUUUUGUCCGUUUUUAUUAAAUUUAUUAUCAAAAUUAUAUUGAAUCCCAAAUAAAUUUUCUUUAAAACAAUAAUUAAAAUAUUUUGUAUUCAUAUUUUAAGAAUCUAAGUAUACAAAUAUAUAUUCCAAUUAAAUAAAGUGGAUACGAAGUCAAUGUCAAUUUCAAGGUUGACGCCAUUGUCAAUAUUUAAUGUUAUAGUCUUUUAGACUUAAAAAAAAUUGAAAAAGUGGACAUAUUGACCGGAACUUACAAUAAGAUUUUCUUCUUUCCACGAAGAAAUAGUAUGUACCGGGAAGCUACAUGGAACAUUAAGUGUGGAAAUAAUUUUUUCUUUCAUUGAUUUUUCUUUUUAUCAAAUUAACUCAACUUUAACCAUUAAUUUUGAAACUAUAAUGUAAUAAUAAAUUUUCAAAAAUAUAUAUUUUGAAAACUUUGGAAUUCAAAAUUUCAAGUCUUAGUUUUGAAUAAAAAAACGAUAUUGAAAUAUUUAACGAAAUAUUCUAUCAGCAUGAAAAUAAUCUAUUUAUAUACUGUUGAAUUAUAUAAAAUAUGUCAAUAAAUCUAUUGGUAGAGCAAUGAAAUCUUAAUUUCUAAUUUAAUCAUGAACACCUUCAAAUAAAAAAAUGUAAAUUAUAUUAGGAUGAUCCUAAAAAUUAAGUUUUUAGGCAUCAACUAGAAACAUGCCACACAUAAUUAUAUAGAAGCUUUUGAUGAAUAUUGUACACUCACCAACAUCAAACCAAUUCUCAUUUUAAAUCUUAAUACAAGUUAACUUAUUUAAAAAAAUUAAUGAAAUAAAAUUAAAAAGAAAUUAGGAAAACUUAAAUCGUUUUCACAUUUUCAUCUAAAAAAAUCGAACAUGGUUAGCAUCUUAAAGUCUUAUGUCCAAACCAAAUCAUCAAUUUCAUUUUUUAUUUAUUAUUAAAUUAUUAAAAGAUUUUAAUAUUAAUAAUUUAAUAUUUUUAAAUAUAUUUUAAAUUAAAUUAGCAAAUAUUAUUUAAUUAAAACAUAAUAAGCAAUCAACCUUGAUAGAAACUUUAAAAAUUUUAUUCUAUAUUCGAUUAAGUGGAGACUAACGGACAGUCAGAUGAAUAGACAAGUCCAAUAACAAGAUAUCAUAGAAUCAUCUGUAGUAUUUUAUAUAGACAAUGUCCAAUUUACAGUGGCAAAUAAUAAAAACAAAUUAUUUCAUUGCAAUAGAAUAUAUUGCUUAAAAAAAAAAAAAAACAAGACCAUUCAUUUACUCCAAUGAUCAAGAUUUGUCAGACAAGAGAAAAGCAAAUGUAUUAGCGUCUAUCAGUUGUAAUUAAUUAAAUUGCAAAUUGAAGGAAACUUUGUCAAGUGAAGUCAAGGUCUUCUAUUUCUCUAUCUUUCUCAAUCUCAUCAGUUGUAAAUUCUACUAUAUAGUGACAAUUUUAUAUUUUUAGUGAUAAAAAUGGAUUUUGUUAGAAUAUAUUUUUUGAAAUGACACUUACAAAAACUAGUCAUUAAUGUCACACUCCCUUAUUUUUCUAUAACGAAUUGGAAACGUUAUAGAAAAAUUAUGCAAUGAGACAAUUAGUAUUUUGCUUAGCGUUUAAAACCAAGCACAAGACCUUAUUUUCCACAAAACUAAAACUUUCUUCACGCUACAUACUAAAUGUAGUUGUGUUAUUACAAAUUUUUAAAUAUUUGAAUAACCAAAUUUAAACCAAAUCAAAUAAGAAACAAAUCAAUCCUAAUCAAAUAUUUAUUUUUGAAUUGAUUUUUUAUUUUUUAAUUUUUAUCUCAUCCUACAGAUUAGCUUCUUUAUAUUCCUUUAUGAGGAAUGAUAAUGAAAUCUUCAUGGCAAUGAUGAUGAAAUCUUCAUGGCAAUGCUGAAAUGGUUCCUAUAUGGCUAUCAGGAGAAGAGUUUUGGCAUUGGCAAAAUAUCAAGAAUUGAAUAUCAAAGGUAUAAAGACGGACUACAUUUGAAAAAAACAAAUGCAUCAACAUCAGUAGUAAUUAAUUAAAUUGUAAAUUGAAGGAAAUUAACUUUGGUAAGUCUUGUCAAGAUCGUCUUUCUCUCAUCGAUGAUAAAUUUCACUAUUUUUCAAAUUGAGAUUUGAAUAAAUUAGUCAUUAACAUCACUCUCUCUCGAUCGUAGCCGAAACGUUAUAGAAAAAAUUUGCAAUAAAACAAGUAAUAUUUUUUUAGCGUGUAAAUGCAAGCAGAGAAGAACUUAUUUUCCACAAAACCAGAACUUAUUUUCCACAAAACUAAAACCUUUGUUCAUGCUACAAACUAGAAAAUAGAAACUUAUUGUCAAGCAAAUUUGAGUUAAUUUUUCCAAUUACUUUCUAUCAGGGCCACACAACAUCAUUAAAUGCAUGACCUGAAUUGCCAGUGACGUUUUGACCCCAAACCCAAUUUCAGUGCGAAAAGGAGGUAGCUCAUCACCGAACUCGGUUUUUACUAAUUGGCUUCCAUUUUACGAUUUUAUUUUUUAAAAUUUUAUGCCAUUUAAUUUCUAAUUACCAACAUGAAUUAAAUUUAUUAUUUUUAAAAAAUAAAAUAAUGCAUAGAAUAAAAAUAAAAAAUAAAAAAAAUAAUAAAUUGAAUAAGUGAAAAUUUAUUUUAUUUUAAAUUUUUUAAAAUUCAAUCUUUUAUAUUUAUUGUUUUGGAUUUAUUAUUAUUCUUAUUCUUUUAAAAGUUUAUAUUUUAGAAUUAGUAUUUUGUUUUUUAUUGCCUUUAUUAUGUUUUAUAAGUAUUAUUAAAAUUAAUUACCAUAUUAUUCAAUUUAAAAUUAUUUUUCAUAAAUAACUUUUUUAAAAAAUGUACCAUGCAACAUAAGGGCAUCAUUCUAGUGAUAUACUAAAGUAUAAAUUUUUGUCCUUAAUUAAUAGCUCAUAUAAUUUUUUAGAAUUAAAAUUAUGUAGUUUAGCACUAUGUUAUUGAUAGACAAAUCUAAACAUUUGGUAUUCAUAGUUUAAGAAUCUAUGUAUACAUAUAUAUAUGUAUUUCAUUUAAUUAACGUGAAUAUGAAGGCAAUGUCAAUACCAAGAUCCCCUCAAAUAAUGAAAUAUUUGAUGUUAUGUAAUCUCAUAGAUUUAAAAAUCAUGAAACUUUAAUUUUAUAAAAAGAAUUUAAAUUUUAAUAUUGAAUACAUUAAAGUCAACUUUUUUCUUAAAUUCCAUAAAAGUCAAUAAAUGACAAAUAUUUUGGAAUGGAAGGAGUAUUAAAAUAUCAAAAUUAUAUUGAAAGCAAAAUAGAUUUUCUUUAAAAACAAAAAAUAAAUUUGGAUUUAAAUUCAAAUAAAUAAUCUUUAAAAAUAUAUAUUUUUUGAGAAAUAUUACAUAACAAUUUUAAGCAAAUUCAAUUUAAAAUACACAGUUAAAAUUUUUAUCAUUUCAAAACAUUGACCAAUUUAAAGUUAACAUUAUUAAUUAAGGAUGANNNNNNNNNNNNNNNNNNNNNNNNNNNNNNNNNNNNNNNNNNNNNNNNNNNNNNNNNNNNNNNNNNNNNNNNNNNNNNNNNNNNNNNNNNNNNNNNNNNNNNNNNNNNNNNNNNNNNNNNNNNNNNNNNNNNNNNNNNNNNNNNNNNNNNNNNNNNNNNNNNNNNNNNNNNNNNNNNNNNNNNNNNNNNNNNNNNNNNNNNNNNNNNNNNNNNNNNNNNNNNNNNNNNNNNNNNNNNNNNNNNNNNNNNNNNNNNNNNNNNNNNNNNNNNNNNNNNNNNNNNNNNNNNNNNNNNNNNNNNNNNNNNNNNNNNNNNNNNNNNNNNNNNNNNNNNNNNNNNNNNNNNNNNNNNNNNNNNNNNNNNNNNNNNNNNNNNNNNNNNNNNNNNNNNNNNNNNNNNNNNNNNNNNNNNNNNNNNNNNNNNNNNNNNNNNNNNNNNNNNNNNNNNNNNNNNNNNNNNNNNNNNNNNNNNNNNNNNNNNNNNNNNNNNNNNNNNNNNNNNNNNNNNNNNNNNNNNNNNNNNNNNNNNNNNNNNNNNNNNNNNNNNNNNNNNNNNNNNNNNNNNNNNNNNNNNNNNNNNNNNNNNNNNNNNNNNNNNNNNNNNNNNNNNNNNNNNNNNNNNNNNNNNNNNNNNNNNNNNNNNNNNNNNNNNNNNNNNNNNNNNNNNNNNNNNNNNNNNNNNNNNNNNNNNNNNNNNNNNNNNNNNNNNNNNNNNNNNNNNNNNNNNNNNNNNNNNNNNNNNNNNNNNNNNNNNNNNNNNNNNNNNNNNNNNNNNNNNNNNNNNNNNNNNNNNNNNNNNNNNNNNNNNNNNNNNNNNNNNNNNNNNNNNNNNNNNNNNNNNNNNNNNNNNNNNNNNNNNNNNNNNNNNNNNNNNNNNNNNNNNNNNNNNNNNNNNNNNNNNNNNNNNNNNNNNNNNNNNNNNNNNNNNNNNNNNNNNNNNNNNNNNNNNNNNNNNNNNNNNNNNNNNNNNNNNNNNNNNNNNNNNNNNNNNNNNNNNNNNNAACAAAACUUCAUUGAUAGUAUGAACAAAGUUUUAAUUUGUGGAAAAUAAAACUCUAUUGCUUGGUUUAAUACAAAGGUACAUAAUUGUUCUAUUGUAAAAUUUUAGAAAUAAUUAUAUAUGAAUUUAAUAAAAUAAAAUAUAUAUUUAUAUUUUCAUGUCGACAUGAAAUUGUGAUAUGUAAUUUUCAAUAAAACACAACACGGAAGUACAUGAAUUUCAAAUUGUUACACAAUAUAAAUACACAAAUGAUAAGUAGAGUCUAAUAACAAGGAGAUCAUAGAAGCAUUUACAAUAUUUAUACAGACAAUGUCUAAUUCAUGGUGGAAAGUUAUAAAAUGAUUAAAUUAUGAAUGAUCUUUAAAUUAUAAUGAAAUAUUCAAUAUAAUAUUUAAAUUUAAAAAUUAUAAUAUAAUAUCAAAUCUACAAAUUUUAACAUCCUAAUUAUGUAUUUGCAAGGGUUGAGUAAUUGUGGAGCUGCAAAAAUAAUUGGCUUUCUUAGUUCUCUAAAAAUAUAUUAUUUGAAAAUAAAAAAUAAGGUGUCUAUGGACUAAAAAGGAGCCGAGUUUUGGCUUGAAACCUAAAAAUCUUAGGUUUGGUCAGCUCUGCAUUUGUUUUUAUUUAUCAUUAAAAUAUCAAAAAUAUAUUUUACUAAUAUUUUAAUUCUUUUAAAUAUCUUCUAAAUAAAAUUUAAAAAUAAAUUAUUUUACAAUAUAAUAGCACAAUCAAUCUGAACUAGACUUUAAAAACUUUAGCAAGUCAAGAUCUUUGCGUAGACUCUGCUUGGUUUCCUUUCCUUUUUACUUGAAAGGAGUGUUGGUGCCUUUCACUGUGUUCUCUCAUCGAUGGUAAAUUCCAGGAAUUGAAACUUGAAUAAACUUAUUUAUUACUAAAAUCAUACUUUCUUAAAAGUGGCUGACAUGCUUUAGAAAAAUUUUGCAAUGAGAUAAAGUACAUGCCAUUGUGUGUAAAACGAAGCACAAGACUUUUUAUUUUCCACAAAUUAAAACGUUAUUCACACUAAAGUAAAACUAAUGGUGAAGAUAUAACUAUAAAUUAUAUGAAGUGUCAAGCAAGUUGAAGUUGAUUUCUCAAUAACUUUCUUUUGGGUUUGGCCAAUAACCAACAUUGCAGUUGCUUUUAAAAGUCCAAUAGUUUCUUUUUUUACUUUUGUAUUCUACUUUUUUUACACUCUUUUGAAUUCAUUUUUUCAUGUAUAAAAGCCAAAAGUGCAAUUUGAUAUUAAAGUAAGUAUUUUGAAAAAUUAAAAAUUAAAUAAAAAAGCAUCUUUAAGUAUUAUUAUUUAUCAUAUUAUUCAAUUUAAAAUUAUUUUUUAUAAAUAAUUUUAAAUAUAUAUAUAUAUAUAUAUAUAUCCCAUGCAAAGCGAAAGCUUCAUUCUAUUGAUAUAUGAAAGUAUAAAUUUUUUUUAUCCUUUAUUAAUAGCUUAUGUAAAAUUUUACUGUUAAAUUUAUGAAAUUUAAUAUCAUAUUAUUGAUUGUUUGUUACUAUUUUAUUAAUCAUUUACAGAGAAAUCAGAAAAGAAAAUGAAAAACUCGUAGACAAAUCACAACAUUUUAUGUUCAUACAUAUACUUUAAGAAUCCAAAUAUAUAUUUCAAUUAAAUAACGUGGAUAUGAAGACAAUGUGAAUUUAAAAGUUGACGCCAAUGCGACGAUCCUUUCAAACAAUGCAAUAUCUGAUGUUAUAAUUUCAUAGAUUUAAAAGUAGAUAUGAAAUGCCUUUAAAAAAAUAGAAACCAAAUGGAACUCGCAAUAAAAGUUUCUUCUUUCCAAAAAGAAAUAGAAUGUAACAGGAAGUCACAUGGAAAACGUUGAAAGAAUUUUUAACCCAAACUCCGCAAUUUCAUGUAAAGCCACACUAUGGGCUAAAGUAUUAAUUACAAAAUGAAAAAAAAAUCAAUAGUGUCAUUUACAAUCAUUAUGUAACUAAUCAUAAUUUAAAAUUAUGUGAGAUUUAUAAAAUAUUAUAUAAAGCACACACACAUAAGUGAUGAAUCCGUAUAUAAUUUUUUAAUAUAAUUAAAUAAUUAUAAUAUUGUAAUAAAAAAAUUAUAAGUGAAAUGUUCCCAAACUAAUUUACUUAUUUCAAUUAAAUUUGUUAUUAAAAUGUUAAUAAUAUUUUAUAUUAAUAUUUUAAAAUUAAAAUUUAAUUAAUAUAUAUUAUUUAUUAAUAUAAUAAAAUUCUUAAGUUGAACUCAAGUUUCAAAAAUCAUAUUUAGGACUGGAUCCAAGUCUUUUGACCAAUAACCUAAAAAGUAGUUGGGUUUAACAAGUACUCCAACCAUACAACUAAGAGAACGAUUGUGAAAUGAAUGAUUUUUUAUCAAGAUUGAUCAUCGAUACAAAAAAUAAUAAUAAUCAAAACAAUUAAAUAAUAGAAAAUUAGUAUAUUUAUAGAAAUUUUAAAUUAAAUCCAACAUAUAUACAAUGAGAUUUGAUCAUAAAAUCUAAUGCUUCCAAUCCCUCUUUCUUAUUAUUGAGACAAAACCUUAUAUAUAUAUAUAUAUAUCUAUAUAUAGCAUGAACAAAGUUUUAAUUUGUGGAAAAUAAAAGUCUAUUGCUUGAUUUUUCACGUAAAGGCGCGCACUUGUCUCAUUGCAAAAUUUUUUCUAAAUUAUGUCAGCCACUUUCAAGAGAGAGUGAUUUUAGUGACUAAUUUAUUCAAGUUUCAAUUCCAAGAACAGUAGAAUUCACCACCGAUAGGAGAAAAAGAAAGAGACUAACACUCCUUUUGGUAAGAAGGAAAGGAAGAGGGAAUUUUCUUUUCCUUUCCCUUUUCUUUCUUUCCUACAAAACAGAGUGUAAACGAGGACCUUGACUUGCCAACGUUUCCUUGACUUGAUUUCCUUACUGCACUGUCAAUAUAUAUUGUUUUUGAAUAAAAAAUAAUAAACCAAAUUAUAAUAUUUAACAAAAUAUUCUGUAGACAAAUUUUAAUCAAUUUAUAUUCAAGAGCCAUUUUAUAGGGAUGACUGUUAUUGCUUUACUCCUUGAUUGUCUAUAUAUAUUAAGUUCGAUGCAAGGCUUAUUAUUAUAUAUUUAGAGGUAGCAGUUGAGAGAGAACUGAAAAUAUAGAGAUAUAAUAGAGAAGGAGAUGAUGGAACCCAAAUGGUUGUGGUUGAGUGUGUUGUUGUUGUUGUUAGAAGGAUGCAGAUGGUAUAGUACUGAUGCGUGUUGGGAGGAUGAGAGGAUUGCUCUCUUGCAACUCAAACCUUUCUUCAACCAUUAUAAAGAUCUGAACCGCUGGGUGGAGGACAAGGGUUCAGAUUGCUGCCAAUGGGAAAGGGUCGAAUGCAACAUCUCCUCCUCCUCCUCCUUCGGGCGAGUCAUAGGACUCUUUCUUUAUGAUACAAGACGGUCCUACAAUGAAAGAUGGUAUCUGAAUGCCUCUUUGUUUCUUCCUUUCAAGGAAUUGAAGCUUCUUCAUUUGGACGGGAAUAGCAUCGCUGGUUUUGUUGAAAAUGAAGGUCCCUUUUGUCCUUUCAUUGCUAAUUCGCAAUAUGAAAAUUCAUUCAUAACUUUUCAUUUUUAUAAUUUCAUAUUUAAUUCUAUUAUUGUUUAAUUGAUGAAAAGCCACUAAGUCUUUAUUAUAUAUUUAAAAGAACUCUCUUGCAGGUUUUGCAAAGCUAAAUUUGGAGAUCUUUGACUUAAGUUUCAAUUACCUCAAUGAUACAGUUUUAUUAUCUUUGAGUCAGCUUUUAUCUCUCAAGGAUUUAUAUCUAGCAGGAAACUUGUUCACUGGAUCCAGUCAUGCAAACGGUGGAAUUAAAUUAAUCUAAUAAUGAUUAUGAAUGAUAAACAGUAAUUAAAAUAUUAAUCUGUCUUCAUUAUAGGUUUUCAAUGGCUUUCAAGACUUAGUAAGUUGGAAACUCUUAAUUUAAGGUACAACUCUUUGAAAAAUAACAUAUUGUUUCAUAUGAAUGGUCUUUAUCUUUAAGGACUUUAAAUUUGAGUGCAAAUCACUUGGAAGGAACCAUUCAUAUUCAUGGUAAACUUGCUUUACCUUUCUUUUACAUUCAAAUCAAUUGUUGUUUCAGGAAAAGGUGUUGCAUAACAUUUGCUUUUAUACAUAAUAUUAAUUGCUCUUUGGUAUGGAAUACGAUUGAAUAAUUUGAUAAAUUUGGAGAACUUAGAUUUAAGCUACAAUAAAAUUGAAAGCUCCUAACCAUCAAAGCAAGGUAAAAAUAUAUAUUUCAAUUCACUCAACUAAGUUCUUAAUUAUGUGAUCAAUGUAUAAAAUUUCCCAUUAACAGUAGCAUAUAAUAGAAAUAUUCUUCUACAGGAAAGGAGAUACAACUAAGGAUGACCAAUUUGGAGGUUCUUGAUUUAAGUAAUAAUCUCUUCAAGAACGACACUUUUGCAAUCCUUUCUGGCCUUCCAAGUCUAAAGUCCCUGUAUAUGGGGAACAACCAAUUGCAAGGCUCAAUAGAUAUUAAAGGUAAAGCUAUUACAACUCCCUUCUUUUUUUUUUAAUUCUAUUUUAGAACCCUUUUGCUCAUCAAAUAGGUAAAAUCUCAUAUCACAUUUGGGGAUUUUUCCUCUUCAUUUAAAGCUUUAGAUUUGUUUUGCCUUUUAUUUCAUUGUAAAGUCAUUAAAAAUAUUCAGUAAAAGAUUAUUUGAGUAACCAGGCUAACAUAAUGAUUAUUUGAAUUGAACUUGGACAUAGAAUUGAAUAAUUUAAAGAAUUUGAAGGAGUUGUAUUUGCACUCCAACAAAAUUGAAAGCCUUCAAUCCUCACAAGGUAUGCAUUUAUAUUUGUUCAAUUAGUUAAGUUGUUAUAUAUAAUUAAAUAUUAUGUAAAUCUUUUUUUAGUGAUGAAAUUAUGUAAACCUUAUGUAGAUAGUGGGAGACAGCUGAACUUAACCCAUUUAGAAGAAUUUGAUUUGAGUGAUAAUCUCAUUAAGGACAGCAUAUUUGCAUCACUUAGCGGGCUUUCAAAUUUGAAGUAUUUGCAUAUAAGCUCCAAUCAGUUAAAUGGAUCAAUAGAUAUGAAAGGUAAAAUUACUUUUUUUGCAAAAAUUUUGAAUUUGUUAACAAAAAUCUUAAUUCAUGUUUCAAGAUAAUAUAACAAAUAAGUUUAUCUGUCUCUUUUCUUUAAUUAUGAAAUUAUGUAAAUUAUUUAUAGAUAUUGGGAGACAGUUAAAAUUGAACAAUUUCUAAAAGCUUGAUUUAAGUCAUAAUCUAAUUAAUUAUUACUUUUCAACCAAAAUUUUAACUCUGUUAUAAAUACUUUUAAAAAAAAAAACACAUUUCGUGUUUUGAGAUGAUUUAAUGAAAUUUAUAUAUUACUUUUUUUUCCAGACUUAGGUGCUUUUACCAACAUAGAGGAACUGGAUAUGAGCUAUAAUGAUUUGAAUGAAUUUGUGGCUUGUAAAGGUAUGGAUUUAAAUAAAUUUUUUUAUUUUUAUUUGUGAGGUUUAUAAUGGUGUAGAUGUUUUAAUGAUCAACAAAUUUAGCAUAUUAAAAUUUAAUGCUUAAUUUUUUAAAGAAAGAAAUUAAUUAUUUAUUAUAUACUUUUUACUACAAUAUUACAAUUCUCUAAUUAUAAUAAAGAAUUACAUAAGAAUCCACCAUUUAUAAGUGUGACCUCCACAUAAAAUUUUGUUAGACCUCACACAAUUUUGAAUUGUGAUUACUUAAUUGUAUUACAAUAAUUGUAGGUGAAAUGCUCUCAUUAAACCUAAUUUUUUAAAGGAAGAAAUACAUUAUAAUUUGAUUACUAAUUAGAAAUGAUAUAUAUUUGCAUUAGGUAAUUGCAUUUUUUAAGAAGUGUUGCAGUUGCAUACCAAAUAUUUCCAUUUUUAUUUGUAUUAGCUUGUUGUGUUUUAGAGUUGGACUUGUUUGCUUUUUGCCAUUCUGUUUUAGACUACUGCUCAUUCUUAUUCCCUUUAAAAAAAUUUUGCCUUUUCAUGUUACAGUUUUGUUUGAUUUUCAUCUUCUUGAUUGUUUUGUAUAUUAAAUUUAUAUUAAAAAUUGUUACCGUUUCAAUAUUCUUCUCUAUUAAAAAUUCAUCUCGCAUAAAUCUUGGAUAUAUAAUCUUAUCUACAAAAAUAAAAAUUUACACUUGUUUAUUUUUUCCAUUUACAGAAUAUAAGAGUUUGAAAAAGUUAAAAGUUCUUUAUCUAAUUGGGGUUUUCACCAAUGGAAGCAUUCCAUUACUACUAAAAUUAGUAGAGGCAUUCCCAUCGGUUAAGAGCUUCGUUCUACUAGGGAAUUACUUAAACAAGACUAUGACUACUCAAGAUCAAGGUAAGUCAUUAAUUUAUUCCAAAAGGACUAAAAAUUAGUAGAUGUUUGUUGAUUAACAUCUAAUAAUGCCUCCUAUGCUAUGAUUACUCAAAAUUGCAUGUGUGGAGCAAUGUGGAGGAAAUAUUUCUAGACGGUUCUUAUCUCAACAACAACAUUUUGCAAAGCAUUGGAGUAUUCACUUCUCUUAAAACUUUGUCUUUAUCUAGCUGUGGACUUAUGGGUUCCUUGCCUAAUCAAGGUAAAUUAAAGACUCCAUAAUUUCUCCAAUAUAACUUACGGAAUACAUCUCUUUCUAAUAAUCCUUUAUUCUAUUUCUUUUAUCUAAUAUCUCCUAUAUAAUUUGACAUGGAAAUUAAAAUUUAAUUAGAAUUUCUUCCAUGAAUUUACAAAAUUUUCAGGUUGGUGUGAUUUAAAGAACCUUGAAAAGUUGGACAUCAAAGAGAAUGCAUUUGAGGGGAUACUUCCUUAUUGUUUGGGUAACUUGACAUCUCUUCUUGAGUUAGAUAUCUCCGACAAUCAAUUUACUGGAAAUUUGACUCAUUUAGCAAAUCUUUCAUCACUUAGAUCUGUCACCCUUUCAAGAAAUCGUUGUCAAAUUUCAAUGCCAUUCCUAUCACUUGCAAACCUUCCAAAUCUCAAGUUUCUCUUGGCUGAUGAAAACAAUAUAGUAAUGGAACCUAAUUCCUUUCAUACUUCAAUUCCAAAGUUUCAACUAAAUGUUUUUAGCUUGUCAAAGUGUACAACAGAUAAAGGACUUAGCCUACAACCUCCUAAGUUCCUUUAUUACCAAUAUGACUUGGGAUAUGUUGAUCUUUCCUAUAACUAUUUCAGUGAAACAGUCCCGUUAUGGUUGUUAGAAAAUAACACAAAAUUAGAAAAUCUCUUCUUGUUGGGCAAUUCUUUCAUCGGUCCUCUCUUGUUACCACAACUUCCUAAUCCUAAAGUGUCUGUAAUUGACAUAUCUAAUAACAAAUUACAAGGCCAAAUUCCGACAAAUAUAUGUUCAACUUUUCCAAAUUUGGAAUGGUUAUUGUUAUCUAAGAAUGCCUUUGAAGGUAAUAUCCCUCCUUGUUUAAGUGGCAUGGACACUUUAUCAUUUUUAGACCUAUCGGACAAUCAUUUGUCUGGAAGAUUACCAGAAGAGUUGAUCAUGGGAAGUUCAUUAGAUAUUCUUAGGCUAUCAAAUAACAACCUAAGUGGAAAGAUUGUUCCUAUGAUGUUCAACACAAGCAAGUUGUCAAAUUUGUAUUUGGAUGGCAAUAAUUUUACCGGAGAGAUUCCUGAUAUUGAUGUCUCUGCUUCUGAUUUGUCAUAUUCAUCACUAGAGGAUAUUGAUCUCAGUAAUAACAGUUUUAAUGGAAAGCUCCCAAGAUGGAUAGGGAAUGUACCGCAUUUGAAGAGAUUGGCUUUGUCCAACAAUCAUUUCGAAGGUUCUAUUCCAAUGGAAUUGUGCAACUUGUAUAAGCUUGAAUUUUUGGAGCUUUCUCAAAACAAUUUAUCUGGCUCUAUUCCUUCUUGUUUCAAUCCACCAUAUUUGAGACAUGUCCACGUGAAGAGAAACAGACUAAGUGGUCCAUUGACACUUGUUUUUAGUAGCUCUGCAUUAGUGACAUUAGAUCUUAGAGGGAACAAUUUGACCAGUAAUAUUCCAAAAAGGAUUGGCACAUUUUCUGCUUUAAGCGUCCUUCUUUUGAAAGAUAAUCAUUUAAACGGUGAAAUUCCAGUUCAAUUAUGCAAGUUGUAUUCAUUGAGCAUCAUAGAUCUUUCUGGAAAUAUGUUUUCUGGUCCUAUACCUUCUUGUUUGGGCAAUUUAACUCUGGCAAUGCAAGAGAAGAAGUCUCGCAUGGAUGAUUAUUUUUAUAUAGCAAAUCGAAUACAGCAUCUACUAGUACCAAUAGACAUUUGGUUUGAUUUAUCACAUGUUUUUCCUAGUAGCAGCAUGAAAGAAUGGAUAGAGUUUACAACAAAGAGUGUGUCCUACUCAUACGGUGGUGACAUUCUUAAGCACAUGUCUGGGAUUGAUUUAUCUUGUAACAGGUUAACUGGGCAAAUCCCAGUGGAACUGGGAAACCUGAGUGAAAUCCGUUCGUUAAACUUAUCACACAAUAACUUAGUCGGAGUUAUACCUUCAUCAUUUUCACAACUUAAGCAAAUUGAGAGUUUGGACCUUUCUUACAACAACUUGAGUGGGAGAAUCCCUAUACAGUUGGUUGAGUUGAACUUUCUAGAGGUUUUCAGUGUGGCACACAACAACUUGUCAGGUAGUACUUCAGAACCAAAAGCUCAGUUUGGGACCUUUGAUGAAAGCAGUUACGAGGGAAACCCUCUUCUUUGUGGGCCUCCACUGCAAAAUAACUGCUCUAAAACUGACUCACCAACAACAGUACCAACUACGGCAGAUGAUGAAGGAGAAGGUAGUUUCAUGGACACAUAUGUUUUUUGUGUGAGCUUUCUGGUUUCAUAUGUGAUUGUUUUAUUGGUAAUUUUUGUUGUUCUAUACAUAAAUCCAUAUUGGCGACAAGCAUGGUUUUCUUUCAUUGAGAGUUGCCAUCACAACUUUGUCGCUACUCAGUUGUAGGCAAUUUUCUUGAGUUAUACAUCUUCAAAAGAUGUGUUUAGGUGUCAUAGGAGAUCUUAUGAUUUGCCCUUAGUUUGAUUGUAGUGAAGAUUUGGAUAAAGUUUAUUUUUGUUGUCAAAAGAAAUUUGGUGAUUUGAUCUUUUAAAUGAGGGAUUUCUUUUAGCUGAUUAUUCUGUUAAGAUGGUUGUAGAAAGAGUUGUGGAUUUGGUUACUCAGAUUGCUUAGAAAGAGUACUUUGAUGAUUUUGCACUUUCAACAGAGCUUUUUGUCUCCGUUGGAACUCUGUUUUUGGUAUUUGUUUUGUUUGGAAGGAAGCACUGUCUUUUAGAAAUUAGUAUUAGUUUACAAAAUGAGCCAAUUCAGCAUUGAUCGAUGAAAAUGAUCGCAAAAUGCAUUUAUUUUUUUAUAGGGUUACAAAAUAUUCCAAAAUAAAAAAUAAUAAUAAUAAGUUGAUAUAUCUCAUACGCAAGAAAAUCCCAUCAAAUAAAUAAAUUAAAUGCAUAAUCUUUCAAAGCAAUAAUAAAUAUAGGGUGUUAGCUAUUGGGACAAGGACUUAGUAUAGUUUGUUAAUUAAUUAUUUUAUGAUUGUAAUUUGAUUAUGAUGUAAUAAUUAAUUAUAUGAUAUAAUACUUGAUUAUUACUAUAAAAAUUUUUAAAAAAUAAUUAAAAUUUCUGAAUUCAUGCUUUGCAUGGUUAAUUUUUAUUUAUAGUACUACUUUUUUUUAUAACUUAAAAUUUGUUAAAUGUAAAACUUUUACUAUUAAAUUUAGUGAAAAUACAUUUAUUUAUUUAUUAACAAAGAAUAUAAUUUAAAAUUAUUUUAUUUUAUUCUUUUAAAAUAAUCAAAAAUAUUUUCAAAAUUUUAAUUGGAUUUAUUUUUAGAUAAUUUUAAAAAUAUAUUCUUUCACAUUGAUUUGAUAAUUUUGAUGUGUUUUUUUCACAAAAGUCUUAUUUUAAUUUUUAAUGAAAAUAAUUCAGUAGUAAAAGAGGAAGAUUAAAAUGUUUUAUGUGAUUUCAUUUAAAAAAAUUUUAAUUGGAUAUUUGAAUUAUAAUUUUUUUAAUUAAUAUGAUAUGCUAUUUAUUAAUCACAUGUCAUUAUUUAAAACUUAUAAGAUUAAAAGUAAAUAUCAAAUUAAUUAAUAAAUUUAUAAUUUAAAUUAUUAAAAAAUUUUAAAAUUCAAAUAUUUAGUUUUUAAUAUUUAACUUAAAAAUCUAUUCAUAUAUUGAAAAUAAACCCCUAAAAAAUGAUCAAACUACCCCUCUCUUGGUUUGAUAAGAAUUUGAUAUAUAACCAAAUUGAUUAUUUUGCCUUCAUACCAUAAUUAAAAAAUAUCUUUUCCUUUUAUAAUUAUUUACUAUAAUACUCCAUAUCAUAAUUAUAGAAAUAUUCUUCUCUUAAAUUAAUUAUUAUACUCUCAUAUCAUAAUAAAGAAAAUACACAUUCUCUUAUAAUUAUUUAUUAUAAUAUCCUCGUACCAUAAUUAUAAAAAUAUUCUUUUUAUUAUUAAAUUAAAAAAAUACCAAUUCUCUUAUUAUUGACUCAUAUUAUUAUAAUACCUUUCUGACAUAAUUAUAAAAAUACAUUUCUCAUAAUUGAUCAAAAUUACUAUAAUACUCUUCCACCAUAAUUAUAAAAAUGUUUUUAUGAAUGCUUAAUAGAAAGUUGACAUGUGAUACUUUGUUUCAAAAUUAAUAACAUAUAUUAAAACAAUCUUUUUGAUAAUUAGUAUAACAACCCUUUGUUUAUUUGAUAUGAUAUCGAUAUGUAUCUAAAUUUACUAUAAUACAUUUAUAUCAUAAUUACAAAAAUACUUAUAUUUUUAUAAUUAAUUAAAAUUAUUAUAAUACUCUCUUUCAAUAAUUACAAAAAUACCUCUCAUAGUAUAAUUGACUAAAAUUACUAAAGUAUGGUUCUUAAUAAAAUUACAAAAAUACCCCUACCACAAAUGGCAAAAAAUUACUAUAAUGCCUUUCAAAUGGAAAUGCUUUUAUGAGUACUUCAUAAGAAGUUAACAUGUGGUAUUUUGUUUAAAAAUUACUAUAACACAUCUAUUAAAUUAUAUAUUAAUUUUUAACAUAACAUAAAAUUAAUCACAUAUUAAAGUAUUAAAAUAUCAUUACAAUUGGUUUACAAAAAUUUGACAUGUGAUAUUUUAUUUAAAAAUUACUAUAAUAUCAUUAUUAAAUUACAUAUGAAAUUUUAACAUCAUAUAAAAUUAACUACAUACUAAAUUACUAAAAUACCUUGGCCGUUGCUUAAUAAAAAUUUGACAUGUGAAAUUUUGUUUAAAUCACUAUAAUAACCCUAUUAAAUUCUUAUUAAAUGUUAAAUAACAUAUUAAAAUAAUUCCCGUAGAAAUUGUUAUAACACCGCUUUGUUUAUUUGAUGUGAUUUUGAUAUGUAUGUAAAUUUAUUAUAAUGGUUUUACAUUAUAAUUAAAAAAAAUACAUUUUUUCUUAUAAUUAGUCAAAAUUAUGACAAUGCCCUUCUACCAUAAUUACAGAAAUACCAAAAUUACUAUUAUGUCAUGCUAUUAUAAUUACAAAAAUACUCCUUAUUAUAUUUAAAUCAAAAUUACUAUAAUACCCCUCAUCCACGCCUACUUCACUGGAUCCUUUUUCCCAUUUAAAGCAUCAAUCUAUUUUGGUGUCAUUAAUUAUUCUCCUAUCGUCAUGGUUUACCUUUGGUUUUUCUGGAGGAUCCAAUUCCAAAGUGGUACCAUGAUGCUAGGAUAAGAGGCUUAUUGCAAUUAGACUAUCCAAUUAUAAUAUGGCUCUCUGAAUCCCCCGUCCUUCCCUCCCUGCAUUUAGAAGUGAUAAAAUCCGUGUGGCACUUCCCAGAAUUGAACUCUUCUGGUGAAGUAUUACUUGGCCGUGCUAACUGAAGUCUUUCAACAUUGCUCUCCUAAUGUGGUGACUAAGCUAAAUAGGGAACUCAAUUAUUUUGUUUGCUUAGAAUGGCAAGGUUAUUUUCUAAAACCUUCUAAACUUGAGGUGAUAGAGGCAAAGCAGCUUAGAAGAAUGAUGUAGAAUAAAAAAUGAGAGAAGAGUGAGCUUACCACUAUGAAUGCAAAAAUUCACCUGUGGCUGUGUUUAUUCUAAACCUUUUAGCCUUUGUUAUGUGUGCUUGAUCGUCAAUGAUGAAUUAUUACCUUCUUCCUUUAUCCUUUUUCAGGGUCUGUUUUUAUUUUUUUUUUAUUUGGUAUCAAUGUAAAUGAUUGUUGAUAAGCUGGCUGGCAUUUAUCUUGAUCCCUCUACCGUUUAGCUUAGGGUAAUUGUACUUUGUAAUAAUAAGAAUAAUUUUUUAAUUAUUGACCGUAGUUGAAAGUAGGCGGUAUGAACUUUACCAACACGGUAUGCUAUCCUUGUAGUCUAUGAAUUUUAAAUUGGGUUGAAGUUCAACUCAUGUCUUAUGUUCUUUUUUCUGUUAGUUAAAAGAAAAGGGAAAAAGGAAAAGCCAGUUAUGUUAUUGAUAUUCUUGUUAUGUUGUCCAGUUCGUAAAAGAGAAUUCAGUUGAGAAUAAUAUGGUCAUUACAUGUAUGUUACAGGUUUUGGCAAUCAUUUAACCUGAAAUGCCUGUAUAUAUGGUGUUGCAACGUGGAUAUCCACCAACAUCGACAGGUCCUAAGCCGAACAAACUACUGCAAAAGAAUAAUGUAAUGAUAACAACUUAAAGUUGUGAUCUGUGUUUUCAGUUGCGAGGCUUGCGUGAUGGUGUCUCAGCUCUCUCAGCUAAGUUUUGCAGACCCUUAGUCAAUUGCUGGGUCGAUUGGAAUGGAAUUGGGGAAGAGGGGAGUUUGCAAAAUCCAACAGUGGCACUUUCCAAGAGAUGGUUUUGAGAACCAAACUCAGGUAAGUGAUGAAUAUUGAGUUGAACAUUCCAAAAGAUUUGGGUUUCAGUGGUAUUCUAGCCUUUCCUCUUCUCAAUACAAUCGAUUUGAUCCAUUUUUUACAAAAAUAACAACACCUUACGAAAAGAGGCUAUUUUUUACAAAUAUAACAUUCUCUUACAAAUAGAGUUGUGCAUGAAUAAGUUGGAUCAAAUAAAAUAAAAUUCUAUUGAUAUUUUUAAGUAGAAUUGAUAAUUCAUGUUAUUAUAUUAUGUAAAAUAUUAUAUUCAUAUCGUAUUUUAUAUGAAUAUAACAUAUUACAGUUUUACGAAAACAUAAAAUUUAAUUUUUUAAUUUUAUUAAAUUUAUUUAUAAUUUUUUAAAAAAAUUUAAUUAUAUUAUUUUUACAUCUUUUUGUUGUAUCGUAUUUUAAAAUGACAAAUUUACUUUUAAGUUUAGGAUCCAUCUGACCCAUCUAUUUAUAUCCAAAUCAAUCAUUUUUACUGUUUAAAAAUAUUAAAAAUUAUUUUUAAAUUAAUAAUUUUAAUAUGUUCUAAAAGAUUUGAAUUUUAAAUUUAAAUAAAAAAUAUUUAUUACCGUAAAAAUAAUCCAUUGUUGCCCAAAAAAAAAAAUCCAGAUCAAAUCAAGUAAAACCUGACCCUUAAAAUCCAACUCCAAUGAAAUUCGAUUAGACAUUAAACUAUCUUUUUUAUACCAAAAGGUUUAUCUUGCAAAGUUUAGUUCGGGUUUUAGAACUUCAUUGUCAUGUAACAUUUAUACACAACAAUCUAAUUUCCCUAUCUUAUCAACUUAUAUUCUCACCAAGAAACAUAUAUUAAAACAUAUUUAGAAAGAGAACCGUGCGAACCUGAAUUUUUUCUGUAACAUCAAACAAUCUGCUCCUUAGAAAUCAACUCUAGGCUUGAUUUUUUAACAACCAAAACUGCGAUUCUUUUUUUAAGGCUUUAUGAAAGGUGCUUGGUCAAAAAUUUGCACCCGGGUUGUGUGUGAAGAAUUAUUAAGUUGUCCAUUUACACUGUAAUUAACUAAUUAAGUUUACCUUAGUAAAUCAAAAUUCAUGAAUUCAUAAAUUCUGAAGAUUGGACAGUCCUCAUAAGCUCCUUCAAAUUUGCGAGCACACGUCGGCGGUCCUAAGCUCUUGAUGCCGAUGAAAUUCAAAAGUUGCUCUAUAUCCUGCAAGCACAGGGGAAGACUUUUGUGAAUUCAUUUCAAAAUGAAUAUUUGAAAAUAUAUAUAUAUAAUUAAAAUGUCAUGCAUCUCAACAAACAUUUUUUUUGUACAAAAAAAAAAAAAACCUGUAGCCUUAAAAAUAGAGAAAGAACUUGUAGGUACUAAAAUUUGAAUCUUAUAUCGGUUAAAUGUCGCUUAUGAUUGCAUAAACAAUUGAUUUAACUCAAGAAACAUUUUGCAAAAAGGAACAUUGACUAACUCUUAAAAACAUUAUUACAACAAAUUAAGACAAGGAUGAAUGCUAGCUUGACCCAUUGAGAUUUGUCACGCACCCAUACAUUCAUAUGAAUAUGAAGUUGGUCACAAAUAUACAUUUCUAACCCAUUUGCAGUAUGUUGGCCUUCUAUGCUCAGAUAACAAAAUUUAACAUUAAUAUUUCAAGAUUCCUUAACAGAUAAUUAUAAGGUUAGUAUGUGUUAGUCUCAUUUGAGAAGUAUCCACUCUUUCUCUACUUUUGUUCUUCCUUACAAACCCCUCUUAACCUAAAAUGAUAUUUGGCCUUAACCAUAUUCAGUAAAAUAUAAAUAGACCAUGGAGACAAGCAACUUAAUCUGGUCUACCAAUGAUUGACUGAACUCCCUUCUAUAUAAGUGUUCAGGUUUAAUGCUUGCUAUAUUUGAAUUGAUUAACAACAUCAUAAAAACUUCAAUAGUUAGUUACCAUAAAAUGGCAAUUUCUUUCAUUAAAAUGUUACAAAUAUCAGAACAGCUAGAAGAUAUACAAUGGUAAAACAAGUAAACAAGCAGAAUGUUACAUAGUGGUUUACACUUGAUACACUAAUGUAACAAUUACAAGUGGAUUGGGAAACUAUUUCCGAUUAAGGAGUUGGGAAUAGAAUUAUUUUAUAUGACAAAACAAAGAUUAAAAUUUUAAAGAGAAGGGGACAUAAGAGGAGAAAGAGAAGGGACCAAAAUUGGAAACUCAAAUAAUUUGCAUGUUUCCCAAUUAGCCUUUUGAUAAUUUAGGAGAGAGGAGAUUUUGAGUGCUAUUGGAUGUAAGGUCUGACCAUCAUCACGGUUUUUCCUAUUUAGUGAAUAAUCCUAUAUCAGACAUUUAAGAAUAAGGACUGAGCAAAUUAAAAUUCAUUGAUGUGCAAGACUUAGAUUAUUAGAACAAACAGAAACUUAGUAAAAGAUAAACCACAUAGAAAGUUAGAAGCAGUGUAAACUUAUUACAAUAAUGUAAGUGGAUUAUAAGUGAGCAUUUCUCCUUAAGGAAUUUGCAACUAAGGCAUUAUAAACAAAAGAGAAGAAAGAAUAAACUUCUGGAAAGAAUUUCAAAGUAGGGAAACAAGGGAAGAGGAAGAGAAAGGGCCAGAAACUGGAAAAAACAAAAGUUUGGUCACUACCUUUCCCAUUUAGAUGUUUAGCUGAGUUAUGGGAAUGGAUUUGAGUGCCAGACCUCUUUUAGACGUAAGGUGUGGCUAUUAUCACAUUUUUCAAAUCUGUUGAUAAUCCUUCAUCCAUCUCAUAGUUAAAAAUAAGGAUUUAAUGUUACACUCUGAUAUGGCUGUGACAUUAUAGAUUGUCUUAAGAGCCUAUUCCCUGAAACUGGAUGAAAUUAAAUACAAAUCUACGGACUUUCACCAUGAUGAUGAAUCUUGAUUAGCCACGGCCAACAACAUAAUAUGACUUGUAAAUGAUAUAUAUUUGCCUUAGAUAAUUGCUUUCUUUAAGAAGUGUUGCAACGGCAUAUCAAAUAUUUCCCUUUUUGUUUGUAUUACCUUGUUGUGUCUUAGAGUUGGACUUGUUUGCCUUUUGUCAUUCUGUUUUAGAUUACUACGUAUUCUUAUUACCGUUUAAAAAAUUUUGCCUUUUCAUGUUACCGUUUUGUUUGAUUUUCAUCUUUUUGAUUGUUUCGUAUAUUAAAAUUUAUAUUAAAAAUAUUUAACGAUUCAAUAUUCUUCUCUAUUAAAAAUUCAUCUUGCAUAAAUCUUGAAUAUAUAAUCUUUCUACAAAAUUGAAAGCCUUCAUUCCUUACAAGCUAUGCAUUUAUAUUUGCUCAAUUAGUUAAGUUGUUAUAUAUAAUUAAAUAUUAUGUAAAUCUUUUUUUAGUGAUGAAAUUAUGCAAACCUUAUGCAGAUAGUGGGAGACAGCUGAACUUGACCCAUUUAGAAGAAUUUGAUUUGAGAAAUAAUCUCCUUAAUGACAGCAUAUUUGCAUCGCUUAGCGGGCUUUCAAAUUUGAAGUAUUUGCUUAUAAGCUUCAAUCAGUUAAAUGGAUCAAUAGAUAUGAAAAGUAAAAUUACUUUUUUUCCAAAAAUUUUGAUUUUGUUAACAAAAAUCUUAGUUCAUGUUUCAAGAUGAUAUAACAAAUAAGUUCAUCUAUUUCCUUUCUUUAAUGAUGAAAUUAUGUAAAUUAUUUAUAGAUAUUGGGAGACAGUUAAAAUUGACCAAUUUCUAAAGGCUUGAUUUAAGUCAUGAUCUAAUUAAUUAUUACUUUUCAACCAAAAUUUUAACUCUGUUAUAAAUACUUAAAAAAAUAUCUCACCUAAAAAAAAUCCUCUCUGGCUUCGGCCAGAGUUUGACGUUGGACCGCCGCGUCGGUCGCAGCCUGGGUCACCGUCGGUGGUAGCCGUUGGUGGUCGUCGAUUGCGAAAAAUAUCAAAAUACUCCCAAACGUUCACCUCAACGCCCUCUUUCUAGAUCCGAUGUCUGUUUUACCAGAAACAGCCCCGAUCGACAUAAAUCGAGGCUUGAAGUUUUCUACCUUUUUUUUUUUUAAAGAGACUAAUGUGAUUUUUUCUUUUUGCUUUUGCACGUAGGGCAGCGCUGGGUUCCUCCCUGCGGGGAGGAUUAUGUUUGUCCUUUUUUUGUUUCUUUUUUUUUUUGUUUGGGUAUUUGGGUAUAGUUGGUGUGGGUUCUAUUUAGGGUUGUUGAAGGGAGAGGUUUCAUCUGAGCUUGGGGAUUUCUAGUAUUCGAGUGGAAUGAAUGGGCUUUUGAUAUUCGAAAGAGAGAGAGAUCCCAAGGAGAAAAAGCUAGAGGUUUUUAAGGAGCUUCAAAAGGGGAACAUUUGGUGGCUAUAAAGUGGCUGUAGGUGGGUUGGGGUAGGUUGUAGAAGUGGGCUAUAGGGUGGCUAGUUGGUGGUUGCGGCACCGUUCACCAGCCACCCUACUUUUUGUUUUUUUGUUUUUCCCAUUUUCUCUUUUUUUUUAAUUAAUAUUUUUAAAAAAAUAUAUAUUAGUAUUAUUAUUAUUAUUAUUAAUUAUAAAAGAUCCGGACAAAAUCUGGUGUCUACACAUCUAAAAAUAUCGAACAUAAUUAACACCUUAAAAUUUUAUGUUUGGUCAAAUCUUCCAUUUCAUUUUUUAUUUAUUAUUAAAAUAUUAAAAAGAUUUUUAUAUUAAUAAUUUACUAUUUUUAAAUAUAUCUUAAAUUAAAUUAACAAUAUUGUUUAACGAGAACAAAAUAAGCAAUUAACCUUAAUAAAAACUUUUAAAUAUUUUGUUCAAUACUUGAUUGAGUUGAAACUAGCAAAUGGUCCGACACAUAGACGAGUCUAAUAACAAGCUAUCAUAGAAACAUUUACAUUAUUUUAUAUAGCCAAUGUUCAAUUUAUGGUGACAAAUUAUAAAGAUGAUUAAUAUUAUGAAUGGUCUUUAAAUUACAAAAAAAUAUUUAAUAUGUUACUUGAAUUUGGAACAUUUCUAAUAUAGCACCUAAAAUAUAAUAAAUUUUAAAAAUAAUAACAUCCUAAUCGUGUUAUUUGCAAGGAGUAAUUGUGGAGCUGCAAAAAUAAUUGGCUUUCUUAAUUCCCUAAAAAUAUAUUAUUUGAAAAAAAAAAAGUGUCCAUGAACUAAGAGGAGCCGACCGUGGUUGACAUAUAGAAAUCUUAGGUUUGGUGGGCUCUGCAUUUCAUUUUUAUUUAUAAUUAAAAUAUUAAAAAUAUAUUUAUACUAAUCUUUUAAUGUUUUUAAAUAUAUUCUAAAAUAAAAUUAAAAAAUAAAUUAUUUUAUAAUAUAAUAACACAAUCAAUCUGAACUAGACUUAAAAGACUUUGACAAGUCAAGGUCCUUGCGUAGACUCUGUUUGGUUUCCUUUCCUUUUUACCAAAAAGGAGUGUUAAUGUCUUUCGUUGUCUUCUCUCAUCGAAGGUAAAUUUCGGGAAUUGAAACUUGAAUAAACUAAUUUAUUACUAGGAUCACACUAAGAUCACACUUUCUUGAAAGUGGCCGACAUACUUAUAGAAAAAUUUUGCAAUGAGAUAAAGUAAGUGCCUUUGCGUGUAAAACGAAGCACAAGACUUUUUAUUUUCCACAAAUUAAAACGUUAUUCACGCUAAACUAAAACUAAUAGUGAAGAUAUGACUAUAAAUAAUGUGAAGUGUCAAGCAAGUUGGAGUUAAUUUCUCAAUAACUUUCUAUGGGGGCUGGCCAACAACCAAUGUUGCAGUUGCUUUUAAGUGACCAAUAUUUACUUUUUGUACUUAGUUUUUUCUAUUUCCAUUUUCCUUUUUUUCACUUUUUAGGACUUUUUUUUUUUGUAUAAAAGCCAAAAGUGCAAUUGGAUAUUAAAGUAAGUAUUUUUUGAAAACUAAAAAUUAAAAAAAAUAUUUUUUAAAGUAUUAUUAUUUAUCAUAUUAUUCAAUUUAAUAUUAUUUUUUAUAAUAUAUUUUUUAAGAAAAUCUCAUGCAAAGCGAGGGCUUUAUUCUAGUGAUAUAUGAAAGAAUUUUUUUAUCCUUUAUUAAUAGUGUAGACACCCUAUUUUGUCCAGGAUUCUUUGUCAAUUGAGACUAAUCCAAGCUCAGUUGCAGGAAUUUUUAUUCAUUUUUAUUUUAUAUUUUUUUAUUUCAUAUUUAUCAUUUUUUUAUUAUCUGAUUAUUUUUUUAAAAAAAAAGGAAAGAUUGAGAUUAAGUUGGAUGAUGAUCAAAAAGUAUGAUUGGUGGCUAAUCUUUAGCAUUGGAGGACUAAGUGGAAUAGAACUGAAAUUCUAUAAAAAAACAGCAUAGUUUUUAUAAAACGAAAAAAGAGGGAGGAGAAAUCGGAAUAGGAGAGAAGAAGAAUCCGAAUAGGAGACGGAAAAAAAAGGGGAGAAAAAAAAGAGAGAGGAGUAAUCUGAAUAAGAGGAGGAGUCCGAAUAGGAGAGAAGAAAGAGGGGGGAAAGCCCCCAUCUCCACCAGCCCUCAAGGCCUCUCUUUGGUGGGCGAUCUCCCCUUCCAUGAAGUGUUUAGAGACCAAGACAUCGCAUUUGUCAAUGGUGACGUGCCUUUGACUGCCCUCUGAGCAAACGGCAGAUGUGACAUAGCUUGGAACCUCGGGUUGAGCUGCUGAAAUGGAGAAGCUAGCUAGACAGCCCGUGUGUGACCAUGUAAAGGCGAAAUCAUUGAAGCAGGAUCUUAAGAGGGAAAAGGAAUUCUGGAGAUGUCAGUCUCGGGUUCAGCGGCUUCAAGCUGGUGAUAAAAAGACAAGUUCUUUCCCAUGCUUCGUGUGUUCAGAGGCGAAGGCAUAAUCAAGUCAGGGAUUGGUUUUUAUGACAGUGGUAUGUGGAAAGAGGAUCAUGAGGGUAUUCGGGGUGUGAUACAUGACUUUUCCACCAUUUUCACUUCCUGCAGUCCGUAAAAUAUUACAGAAGCAGUGAGUGGUAUAUCUCAGGUAUUACACCCACAAUGAAUGAUGAUCCCGUCCGGGAUCAUGGUCUAUCGCAAAAUCAAAAUCCUGAGGGCAUCCCGUUAGAUCGAGGUGCUGGAGGCACCCUCUCGAGCCAAAACGAAGUUACCCAACGAAGGAGAUCACGAAUGCUUGCUGGUCAAACAUUAGCGGCUAACCCCUAGGGUCCAAAGGAGACUUGCAAUUUACUUUGUCCUUUGAAUAUCUUGUUGACGAGGAUACUGAAUAAAUUCUGCAUCUGAUUUAUUGCUGGAACGCAACCGUGAACAGUGUUUGGUUCAUCUUUUGGUUCCUUCUCUUGCAUUGCUGAUCACUCUUGUGCAGAAAAUUACAGGAAGCUAAGGAGCAGCAACAGGAAGAAAGAUCCAGAGAUCAGAAACUGACAAAAAAAAUUCCCCUGAUCCCGCUACCAAUUUUGCUUGAGCGCAUGAGCAGGUCUGUUGAGCAACAAAAGUUGGCACAGGCGCAAGCUGAGCCCAAUCGCAGCUGUCUCGGUCUCGAACUCAGGAGCCGUGGCGAUAGUCCAUGAAGGAAGGCUUUGCUUCGAAAGAGGAGGUGGAAGAUCACCUGUAGAACCUGCUUUGGAGAACACGUUGGAAAAGGCGCUCCACUUUGUUACGUCGAGCAACGUGUAUGGCUAAGAUGGUGGAAUGUGCAACUGAUCCUCCUUUGGCUGCUUUUCAGAAGCUGUGUCCAAGGACUUGCAAGCUGUUGAAUAAUCAGAAUUUUAUGGCUAAGGCUUCCCUUUUGGCGGUAGUGGCGAGUUUGUCACAGGAGGGAGCAAUUGCACCUCAGAGCUUGGAAUCCUUGCGGCAAAGCAUCCAUGAACGCCUUGGGAGCACAGAUUGGAUGAUGCGAAAGGCAGCAACUGAUAUCACAGAUGCAAUUACAGACUACUCAGCUGCAGCAACAAUUGGGUUUGCAACAGCAGCCCAAUCAAUUACACCAAAAUAUGCAGCCAAGGAUUCACACAUCAAGCUUGGAGUUUUCAACAACAAAGCUUCGUGUUAUUCGAGCAGUUGCUGUCCUUGGAGGUUUUCUUCAAAAUUUUCUCUUCACGUGUUCGGGUGGUAUAACAAUUUCGCUAUAUGUUUUUUGCAGUUAUGUGGAGGACUGUGCUGUGGGUUUGCUGUUUGCUUUACUUCAAUUCUAGGUGGCAGUUCUGGUGUCCUUCAAGGAGUACUAUCCACGACUAAAUCGUUGACUAAGGAGCUCUAUCAGUUGACAUCCAUAGCAUUUUUGCUUGCUUGCUGUUUGGUGAUGAGCUGGGUUCAUUUGUUGCUGGAAUGAUGAUAUCAACCUCUGAUUUGAAUCAGCAUACACUUGAACAAGUUGAGCAAAUUCGCAAUUGCUUUGUUGCUCUCUUCCUGGCCAGUAUUGGGGAUGUUGAUUCAUGUGCAUUUCCUUUGGAAUCACAUUGAUAUAUUGCUAGCAGCUGUAAUAUUAGUGAUUGUUAUUAAAACAAUGGUAGUUGCUGCAGUUGUUAAGGGAUUUAGAUACAGCAACAAAACUUCACUUCUUGUUGGGAUGCCUUGGCCCAUUUGGGGAUGCAGCUUUGUUUUCUGGUUUGCAUCGCUACUAUAACAUGAGGUUCCUUUGGAUGUCCUCCUGUAAACUAACUCAUCAAGGUUGUCAGGAGACUGUCCAUGUUACGCCUCGCCUAGUGGUUGAAGUGACUAGGUUUGCUGUUGAGAAGGAGAUGGUUGACUUUGUUGAAACAUUAUACAUGUAUCGGUGUCUUAAAGGGUCAAGAAUCGAUGCACUUAAUUCAAUCACCAUCUCGUAAGCAAAGGUGGUGCAAGAAGAUGUUCAUUUGUUCUCGUGUUGGAUACCAAGUAAGUUUAAAAUGUUUCACAGGAAAUUUUGAUCUGUCAAGCAUCUUUUAAAUAACUCUUGAAGAUAAAACGAUUAAAAAAAAAAUAUUUUUGAGGAAAAGUUGAAAGUAUCAAUUUUCCUUAAAAAUAAAUUUCCAAAAAAUUUUUGGGGAAAAGUUGAAAGUAUCAAUUUUCCCUACACAAGAACAAUCAUCCUUUCCUUCCUUUCUAUUUUGAUUUUUAUUUUGAUUUUUCUUUAAUUAAUCCGACGACGGAGCCUCUGCAAGUGAAACAGUAGUUCUUUCUUGCAUACUCCUGAGGUGAGGGAAUUUUCUCAAUUUUCUGCUAAAAGUAUUAGAGUCAAUUGAGAAUAAUUUCCAACAACUAAUUACUUGGUAAAAUUUUAAGGCUUUUUGGAUAACAUAAAUUUAAGCUGGUACCAUCUUUUAAUGGGCGUUGUGAGGGUGCUAUAACCUUCCUCACACGUAAUCGAACUCCCGAACCUUGUUCUGGUUAGCAGACCUGAACCUAUUCUUUUAGGGACCCUUAAACUUAGGUGUUCCCUGAAAGGACAGAUUCCAUAGGUGGCCAAUCGCACCUAGAUAAAAAAGAUUGGUGGCGACUCUCUAAAACCAAUGUCUAGCGAUAGAUCCCCGGAUCUAGACGUUAUGACAGCUUGGCGACUCCACUGGGGACUUUGAGAGUCAGGCCAGCAAAUAAUUUGUGUUAUCCAAAAAGCCUAAUAAAAUUGAACCCUUCUGUAUAUAUGUGUUAUUAUUCAUUCAUGUUUAUUUACUUUGUUAAUUAUGUCAUUCAUGUGCAUGUGCAUAACAUGAGCUCUACACCCGAGCUCCGUCCCUCUAGGAGGGAGUAAAGUACCUAUUGCUUUCGUGAGGUCUAAUGCCUCCGCAGUGGCUAGCGAAAUACUCUUACUCAAAUUGAACCUUUUUCGCUUGUAGCCUGUAAUGGGUGAGGAUUAGGGUAUCUUACUAGUCUGUGAUGGACAAAGAUGUAAGGAACAAUUUGAGGACCUUUAGACUCUGACCUUAAAACCGCAUGUAGUGAACCUUAAGAGUGCCUACACCUAAGAUAGAGCCCUUUCUACCCAAUGAUAGAUAUACCUUGAAAUUAGGACAUAAAAAUGGUGUUUGUCUAAUCAUUUUGACUGUUUAACUUUGUGUAUUAUUUUUAUCAUAUGUAACAUUAUGCAUCAGCAUCACUUACAUUUCAUCCACGGAACUAACUAUGUUGUUUUUCUGAUUGUAUGCAUCUGUAUUCUUUUCAUGAUCAUGUUUCAACACAAUCAUUUGCAUUCAUUUCAUACUAGAUUUCAUUCAAAAAAUGUACAUUUCAUUUGUGUAUCAAAGCAUCAUACAUAAGGCACAGCAUAAUAUUUCUAAUCAUAAGUAUGGUACUCAAGGUCCGAGGAUAGCUCCAUCUAGCGAAAACUCUGCUCAUCCAUACAACACAAGAUCCAGAGCAAGGCAAAUGGAAGAAGAAAGUUCUCAUAGAUUUGAAAAGCUAGAAAAAGCAUAAGAAAAGAUUGAAAGUGAGCUAAGCAAGAUUCUGGAAGCUUUUAAUAACAUAAAUAAAGGAAAAAGAGUUGAAGAAAGUAUAAGCCACCAAGUUCCCCCAUUACAAGAAGUGGCUGACCCUCUGUACCCUCCAGGUUUUGGUCCACCUCAAACUCAUUCUGCUCAAAAGGUCCCGCCACAACACUUCGCAUAUCCAACAUAUCCGAGAAUGCCAUCAGCUUUCAACCCAGGGCAGUAUAACAGCAAUAUAAAUCCUGUCUUCACUGAAAAGAUAGCAGAACCAAUUCCUGAUCUAGAAGAGAAGGAGAAGGAAAAGAUAAGGGUGGAAGCUGAGGAAAGCUCCAAAAUUAGCAUGAUAAAGCAAAGGCUAAGGGCUGUGGAAGGAUUUAGCUUUUAUGGGUCAGUUGAUGCUGCUGGGCUCUGCCUAGUUCCUGAUGUGGUUAUCCCCUAUAAGUUUAAAGUACCAAAAUUUGAAAAAUACGACGGUACAAAGUGCCCCAAAACCCACAUCACCAUGUAUUGCAGGAAGAUGGCAGCUCAUGCUCAUGAUGAGAAACUCUUGAUGCAUGUUUUUCAGGACAGUCUUACUGGCUCUGCAGCCAGAUGGUAUGUUCAGCUGGAUAGGACUCGCAUUCGCUCUUGGAGCGAUAUGGCACAUGACUUUAUCAAUCAAUAUCGACAUAUCAUCGAUUUGGCCCCUGAUCGUUUGUCUUUGCAGAAUCUGGAGAAAAAGUCAAACGAGUCUUUUAAAGAGUAUGCCCAGAGAUGGAGAGAUAUAGCUUCACAGGUAUAACCUCCUCUGACAGAGAAAGAAACUACAGUGUUAUUUGUCAGCACUUUGAAGCCUCCCUAUUAUGAAAAGAUGAUAGGGAAUGCAACGAAGAAUUUUGCCGACAUGGUGAUCUCUGGAGAAAUUAUUGAAAAUGCCAUAAAAAAUGGUAAGUUGAAAGGAGGAGAAACCAAGAAGACAUCAGAAAAGAAAGAAGCUGAAGCUCAAGCUGUGAGCUUUGAUAGACAACAAUUCAGGGGUUAUCAACCCUAUCCAUCCCAAGGUUACUCUUCAUACUAUCCUACUGUGAAUAAUGCCUCAUCCUACCCAUACCAGUUAGCUCCACAACCAUCUUAUUCAUCCACUUACUGCCUUAACAUUCAAGCUCCUGUAAGAACUCAAGUUCGCCCUACUAACCUAGCAAGUGGCUCACGAGAACAACGGACUACUCGAGAAAAACCUGUAUUUGAUCCAAUCCCUAUGACUUAUACAGAGUUAUAUCGAGAACUCUAUAAUAGCCACUUGAUUGCCCCCAGCCAUAUGAAACCGCUUAAACCACCCUAUCCAAAGUGGUAUGAUUCUACAGCCCGCUGUGAUUACCAUUAUGGAAUUACUGGCCAUUCUACUAAAAAUUGUACUGUUUUAAAGUAUAAGGUGCAACGAUUGAUCAAUGAUGGAAUGGUAAGUUUUGAUCAAGGAAAAGCAACAACAUCUAAUGUUAGCGCUCUGAGUGAAAGUCAAGAACAGAAAGGGUUCGAAGAGUCACAAUGAAUUGGGGGGCAAGAUGUCAAUAGAGAUUCUUCACCUGAUCGCAUAAGGGGACAAUUUUAAAAAAUGGAGAUAAGGCUGGUUGAAGGUUUCUUCUGUCAUUUUAGGAUUUCUUUUCAAAUAAUGUUAGAUUUCUUUUUGUAAUAUGACUUCACUUGUUAUCAUUUUAAUAAAGGCAAGUCAAUGCAUUUCAUUACAUUUUUCUCUUUCACUUGACCAUUACUCCAUGCUCCGUUACCUUUCAUAACUUUAUACUCCCAUUCCUAAAUUUCAGAUGAUGAAUAUUUAGACAAUGAUGACAGUAAUUCUGGGAUUUAAUUUUGAGAACUCAUCCACAUUAAUAUGGAAAGAUGAUUUGAGCAAAAAGUAAGCUGUUACUGGAGGUGAAAUAGAUAUGUCUUGAAGAUGUACAAUCUUUUAUACAAGUUCAUGAGCUUUGUUCAAUAGAUGAUGUUCAAGAAAGGUAUUCACAAUUGAGAUGAAAAAUGGCCAUUUUUCUUUUACCAUUUGAAAAACCAUUUAUUGUUACCCCUUUGAGCCUAUCAUUUUUUUUCUGAAGAACCCCAACCAAGGAUCACCCUCUACAUUGGAGGGUAAUUUUUGAAAAAAAAAAAAAAAGAAAAAAGAAAAAAGAAAAGACACCACAAAAGGUCUCAAAGAUGGAAAGAGGAAGAAAAGCAAAAGAAAAAUAAAUGCCACACAUGACUUGGGGCAAAGUAAUGAGAAUCCUUUGUGUGAUGAAAGAAAAAAGUAGUGAAAUGAUGUGGGGGCAAAAUGCCAAGCUGCAUCAAAUGAUCCUUUGGUUUUGAACCUUUUUAAUACAUGUUUUGAGCCUAUUAUAUCCAUUUUUUUUUAUGACCCUUCAUCUUGGCCUACAUUACAACCUUGAAAAGUCCAUUUGGAUCAAGUGUGAAUACUCAACUUGAAUGGUCAUAUGUUGAACAAAGACGUGCUCAUGAUGUAGCAAUGGAAUCAUGCUACAUUGCUCUAGAGUUUGAUGUAUGAAAGAUAUCAACAAUGAAUAAAAAAAUGAAAAAAAAAAGAAAGAUGAUGAAAAAAGAAAAAAAAAGAAAGAAAGAAGAAAGAAAAUGAAAAAAGAUUGAGAUUGAAAACCUGAAAGGUUGAUAGAAAAAGAUCCAAGUCAAAUGGCUCACAUGAAUGGAAGAUCCCUCAAAGACUGGGGUAAAGUUCGCCAGGCUCAAGAUGACUUCAACAGUAAAUGGAAUGAGUUUUUGAAAAAGAAUCCUAAAUUAAUGUUGAGAAUUGUCUGAAUAUUCAUCAUUUGGACAUACCAUCCAUCUCAAUGACAUCCAAUUCAUUUCCUUUCCCAUUUGUUUUAUACCAAAAUAGAUCUCCAUUGAUAAUUCACCUUGUUUUUUCUUAUUGUUUCACCCCUAGAAUGAAUUGAGAAAAUGCUUGAUUGCAUUGUAUUUGUCAGGAUUUGAAAUGAUAAUGAAUGAAUGAAUAUACGCUUAAAAGAGUCUUGCAUUCAUUUGAAAAGAAAUCUAAGAUGAUGGUGGUAACAAAAUGAAGAAAUGAUGAUUUGGAAGGAUAUAUGAUGUGACCGAAUGAAGAAUAUAAUGGGGCAAAUCUUGAAAAGUGAUGAGUACAAGGAUGAAUUGGUCGAUAUGACUUGCAAGAUAUGAUUGAAUGAUGAGAACAAUCAGUGGACAAAGUCUGUUUUGGAUUGGUUAAUGCUGAGACACCUGUGAGCAAUGACUCAGUGAUGGUGGAUGAAACUUGUUUUGAAAUUGGUUAGUGCUGAGAAAUUCAUUGAAUGAUGGUCAAGUGAUGAUCGAUUGAUGAAGCUUAUUCCAAAGUAUUGAAAAAUAGAACAAGGAAGAAUCUGAAUGGAAGAGACAAUUAAGAACUACACUGGUUCGAUCCUAGAAAAGCAGUGUAAUUGGAUCCUUGAAGAAUCAAAGGGCUUGACACCCAAGAAAGAAAAGAGCUUGAGAAACUUGAGUACCAUACAUUGAACAGGAAUUGAUUGACCAACAUUUGCAUAGCAUGCAUUGAAAUUCAUAUGCAUUUGCAUAGCAUACACUACUUUCAGGAAAGUAUAGUGUACAAAUUCAAGAAGCAGGGGUGUUCCAACAUCCCACAUGGAAAAGAUAGAUAUGAAAAGACUUUGCAAGUUUGAGAAGAAACUUGUCAGGUAAGUUCCUAAUCCUUGAAAUAGGACGUCUCUUGGUAUCAGGGUUGAUUUAUAAGACCUUUGGGCAUAAUCUCCUGAAAUCCCUUCAAACACAACUUUCAACUCCUUUGGACAUGAUUGUCAAAGAGCAAUUUACUUUCAAAGUUCGUUGCCUCUGUUUAGAGGAGCAAUUUACAUUUCAAAAGUCGUGGUACCUCUGUUGAGAGGAGCAAUUUACUUUCCAAAGUCGUGGUGCCUCUGUUUAGAGGAGCAAUUUACUUUCCAAAAGUCGUGGUGCCUCUGUUUAGAGGAGCAAUUUACAUACAUUUCAAAAGUCGUGGUACCUCUGUUGAGAGGAGCAAUUUACUUUCCAAAGUCGUGGUGCCUCUGUUUAGAGGAGCAAUUUACUUUCCAAAAGUCGUGGUGCCUCUGUUUAGAGGAGCAAUUUAAUUUCCCAAAGUCGUGGUGCCUCUGUUUAGAGAAGCAAUUUACUUUUCAAAGUUCGUCGCCUCUGUUUAGAGGAGCAAUUUACUUUCCAAAAGUUGUGGUGCCUCUGUUUAGAGGAGCAAUUUAAUUUCUCAAAGUCGUUGUGCCUCUGUUUAGAGGAGCAAUUUAAUUUCCCAAAGUCGUGGUGCCUCUGUUUAGAGGAGCAAUUUUACUUUCCAAAGUUCGUUGCCUCUGUUUAGAGGAGCAAUUUAUUUUGUUCAAAGUCGUUGAGCCUCUGUUUAGAGGAGCUUGGGUAAAAAAAAACAAAAACAUAAACAAAAAAAAAAAACACAAAAAAAAAACAAAAAUAACAAAAAAAGUUGCCUAUAUUUAGAGGAGCUUUGUUUAUGUUUUUCAAAAUCAUUGAACCUCUGUUUAGAGGAGCUUUGAUCAAGAUUUUUUUAUUAAAGAAAAAAAAGAAAAAGAAAAAAAUGAAAAAAAAAAAUCUAGUUGAGUCUUAAAUGGGUGUCUACGUCUUUGCACAAUUUCUGUUUCACAAAAAAUGUGCAAAGAGGGGCAGCUGUAGACACCCUAUUUUGUCCAGGAUUCUUUGUCAAUUGAGACAAAUCCAAGCUCAGUUGCAGGAAUUUUUAUUCAUUUUUAUUUUAUAUUUUUUUAUUUCAUAUUUAUCAUUUUUUUAUUAUCUGAUUAUUUUUUUUGAAAAAAAAGGAAAGAUUGAGAUUAAGUUGGAUGAUGAUCAAAAAGCAUGAUUGGUGGCUAAUCUUUAGCAUUGGAGGACUAAGUGGAAUAGAACUGAAAUUCUAUAAAAAAACAGCAUAGUUUUUAUAAAACGAAAAAAGAGGGAGGAGAAAUCGGAAUAGGAGAGAAGAAGAAUCCGAAUAGGAGACGGCAAAAAAAGGGGAGAAAAAAAAGAGAGAGGAGUAAUCUGAAUAAGAGGAGGAGUCCGAAUAGGAGAGAAGAAAGAGGGGGGAAAGCCCCCAUCUCCACCAGCCCUCAAGGCCUCUCUUUGGUGGGCGAUCUCCCCUUCCAUGAAGUGUUUAGAGACCAAGACAUCGCAUUUGUCAAUGGUGACGUGCCUUUGACUGCCCUCUGAGCAAACGGCAGAUGUGACAUAGCUUGGAACCUCGGGUUGAGCUGCUGAAAUGGAGAAGCUAGCUAGACAGCCCGUGUGUGACCAUGUAAAGGCGAAAUCAUUGAAGCAGGAUCUUAAGAGGGAAAAGGAAUUCUGGAGAUGUCAGUCUCGGGUUCAGCGGCUUCAAGCUGGUGAUAAAAAGACAAGUUCUUUCCCAUGCUUCGUGUGUUCAGAGGCGAAGGCAUAAUCAAGUCAGGGAUUGGUUUUUAUGACAGUGGUAUGUGGAAAGAGGAUCAUGAGGGUAUUCGGGGUGUGAUACAUGACUUUUCCACCAUUUUCACUUCCUGCAGUCCGUAAAAUAUUACAGAAGCAGUGAGUGGUAUAUCUCAGGUAUUACACCCACAAUGAAUGAUGAUCCCGUCCGGGAUCAUGGUCUAUCGCAAAAUCAAAAUCCUGGGGGCAUCCCGUUAGAUCGAGGUGCUGGAGGCACCCUCUCGAGCCAAAACGAAGUUACCCAACGAAGGAGAUCACGAAUGCUUGCUGGUCAAACAUUAGCGGCUAACCCCUAGGGUCCAAAGGAGACUUGCAAUUUACUUUGUCCUUUGAAUAUCUUGUUGACGAGGAUACUGAAUAAAUUCUGCAUCUGAUUUAUUGCUGGAACGCAACCGUGAACAGUGUUUGGUUCAUCUUUUGGUUCCUUCUCUUGCAUUGCUGAUCACUCUUGUGCAGAAAAUUACAGGAAGCUAAGGAGCAGCAACAGGAAGAAAGAUCCAGAGAUCAGAAACUGACAAAAAAAAUUCCCCUGAUCCCGCUACCAAUUUUGCUUGAGCGCAUGAACAGGUCUGUUGAGCAACAAAAGUUGGCACAGGCGCAAGCUGAGCCCAAUCGCAGCUGUCUCGGUCUCGAACUCAGGAGCCGUGGCGAUAGUCCAUGAAGGAAGGCUUUGCUUCGAAAGAGGAGGUGGAAGAUCACCUGUAGAACCUGCUUUGGAGAACACGUUGGAAAAGGCGCUCCACUUUGUUACGUCGAGCAACGUGUAUGGCUAAGAUGGUGGAAUGUGCAACUGAUCCUCCUUUGGCUGCUUUUCAGAAGCUGUGUCCAAGGACUUGCAAGCUGUUGAAUAAUCAGAAUUUUAUGGCUAAGGCUUCCCUUUUGGCGGUAGUGGCGAGUUUGUCACAGGAGGGAGCAAUUGCACCUCAGAGCUUGGAAUCCUUGCGGCAAAGCAUCCAUGAACGCCUUGGGAGCACAGAUUGGAUGAUGCGAAAGGCAGCAACUGAUAUCACAGAUGCAAUUACAGACUACUCAGCUGCAGCAACAAUUGGGUUUGCAACAGCAGCCCAAUCAAUUACACCAAAAUAUGCAGCCAAGGAUUCACACAUCAAGCUUGGAGUUUUCAACAACAAAGCUUCGUGUUAUUCGAGGAGUUGCUGUCCUUGGAGGUUUUCUUCAAAAUUUUCUCUUCACGUGUUCGGGUGGUAUAACAAUUUCGCUAUAUGUUUUUUGCAGUUAUGUGGAGGACUGUGCUGUGGGUUUGCUGUUUGCUUUACUUCAAUUCUAGGUGGCAGUUCUGGUGUCCUUCAAGGAGUACUAUCCACGACUAAAUCGUUGACUAAGGAGCUCUAUCAGUUGACAUCCAUAGCAUUUUUGCUUGCUUGCUGUUUGGUGAUGAGCUGGGUUCAUUUGUUGCUGGAAUGAUGAUAUCAACCUCUGAUUUGAAUCAGCAUACACUUGAACAAGUUGAGCAAAUUCGCAAUUGCUUUGUUGCUCUCUUCCUGGCCAGUAUUGGGGAUGUUGAUUCAUGUGCAUUUCCUUUGGAAUCACGUUGAUAUAUUGCUAGCAGCUGUAAUAUUAGUGAUUGUUAUUAAAACAAUGGUAGUUGCUGCAGUUGUUAAGGGAUUUAGAUACAGCAACAAAACUUCACUUCUUGUUGGGAUGCCUUGGCCCAUUUGGGGAUGCAGCUUUGUUUUCUGGUUUGCAUCGCUACUAUAACAUGAGGUUCCUUUGGAUGUCCUCCUGUAAACUAACUCAUCAAGGUUGUCAGGAGACUGUCCAUGUUACGCCUCGCCUAGUGGUUGAAGUGACUAGGUUUGCUGUUGAGAAGGAGAUGGUUGACUUUGUUGAAACAUUAUACAUGUAUCGGUGUCUUAAAGGGUCAAGAAUCGAUGCACUUAAUUCAAUCACCAUCUCGUAAGCAAAGGUGGUGCAAGAAGAUGUUCAUUUGUUCUCGUGUUGGAUACCAAGUAAGUUUAAAAUGUUUCACAGGAAAUUUUGAUCUGUCAAGCAUCUUUUAAAUAACUCUUGAAGAUAAAACGAUUAAAAAAAAUAUAUUUUUGAGGAAAAGUUGAAAGUAUCAAUUUUCCUUAAAAAUAAAUUUCCAAAAAAUUUUUGGGGAAAAGUUGAAAGUAUCAAUUUUCCCUACACAAGAACAAUCAUCCUUUCCUUCCUUUCUAUUUUGAUUUUUAUUUUGAUUUUUCUUUAAUUAAUCCGACGACGGAGCCUCUGCAAGUGAAACAGUAAUUCUUUCUUGCAUACUCCUGAGGUGAGGGAAUUUUCUCAAUUUUCUGCUAAAAGUAUUAGAGUCAAUUGAGAAUAAUUUCCAACAACUAAUUACUUGGUAAAAUUUUAAGGCUUUUUGGAUAACAUAAAUUUAAGCUGGUACCAUCUUUUGAUGGGCGUUGUGAGGGUGCUAUAACCUUCCUCACACGUAACCGAACUCCCGAACCUUGUUCUGGUUAGCAGACCUGAACCUAUUCUUUUAGGGACCCUUAAACUUAGAUGUUUCCUGAAAGGACAGAUUCCAUAGGUGAUCAAUCGCACCUAGAUAAAAAAGAUUGGUGGCGACUCUCUAAAACCAAUGUCUAGCGAUAGAUCCCCGGAUCUAGACGUUAUGACAAAUAGCUUAUGUAAAUUUUACAAUCACAGUUAUGGCUUCUGGUAUUAUGUUAUUAAUCGUUUGUUACUAUCUUAUUCAUCAUUUACAAAGAAAUAAAGAAGAAAAUGAAAAACUUAUAGGCAAAUCACAAUAUUUUAUAUUCAUAUAUACUUUAAGAAUCCAAGUAUAUAUUCCAAUUAAAUAACGUGGAUAUCACGGCAAUGUGAAUUUCAAUGUUGACAGCAAUGUCAAGAUCCUCUCAAUCAAUAUAAUAUUUGAUGUUAUAGUCUCAUAGACUUAAAAAUAGAUAUGAAAUGCUUUUCAAAAAAAAAAAAAAAGAAAAUGGAACUUGCAAUAAAAAUUCUUCUUUCCACGAAGAAAUAGAAUGUAAGAAGAAACCACAAGGAAAGGGUGGAAAGAAUUUUUUAACCCAAACUCCACGAUUUCAUGUAAAAGUCACACUACGAGCUAAAGUAUUAAUUACAAAAUAAAAUAAAAAAGUAUAUCAUUUACAAUUGUUAUAGUAACUAGUUAUAAUUAAAAUUUAUAUGAAAUUUAUAAAAAUUUUAUAUGAAAUUCACAUUUAUAAGUGAUAGAUCCAUACAUAAUUCUUUAAGUAAUUGAAUAAUUAUAGAAUUAUAAUAAAAAGAAUUGUAGGUGAAAUACUCCAAAGUUGAUUUACCUGUUAUUAAAUUUGUUAUUAAAAUGUUAAAAAUAUUUUUAUAUUAAUAUUUUAAAAUUAAAAUUUAUUAUUUGUUAAAUAAAAUUCUCAACGUUGAACUCAAGCAUAGAGGUGUUUAUAGGCUGAUCUAGGUUGGGUCAAUUUUUUAUAUUAAUAGUUUAUAUGCUUGCUUAGGUUUGGUUUGGUCUGAUAUUUUGAGUCUCAAAAAUUUUUUUAAGGUCAACCAAAUUUGAAAAAGUAAAUACCAAGCCCCUCCAUUAAACCUAAUUUAUAUAACAAAAAUUAGAAAAUCCUUUUUUUAAAUAUAUAAAAAAAAUUUCAUAUAUUUAUAUAUAUUUAUAUAAUUAUAAUAUUUCAAUUAUAUAUAUUUUAUUUGAGUCGGAUCGGAUUCGGAUUUUAAUUUUUCCAUACCCAACCCGAAAUUUAAACAAGCUUAUAAAAAUGUGCCCAUGCCCAUUUAAUAUACUUUUAUUUUUUGUCUAAACUUUUUCAAAAUUUGACGAGCUUUUAGGCUUAGCUUGACUUUAGAACAAAUCUACUUAGGUAGAAAAAACAUAUUUAGGAUUGGAUCAAUGUCUUUGACCAAUAGCCUAGAUAAUAAUUGGGUCUAUAAACACCUAAUAAUUAACAACUACUUCAACUAUAACAACUAAGAGAAUGAUAGUGAAAUGAAUGAUUUUUAAUCAAGAUUGAUCAUUGGUAAAAAAAUAGUAUAUUUAAAGAAAAAUCAAUAAACAAAUCAAUAUAAACCAACAUAGAAUUAAAUUAAAUCCAACAUACAUGAGAUUCGAUUAUAAAAUCUAUUGCUUCCAAUCCCUUUUUCUUAUUAUUCAGACAAAACUUUAUUGAUAGUAUGAACAAAGUUUUAAUUUGUGGAAAAUAAAACUCUAUUGCUUGGUUUACAUGCAGAGGCACAUAUUUGUUUUAUUGUAAAAUUUUAGUAAUAAUUAUACAUAAGUUUAAUAAAAACAAAAAUAUAUAUUUUAUAUUUUUAUGUUGAUAUAAAUUAUGAUAUAUAAUUUUCAUAUAAAAUACAAUACAAAUACAUAAAUUUUGAUAUUUAAAUGAUACGAAUACACAAAUGGUUAAGUAUAGUCUAAUAACAAGAUAUCAUAGAAGCAUUUACAAUGUUUUAUAUAGACAACAUCUAAUUUAUGGUAGAAAAUUAUAAAAAUGAUUAAUAUUAUGAAUGAUUUUUAAAUUAUAAUAAAGUAUUUAAUAUGAUAUUUAAAUUUUAAACAUACCUAAAACAAUAUAAUAUCUAUAAAUUUUAAAAAUAAAGUAACAUCCUAAUCAUGGUAUUUGCAAGGGAUGAUUAACCGUGGAGCUACAAAAAUUAUUGGCUUUCUUAAUUCUCUAAAAACAUAUUAUUUGAAAAAAAAAAAAAAAAAAGGUGUCUAUGGACUAAAAGGAGCCGAGUUUGGUUGAAACCUAAAAUUCUUAGGUUUGGUGGGUUUUGCAAUUCAUUUUUAUUUAUCAUUAAAAAGAUUUUAUAUUAACAAUUUACUAUUUUUAAAUAUAUUUUAAAUUAAAUUAACAAAUAUGUUUAACGAGAACAAAAUAAGCAAUAAACCUUGUUAAAAGCUUUAAAAAUUUUGCUUAAGACUUGAUUGAAUUGAGACUAGCAUAUGGUCUGACACAUAGACAAGUCUAAUAUCAAGCUAUUAUAAAAAUAUUUACAUUAUUUUAUAUAGCCGACAUUCUGGUUUAUGGUGGUACAUUAUAAAAAUAAUUAAUAUUAUGAAUGAUUUAUAAAUUAUAAUAAAAUAUUUAAUAUGAUGCUUAAAUUUUAAAUAUUUCUAAUAUAACACUUAAAAUAUAAUAAAUUUUAAAAAUAGUAACAUCCUAAUCGUGUUAUUUGCAAGAAGUGAGUAAUUCAUGGAGUUGCAAAAAUAAUUGGUAUUCUUAAUUCUCUAAAAAUAUAUAAUUUGAGGAAAAAAAAAAAAAGGUGUCCAUGAACUAAGAGGAGCGAGCACGGUUGAAACUCAAGAAAUCUUAGGUUUGGUGGGCUCUGCAUUUUAUUUUAAUUUAUCAUUAAAAUAUGAAAAUAUAUUUAUACUAAUCUUUUAAUAUUUUAAAUAUAUUAUAAAAUAAAAUUAAAAAAUAAUUUUUUAUAAUAUAAUAACACAAUUAAUUUGAAGUAAACAUAAAAAACUUGGCAAGUCAAGGUUCUUGCGUAGACUCUGUUUGGUUCCUUUUUCUUUUUGCCUAAAGAGUAUUAGUGUCUUUUGUUGUCUACUCUCAUCGAUGGUAAAUUUCAGGAAUUAAAACUUGAAUAAAUUAGUUUAUUAUUAAAAUCACAUUUUCUUGCAAGUUGCCGACGUACUUUACAAAAAUUUUGCAAUGAGAUAAGGUGCGUGCCUUUGCGUGUAAAACGAAGCACAAGACUUUCAACAAAUUAAAACGUUAUUCACGCUUAAGUAAAACUAACGGGGAAGAAAUGACUGAAGUGUCAAGCAAGUUGGAGUUAAUUUCUCAACAACUUUCUUUUAGGUUUGGCCAACAACCGACAUUGCAUUUGCUUUUAAAAGACCAAUAGUUAUUUUUUUUAUUCAGUUUUUUCUAUUUGUAUUUUUUUUUCACUUUUUGGAAUUUUUUUUUAUGUAGAAAAGCCAAAAGUGCAAUAUGAUAUUAAAGUAUUUUGAAAAACUAAAAAUUAAAGAAAAAAAAAGUUUUUUAAGUAUUAUUAUUUACCAUAUUAUUCAAUUUAAAAUUAUUUUUUAUAAAUGAUUUUUUUUUUUAAAAAAAAUCCCAUUCAAAGCGAAAGCUUCAUUCUAUUGAUAUAUGAAAGCAUAAAUUUCUUUUAUCCUUUAUUAAUAGCUUUUGUAAAUUUUUAGUAUUAAAAUUAUGAAAUUUAAUAUCAUAUUAUUGAUCGUUUACUGCUAUUUUGUUAAUCAUUUACAAAGAAAUCAGAAAAGAAAAUGAAAAACUCGUAGACAAAUCACAACAUUUUAUAUUCAUAUAUACUUUAAGAAUCCAAGUCUAUAUUCCAAUUAAAUAACGUGGAUAUGAAGACAAUGUGAAUUUUAAGGUUGACGCCAAUGUGAAGAUCCUUUCAAACAAUGCUAUAUUAGAUGUUAUAGACUUAUAGAUUUAAAAGUAAAUAUGAAAUGCCUUUAAAAAAAAUAGAAAUCAAAUGGAACAUGCAAUAAAAGUUUCUUCCAGGAAGAAAUAAAAUGCAACAGGAAGUCACAUGGAAAACGUGGAAACAAUUUUUAACCCAUACUCCACGAUUUCACGUAAGUCACAUUAUGGCCUAAAGUAUUUAUUACAAAAUGAAAAAAAAAAAAAAAAUCAAUUGUAUCAUUUACAAUUAUUAUAGUAGCUAAUCACAAUUUAAAAUUAUGUGAGAUUUAUUAAAAUUUUAUAUAAAAAUCACACUUAUAAGUGGUGGACCCAUAUAUAAUUUUUUUAAUGUAAUUAAAUAAUUAUAAUAUUGUAAUAAAAAAAUUAUAGGUGAAAUGUUCCCAAACUCAUUUACUUAUUUCAAUUAAAUUUGUUAUUAAAAUGUUAAAAAUAUUUUAUAUUAAUAUUAUAAAAUUAAAUUUUAAUUAAAAUAUAUUAUUUAUUAAUAUAAUAAAAUUCUCAACGUUGAACUCAAGUCUUAAAAAAAUCAUAUUUAGGACUGGAUCUAAAUCGUUUGACCAAUAGCCUAGAAAGUGGUUGGGUUUAACAAGUACUCCAACUAUAACAACUAAGAGAACGAUUGUGAAAUGAAUGAUUUUUUUAUCAAGAUUGAUCAUUGGUACAAAAAAAACUAAUAACCAAAACAACUGAAUAAUAGAAAAAUAGUAUAUUUAUAGAAAAUUUAAAUUAAAUCCAACAUAUAUACAAUGAGAUUUGAUCAUAAAACCUAAUGCUUCCAAUCCCUCUUUCUUAUUAUUGAGACAAUUUUGCUCUAAAUAUGAUUUUUAAUUUGAGGAAAAUAAAAGUCAUUGUCUUAUUGCAAAAUUUUUUUCUAAAUUAUGUCGGCCACUUUCGACAGAGUGAUUUCAGUGACUAUUUUAUACCAAAUUUCAAUUCCAAAAAUAGUAGAAUUUACCACAGAUGAGCGAAGACAAGAAAGAGACUAACACUCCUUUUGGUAAGAAGGAAAGGACGAGGGAAAAAAGUGCUAAUAUUUUUUUACUUUCCUUUUCUUUCUUUCUACAACACGGAGUCUAAACGAUCGAAGACCACCUUGAUUGUCUAUAUAUAUUAAGCUUGAUGCAAGGCUUAUCGUUAUAUAUUUAGAACUAGCAGUUUAGAGAGAAUUGAAAAUAAAAAGAUCAUAUAUAAAGAAAAAGAGAUGAUGGAACCCAAAUGGUUGUUGUGAGUGUGUUGUUGUUGUUGUUAGAAGGAUGCAGAUGGUAUAGUACUGAUGCCUGUUGGAGGAAGAGAGGAUUGCUCUCUUGCAACUCAAACCUUUCUUCAAUCCUCAGAACGAUCUGAACAGCUGGGUUGAUGAGAUCAAGGGUUCAGAUUGCUGUCAAUGGGAUAGGGUCGAGUGCAACACCUCCUCCUCCUCUUCCAAGCGAGUCAUAGGACUCUUUCUUAAUUAUAUAAGAUGGUCCAAAAACGAAAGAUGGUAUCUUAAUGCCUCUUUGUUUCUUCCUUUCAAGGAACUGAAGCAUCUUUAUUUGCCAGGGAAUAACAUCGCUGGUUUUGUUGAAAGUGAAGGUCGCUUUUGCCUUUUCAUCUUCAAUUAUUUCAUUGUUAAUUUGCAAUAUGAAAAUUCAUUCAUCAGUUCUUCAUUUUUACAAUUUCAUAUUUAAUUCUAUUUUUGUUUUAUUGAUGAAAAGCCACUAAGUCCUUAUUAUAUAUUUAAAAGAACUCUCUUGCAGGUUUUGCAAAGCUAAAUUUGGAGAUCCUUUAUUAAGUUACAAUUACCUCAAUGAUACAAUUUUAUUAUCUUUGAGUCAGCUUUCAUCUCUCAAGGAUUUAUAUCUAGCAGGAAACUUGUUCACAGGAUCAACUUAUGCAAACGUUAGAGUUAAAACCAAUCUAAUUAUGAUUAUGAAUUAUAUACAUUAAUUAAAAUACUAAUCUUUUUUCGAUACAGGUUUUCAAUGGCUUUCAAGACUUAGUAAUUUGAAAACUCUUGAUUUAGGGGACAAUUCUUUGAAAAAUAACAUAUUGUUUCAUAUGAAUGGUCUUUCAUCUUUAAGGAUUUUAAGUUUGAGUACAAAUCACUUGGAAGGAACCACUCAUAUUCAUGAUAAACUUGCUUUAUCUUUCUUUUACGUUCAAAUCAAUUGUUGUUUUAGAAAAAGGUGUUGCAUAUCAUUUGCUUUAAUAUGAACUAUUAAUUAUUCAUUGGCAUUGAAUAGGAUUGAAUAAUUUGACAAAUUUGAAGAACUUGGAUUUAAGCAGAAAUAGAAUUGAAAGCUUUCAACCAUCAAAGCAAGGUAUAAAUAUAUAUUUCAAUUCACUUAAUUAAGUUCUUAUUUAUGUGAUCAAUGCAUAAAAUUUCCGAUUAACAAUGGCAUAUAAUAGAAAUAUUCUUCUACAGGAAAGGAGAUGCAACUAAGGAUGACCAAUUUGGAGGUUCUUGAUUUAAGUAGUAAUCUCUUCAAGAACGACACUUUUGCCUUCCUUUCUGGCCUUCCAAGUCUAAAGUCUCUGAAUAUGGGGGACAACCAAUUGCAAGGCUCAAUAGAUAUUGAAGGUAAAGCUAUUACAGCUUUUUUUUUUUUUUAAUUCUGUUUUUGAACCUUUUUGCUCAUCAAAUAGGAACUUGCUUUAUCUUUCUUUUACGUUCAAAUCAAUUGUUGUUUUAGAAAAAGGUGUUGCAUAUCAUUUGCUUUAAUAUGAACUAUUAAUUAUUCAUUGGCAUUGAAUAGGAUUGAAUAAUUUGACAAAUUUGAAGAACUUGGAUUUAAGCAGAAAUAGAAUUGAAAGCUUUCAACCAUCAAAGCAAGGUAUAAAUAUAUAUUUCAAUUCACUUAAUUAAGUUCUUAUUUACGUGAUCAAUGCAUAAAAUUUCCGAUUAACAAUGGCAUAUAAUAGAAAUAUUCUUCUACAGGAAAGGAGAUGCAACUAAGGAUGACCAAUUUGGAGGUUCUUGAUUUAAGUAGUAAUCUCUUCAAGAACGACACUUUUGCAUUCCUUUCUGGCCUUCCAAGUCUAGAGUCCCUGAAUAUGGGGGAGAACCAAUUGCAAGGCUCAAUAGAUAUUGAAGGUAAAGCUAUUACAGCUUCUUCUUUUUUUUAAUUCUGUUUUAGAACCUUUUUGCUCAUAAAAUAGGUAAAAUCUCAUAUCACAUUUGGGGAUUUUUCCUCUUCACUUAAAGCUUUAGAUUUGUUUUGCCGUUUACUUCAUUAUAGAGUCAUUAAAAAUAUUGAGUAAAAGAUUAUUUGAGUAACCGGGCUAACAUAAUGAUUAUUUGAAUUAAACUUGGACAUAGAAUUGAAUAAUUUGAUGAAUCUGAAGAGGUUGUAUUUAUACUCCAACAAAAUUGAAAGCCUUCAUUCCUUACAAGGUAUGCAUUUAUAUUUGCUCAAUUAGUUAAGUUGUUAUAUAUAAUUAAAUAUUAUGUAAAUCUUUUUUUAGUGAUGAAAUUAUGUAAACCUUAUGUAGAUAGUGGGAGACAGCUGAACUUGACCCAUUUAGAAGAAUUUGAUUUGAGUGAUAAUCUCAUUAAUGACAACAUAUUUGCAUCACUUAGCGGGCUUUCAAAUUUGAAGUAUUUGGAUAUAAGCUCCAAUCAGUUAAAUGGAUCAAUAGAUAUGAGAGGUAACAUUACUUUUUUGGCAAAAAUUUUGAAUUUGUUAACAAAAAUCUUAAUUCAUGUUUCAAGAUGAUAUAACAAAUAAGUUCAUCUGUUUUUUUCUUUAAUGAUGAAAUUAUGUAAAUUUUUUAUAGAUAUUGGGAAACAGUUAAAAUUGACCAAUUUCUAAAUGCUUGAUUUAAGUCAUAAUCUAAUUAAUUAUUACUUUUCAACCAAAAUUUCAACUCUAUUACAAAUACUUAAAAAAAACAAAUUUCAUGUUUUCAGGUCAUUUAAUGACGUUUUUUUUUUUUUCCAGACUUGGGUGCUUUUAUCAACUUAGAGGAACUGGAUAUGAGCUCUAAUGAUCUGAAUGAAUUUGUGGCUUGUAAAGGUAUGGAUUUAAAUAAAUUUUCUAUUUUUAUUUGAGAGGUUUAUAAUGAUGUGGAUGUUUUAAUGAUCAACAAAUUUAGCAUAUUAAAAUUUAAUGCUCAAUUUUUUAAAAGAAGAAAUUAAUUAUUAUUAUAUGCUUUUUACUACAAUACUACAAUUCUCUAAUUAUAAUAAAGAAUUAUGUAAGAAUCCACCAUUUAUAAGUGUGAUCUUCACAUAAAAUUUUGUUAGACCUCAUGCAAUUUUGAAUUGUGAUUGCUUAAUCGUGUUACAAUGAUUAUAGGUGAAAUGCUCUUAUUAAAAUUAAUGCCCAAUUUUUUAAAGGAAGAAAUUCAUUGUAAUUUGAUUACUAAUUAGAAAAUGAUAUAUAUUUGCCUUAGAUAAUUGCUUUCUUUAAGAAGUGUUGCAACGGCAUAUCAAAUAUUUUCCUUUUUGUUUGUAUUACCUUGUUGUGUCUUAGAGUUGGACUUGUUUGCCUUUUGUCAUUCUAUUUAAGAUUACUACGUAUUCUUAUUACCGUUUAAAAAAUUUUGCCUUUUCAUGUUACUGUUUUGUUUGAUUUUCAUCUUUUUGAUUGUUUCGUAUAUUAAAAUUUAUAUUAAAAAUAUUUAACUAUUCAAUAUUCUUCUCUAUUAAAAAUUCAUUUUGCAUUAAUCUUGAAUAUAUAAUCUUAUCUACAAAAAUGAAAAUUUUCACUCAUUUAUUUUUUUCAUUUACAGAGUAUAAGAGUUUGAAAAAGUUAAAAGUUCUUCGUCUAAAUAGGGUUUUUACCAAUGGAAGCAUUCCAUUACUACUAAAAUUAGUAGAGGCAUUCCCGUCGGUUAAGACCUUCGAUCUACAAUGUAAUUACUUAAACAAGACUAUGGCUACUCAAGAUCAAGGUAAGUCAUUAAUUUAUUCCAGAAGGACUAAAAAUUAGUAGAUGUUUGUUGAUUAACAUCUAAUAAUACCUCCUAUGCUAUGAUUACUUAGAAUUGCAUGUGUGGAGCAAUGUGGAGGAAAUACUUCUAGACAAUUCUUAUCUCAACAACAACAUUUUGCAAAGCAUUGGAGUAUUCACUUCUCUUAAAACUUUGUCUUUACGUAACUGUGGACUUAUGGGUUCCUUACCUAAUCAAGGUAAAUUAAAGACUUUAUAAUUUCUCCAAUAUAACUCAUGGAAUACAUCUAUUUCCAAUAAUCCUUUAUUCCAUUUCUUUCAUCUAAUAUCUUUUAUAUAUAUUCUGUUUUGGAAAUCAAAAUUUAAUUAAAAUUUCUUCCAUGAAUUUAUAAAAUUUUCAGGUUGGUGCGAUCUAAGGAACCUUAAGAGUUUGGAUAUCAGAAGGAAUGCACUUGAGGGGAUACUUCCUUAUUGUUUGGGUAACUUGACAUCUCUUCUUGAGUUAGAUAUCUCCAACAAUCAAUUUACUGGAAAUUUGACUCCUUUAGCAAAUCUUUCAUCACUUAGAUUUGUCUCCCUUUUAAGAAAUCGUUUGCAAAUUUCAAUGCCAUUCUCGUCACUUGCAAACCUUCCAAAUCUCAAGGUUCUUUUGGCUGAUGAAAACAAGAUAGUAAUGGAACCUAAUUCCUUUCAUACUUCAAUUCCAAAGUUCCAACUAAACAUCAUCAGUUUGUCAGAGUGUAUAAUAGACAAAGGACUUAGUCUACAACCUCCUAAGUUCCUUUAUUACCAAUAUGACUUGAGAUAUGUUGAUCUUUCCCAUAACAAUUUCAGUGGAACAGUCCCGUUAUGGUUGCUAGAAAACAACACAAAAUUAGAAAAUCUCUUCUUGUUGGGUAAUUCUUUCACUGGUCCUCUCUUGUUACCACAUCAUUUUCAUCCUAAUGUGUCUUUAAUUGACAUAUCUGAAAACAAAUUACAAGGUCAAAUUUCGACAAAUAUAUGUUCAACUUUUCCAAAUUUGGAAUUGUUAUUCUUAUCUAAGAAUGCCUUUGAAGGUAAUAUCCCUCCUUGUUUAAGUGGCAUGAACACUUUAUCAAUUUUAGACCUAUCGGACAAUCAUUUGUUUGGAAGAGUACCAGAAGAGUUGAUCAUGAGAAGCUCAUUAGAUGUUCUUAGGCUAUCAAAUAACAACCUAAGUGGAAAGAUUUUUCCUUUGAUGUUCAACAAAAGAAAGUUGUCAAGUUUGUAUUUGGAUGGCAAUAAUUUUGGUGGAGAGAUUCCUGAUAUUGAUGUCUCUACUACUGAUUUUUCACAUUCAUCACUAGAGGAUAUUGAUCUCAGUAAUAAUAGUUUUAAUGGAAAGCUCCCAAGAUGGAUAGGGAAUAUAUCGCAUUUGAAGAGAUUGGCUUUGUCAAACAAUCAUUUUGAAGGUUCUAUUCCAAUGGAAUUUUGCAACUUGUUUAAGCUUGAAUUUUUGGAGCUUUCUCAAAACAAUUUAUCUGGCUCUAUUCCUUCUUGUUUCAAUUCACCAUUUUUGAGACAUGUCCACGUGAAGAGAAACAGACUAAGUGGUCCAUUGACACUUGCUUUUAAUAGCACUUCAUUAGUGACAUUAGAUCUUAGAGGGAAUAAUUUGACCGGUAAUAUUCCAAAAUGGAUUGGCACAUUUUCUUCUUUAAGCGUCCUUCUUUUGAAAGAUAAUCAUCUAGAUGGUGGAAUUCCAGUUCAAUUAUGCAAGUUGUAUUCAUUGAGCAUCAUAGAUCUUUCUGGAAAUAUGUUUUCUGGUCCUAUACCUUCUUGUUUGGGUAAUUUAACUCUGGCAAUGAAAAAGGAGAAGUCUUCUAUGGAUGUUUUGCAUAGAGUAGUUUCAAUGUAUGAUCUACCAAUAAACAUUCCAUUUUAUUUUUCACAUGAUUAUCUUAGUAGCUACAUGGAAGAAGGGAUAGAGUUUACAACAAAGAGUGUGUCCUAUUCAUAUAGUGGUGACAUUCUUGAGUACAUGUCUGGGAUUGAUUUAUCUUGUAACAGGUUAACUGGGCAAAUCCCACUCGAAAUGGGAAAUUUAAGUGAAAUCCAUUCGUUAAACUUAUCCUACAAUAACUUGGUCGGAGUUAUACCUUUAUCAUUUUCACAACUUAAGCAAAUUGAGAGUUUGGACCUUUCUUACAACAACUUGAGUGGUAGAAUCCCAAUACAGUUGGUUGAGUUAAACUUUCUAGAGGUUUUCAGUGUGGCACACAACAACUUGUCAGGUAGUAUUCCAGAGCCAAAAGCUCAGUUUGGGACCUUUGAUGAAAGCAGCUACGAGGGAAACCCUCUUCUUUGUGGGCCUCCAUUGCAAAAUAACUGCUUUAAAACUGAGUCACCACCAACAGUACCUACUACAACAGACAAUGAAGGAGAAGGUAGUUUCAUGGACACAUAUGUUUUUUGUGUGAGCUUUCUGGUUUCAUAUGUAAUUGUUUUAUUGGGAAUUUUUGUUGUUCUAUACAUAAAUCCAUAUUGGCGACAAGCAUGGUUUUCUUUCAUUGAGAGUUGCAUCACUACCAGUCGCUACUCAAUUGUGGGCAAUUUUCUUGAGUUAUGCAUCUUCAGAAGAUGUGCCUAGGUAUUAUGGGAGCUCUUAUGAUUUGCCUUUUGUUUGAAUGUGGUGAAGAUUUGGAUAAAGUUGAUUUUGUUGUCAGAAGAAGUUUGGUGAUUUGAUCUUUUAAAUAGGGGAUUUCUUUUAGCUGACUGUUCUGUUAAAAUAGUUGUAGGAAGAGUUGUGGAUUUUGCACUUUGAACAGAGCUUUAUGUCUCUGUCGAAACUCUGUUUUUGGUAUUUGUUUUGUUUCGAAGGAAGCCUAUAGCUUUGUGUCUUAUUGAUUUUAUUUUCUACACAAAUAUUCAAUUCUCUAUUCUCCAUCAUCUACAAGUUAUUAUUAAUAUCUUUUCCAAGUUAUUAUUCAAAUUGGCAAAUUUUUCCUCAUUAGUUUUGACUUAGUUUUGAGCUUCUAGUAAAUGAUAUCUGGCAUAAAUUGUAGCGAAGGCAAAGAUUGCUGGCUAUGGCCUACCAAGAACAUUUCUAAAGUUGUAUUGGUUGGCUUCAUUUGUUUUAACCAGAUUUUAUAUCGAUCGUAAAAAGCUUUUUCAAUUUAUUUUCUUUGAUGCUUAAAAAAUUAGAUUUUAAACAAAAACAAUACUAAUUGUAUUAGUAAGAAUUUGAAUUUUAAAUGCAAUACAUCACAAUAAGUCAAUAAUUAAGAAUAUAUAAAAUUUUUUAAAAGAAAUUCUAUCAUAUUAAAGUAAUAUGAAAUAGUCAAGAAUGUGUUUUGUUUUUUAUUAUUUAUCAAUUUCUCAUUUCUAGCUCUUUUAAAGAGGUUUAUUUUUAUUUAAAAUUACUUAAUAUUUGUUGUCUUUCGGAAAUUAGUAUUAGUUUAUAAAAUGGGCCAAAUAAGCAUUUAUUGUUGAAAAUAUCAUUUUGAUCGCAAAAUGCAAUUAUUUUCUUUUAUAGGGUUACAAAUUAUUCCAAAAUAAAAAAAAAAAUUAGGUUUAUAUAUCUCAUACACAUGCAAACCCCAUCAACUAAAUAAAUUAAAUGUUGAAUCUUCCAAAGCAACAAUGAGAUCAUGACUUAGUAGUUAUGUUAUAAAGGGUGUUAGCCAAUGAGAUCAUGACUUAGUAGUUACAUUGUAAUUUAUUAGUUCAUUAUUCAAUAAUUAUAAUUUGAUUAUGAUAUAAUAAUUGAUUAUUCUGUUAAUUAUAUGAAUGUAAUACUUGAUUAUGAUUAUAACAAUUAAAAAAAACUAAAAUUUUUGAAUCUAUUCUUUGCGUGGUUAAUUUUUAUUUUAAAAAAAAGCUUAAAUAAUAUAUACCAUAUAAAUAGUGAUUUCAAAAGUUCAAAGAGUUUCUCUUUAAAAAAAACAACCCUCAUACUACUUUAUUCAAAAAUAAAAAAUAAAAAAUAAAUUUAAAAAACAUAAAAAAAUAAUAAAAAUAAAACAGCAAAGGUAUCAAAGGAAAAAAAAUUAAAAAAAAAAAAAGAAUAACCUCAUAUCUAACUGUAGCAUUUCCAUGAAAGAAAAUGAAAUAAUGGAGUAAAAUCCUCAUCCUUUUUCACCGCAAAGAACUUAUGUGUAAAUUUGAUCACAUAUAAACCAAUAAAUAAUCAUAAAAUAAGUACACCUGGUCUACAAAUAAUUAAUAAUUGGUAUACAAAGAUUACAAAAAAUUAAACACAUUUUAUUAUUUCUAAUAAAAUUGAAUUAUAUUAAUUUUUUAAAAUAUUUAUUUUUAAAUCAUUGAUUAAUGGAGAAUGAGAAAAGAUUAAAAUUAAUCUAUACCUUACUACUAAGGAUCCAGAACAUCAACUUAACAUUUGUAAAUUGAAUUACUUAAUUUCAUUUAAUGACACUUAUCCUAAAAAAUCAUAUAGCGUUUGCAUCCAUGAGGUAUUGGUUGGUUUUGUAAGGGGCAUAGAUAUGAAUAUAUAUAUAUAUAUAUAUUCAUAGAACUUUUUGGUUUUUUUUCUACAUUGAUCCAACUAAAUUUAAAUAAAAAUAAAUAAAAAAUAAAAACUAUAUAUAUUCAUAGAAAUUUUUGGUUUUUUUUCUACAUUGAUUCCACAAAAUUUAAAUAAAAAUAAAAAUAAUACAAAUAAAAUUUAAUCUAUUUUAUAAAACAAAAUACAAGUGAAAUGACUAAAAAAAUCAAAUCUAUUAUACUAUAAUAGUUGUCCAAUUAUGUACAAGGAUACACUCAAACAAUUAUAUAUCGAGAUUAGCAGUUAUAAAAUAAUGUUAUUCAAUAUUUUUCUAAUAAUGGGAUAAGAUAUAUUUAAAUUUAUCAUUUAUAUUUUAGAUCUGGGGAAAGGAGAUUAGGUUGGGUUAAAUUAAUGUUAGAGGGGUUUAUCAUUUAUAAUUGUUUCAAAAUUAUAAUCUAUUUUUAUAUUGUUGAAUUAUAUAAAAAAUGCUAAUAAUCUUGCAAUCAUUUGGUAGUUAAUAUAGCAUUAAACUCCUAAUUUUUAUGAUCAUAAUUUUAUUCUUGAUAUAUUCAAAUACCAAAAAAUUAAGAGUUUAAAUUUAUAUUAGAAUGAUCAUUGAUAAGUACUAUACAUUUACCAGCAUCAAAUCAAUAUUGAUUGUAAAUCUUAACACUAAUUAACUUAUUUAAAAAUAAUUAAUUAAAAUAAAAUUAAAAAACAUUAGGACAGCCUAAAUCGUUUUCUCAAAUCUUCAUUUAAAAAAGUUGAUAAAAACCUAAGAUAAAAUGUUAGUCACUUAUAAAAAAAAAACAAAAUUCCCAAUGAAGAUUUGAUUCCAUUCUCUUUUGUUGUUUGCUAUAGAUGGCUAUAACUUCUAAAAAAUGAUAAAUAUUUAUGGAAGAGAUAUCAGUGCGGUGUUGUUCUAAGAGACUGCGAGGGUAAUAUUAGAAGUUUGUUUUAUGGCCCUCUUGGUGAUCAGGAGUCAAAUACUGCAGAAGUUUUGGCCAUUAAGACUGCACUUCAAAUGUUUUCUUCUUCACCUUGGCUGGGAAAGGUUGUUCUAGUUUUGAAAUCAGAUUCAAAAGUAGCAGUGAGUUGGGUGCGUAAUAAGAAUGCCAGACCAUGGAAACAAUGGCUGAUAUUUGCGGAAACUUAUAAGCUAGUGGAAAUCAUAGGAAAAGGUUAAGUUUGGACACAUUUUUGAAGAAGCCAAUUACUUUGCUGAUUCAUUGGCAAGGAAGGGGGUAGACAGUCUUAGUUUGUUUUAUGCAUGGCUGUAAUAUGAUAAUAUUUCCUGUGGUGAAUAGGUAGUUUCUGGAAAUAUUGCUAUCAGGUGCAAAGACUGUUUCUGAUCAAUAAAAUUUUUUUGACUGAGAAAAAAAAAGAACGAAGAGAAGUUUUCAAUCCAUUGUUGAUUAAAAACCUAUAGCCUCAUCUAAAAGAGGCAAUUUUUAAUCAAAAUUAAUGAAAAUUUUGAGAAGAUGAGAAAAGAGAGGAGAAAAUUGCUAGAGCUUCUUCAUUUUCUCAUUAAAGCUCUAUUUCGUUUUUUUUUUUUUCAAUUAAUUGUUAGUUAUUACUAGUUGAAUAUGUUAAUUAAAGAGAAAGGUUAUUAUGGAUUAGUUUGGUUUCACUUUCAUACAUAAAUAGGUUAGUUAAGGAUUAAAGGUUAUUAUAAAUUAAUUUGGUUUCGCUCUCAUAGAAGCGUGAUAUUAGUUUCAAUCUUUUAAAAAAUUAUAAUAUGGUAUUUUAUUAUUGAUUUUCAAAAAUUUAGUUUUAGGAUCAUUAUGAUCCUAGUGAAACCCAAAAAAAUAUAUAGUAUAAAUUUUUUACAUAUAAUUAAAUAUUAUAUGACUUCUUAUUAAAAAAAAAUUUAACUAAGCCAUCAGUUAUGUGGGAAAAUGUCUUUGAUUUAAGAAGGGAUUUCUAUUCGAGCCAUUGCUAAGAAAAAUGGACAUUUCGUGAGGAAUUGAGAGUGUCACCUAAUACAUCCUUCAUGGCAAAUAAAGAGAACAACCAAUGCUUUUUUUUUCUUUUCCUUUUUGCUAUUUUUUCACAAAUUUUGGAUUGCCAUUUUUGUUUAAUUUGGGCUUAGAAAGCCCUAAAAUAAUUUGGGUUGCCUUUCCUUUUCUUUUUUCCUAUUGGUCUCUUUUUCUUUUUUUGUGUUUUGUAAAUUUUUUUUUACAAAAAUACAAAAAAGUGGAUAUAUAUAUCUAAAAAAGUGCAUGUAGGCAGAUUUUUUUUUUUUUUAAAGUGGAUAUAAGCAUGUAUCUUUUAAUUUUAAAUUUUUUAUAAUAUUUUAUUUGAUUUUUUUUUAUCAAUUCUCCCAACUAAACUUGUGUCAUUCAUUUGACUCAUAACGUGAGUUUUAACCAAAAAUUUUAUAUUAGCACUGGAACUUUAACAUAGUGCAAAACAUGUUUUGAACAAAAAAUUGUGUUCUGAAAAAAAUAAUAUCUAAAAAAAGAUGCGUAAUUUUUUUAAAUUGAAAACACAUUUGUAUCUUUUAUUUAAAAAUUUAUAAUAGAUAUAUAUUUGCCAAUUCACCCAACUAGUUGCCUAUCACUUGAGAUAGUCAAUCAAUCGGGAUGUAUGACUAUAGAUAUUCUAUACUAAUAUUAGAGGGAUGUUAUACGGUUAAAACCAAAAUAUCUAUGUCGAUCAAACGCAAGUAAGCGAUGUUAAAACUGCAGUAAGCCUCAGGAGUAGAGGGAAACAACAGGAGGGUGUGGAAAAGAAUAUGGUCUCUGCAGGUUUCAACCAAGAUUAGAGCUUUCAUGUAGUGGGUUUGUCAUGAUAUUAUAUAGCUAAUGGUUAACUUGGCAAGAAGGCAAUUCCAAUGGAAAAAACUUGCUUGCGGUGCGGGGUUGGUGAAUGUCGAUGAGCAACAAAGUGUGGGACACCUAAACUAUUAGUGGGAGAUGAUAACGAAGUGCAGUAAGAGAGUAUAGGUUGGUUCCCUGAGAUGAUUAUGAAACUUAAGCACAAUUGUUGCGAUAACAUGAUGGACAAUAUGGAAUAGUCGAAAUUAUGAGGCUCUCGGAGAGCAAAGGAGGAGUUCCCUCGGGUCAGCAACAUUCGCCAAAACUUACUUGCUGGAAUUCACCAAGCUUAGUAGCAGCAGAUCAUAAUUCUGCAAACGCCAAAUGGUAUCUCAAAAAUGAAAACUCCCAGUUAGUGACUGCUAUAAAAUAAACUUUGAUGGGGCCAUUGACAGAGAGCAAAAAAUUAAAAUUAUAAUGAUAAAAUAUAGUUAAAGGAUAUUUUUUCUUUUAAUUUUCAAAAAAACUACGUACACAUCUAAAAUCACAUAAAUUUUUUUUAACUCACUUUUUUUUUCUCAUUUUUCACCUAGAACAUUAUCAUUUUCGAUAGACUAAAAAAAGUAAUAAUCUAUAUAGAUUAAAUAUGACAAGACUCAAAAAUGUUAAAAUAAGUUAUCUUAUAUCUACUAAAUUAUCAAUAUCAUGUAGUCUUAUAUUCAAGUUGAAUCUUUUUAUUUACUAUCAAUUAAUUUUAAGUUGGAUACUUAAUAUAAUAUCAGAGUCAAAAAAUUUUUUCUAUUGUUCUUUUUUAAUUUGUUACAUGAAAAUUUUCUUUCAUUUUCACCUACAUGUGACGGGGUUUAUUAAAAUGAGUUAGUUUAUAUCUAAUAAAUUUUUAAUAUUUUGUAUUUUUAUAUUCAAGUUGGAUUCCUUCACUUAGUAUCAAUUGAUUUUAAAUUGAAUACUUAAUAAAAAACAUACUUACACUGAAUCACUAAAAUAUAUGAAAUCUUUGUUUUAUUUAUAGGAUAGAUGUUUUCAAUAUAUAUAUAUAUAUAUAUAUAUAUGCAAAAUUUUUCUUUGAAAGGCUAUAUAUUUGUUUGUAAACUAUUAUGUGUAGACACCCAAUUUGGUCCAAGCCCAGAUCAAUUGGGCCUGGCCCAAAUAGAUAAGCCCAAUUUGGUUCUUAUUUGAGGUUAUUUUUAUUUUAUUUUUUUCUUUCUUUUGUAUUUUAUGUAUUUUAUUUAUUUAUUAUUACUAUGUAUUAAUAUCUUUAUUUAUUUAUUUAUUUAUUUAUUUAUUAAUAUUUAUAUGUAUUUUAUUUAUAUAGUUAUAUAUUUAUUAUUAUAUUAUAAUUUAUGUAUUAUUUUUUUCUUGUAAUAUUUUUUUCAGAUUUUUAAUUAUCUGUUAAUAAUUUUUUUUCUCUUUUUCUGUUUAUCUGAUUUGUCGUUUAUCUGAUUAUUAUUUUUUUUUCUUUUUCUAGGGCUGCAAUUGAAAGCUGAAGAAUCCUGCUGAGAAUGAGGAUUCAAUCAGAAAAGUCCAAAUUGAUUCAAAGAUUGAAUCCCCGUCCAAAGAGGAAUUGGGAUUGAUCAGAAACUCCUGAUCAAUCCCUAUAAAAGGGACCCUCUGGAACAGAAGCAAUGGACAGAAAAAAAAUAGUGAGCAAAGCUACUGAUUUGAGAGAUAGAAGAGUAUAGGAGGCUAAGAAGUGUUCUGGAGUUAGUAGGAAUUUUUUUUGAAGAUUUUUGGCGAUUUUUUUUUCUUGGAAUUUUUGGAAAAUUCCAGAUUCAGUGAAUUUUCUGACGAAAGUUAAAUUUUUCGGUGAAAAUUCUGACCAACUUUGAAGUUUUCGGUGAGCUGCCCAGUUUCCGGUGACCUUUCCUAGAAACCGACCAACUUUCGGCCAACUUUCGACGAAAAAAAAUCAGAUUCCGACGACAAAUCCCAGAAUCCGAUGAAUCUUCAACCGGAGUUCUUCGGCUUUUUAGAGAGAAGGGAGAGGAAAAAAAGAAGAAGAGAGAGAGAGAAGAGGAGCGUUCUGUCGAAAAACAGAGGGAAGAGCCUUAUAUACCCUCCCAAAACGACGUCGUUUUGGCCUUAAGUGACCUAGAGGAUCCGCGCAUUUUGUUGAGAUCCGACCCGACCCGAGCGUCGACCCGUUUCCUGACCCGCGCGUGUCUGUCCCCCUUCGAGCCGAGCUUCCGAGCCGAGCCGAGCUUUCAAGCCGCUCUCCCAAGCCGUUUCUCUUCCUUGAGCCGAGCCGAGCCGAGCCGUACUUCGAGCCGAGCCAGGUUUUUUUUUUAUUUGUUUUUUUAUUUAUUAGAUUAGGUUUAUUUAAUAUUCUUUUUAUCUUUAUUUUAUUUUUAUUUUUUAUUUUUCUUUUUUUUUAUUUUUUUAUUUAUGUUCACUUUUAUUUUGUUUUAUUAUUCUAUUUUCUUUAAAUAAAAAUAAAAAAAAAUAUUUUUGGGGAAAAGUUGAAAGUAUCAAUUUUCCUUGAAAAUAAAUUUUCAAAAAAGGUUUUUGAGGAAAAGUUGAAAGUUUCAAUUUUCCUUGAAAAUCAAAGUUUCCAAAAAAAAUAAUUUUUGGGGAAAAGUUGAAAGUAUCAAUUUUCCUUAAAAAUAAAUUUCCAAAAAAAUAUUUUUGGGGAAAAGUUGAAAGUAUCAAUUUUCCUUAAAAAUAAAAUUUCAAAAAAAGGGGUUUUUGAGAAAAGAUUAAAAGUAUCAAUUUUCCUUGAAAAUCAAAAUUUCAAAAAAUAUUUUUAGGGAAAAGUUGAAAGUAUCAAUUUUCCUUAAAAAUAAAUUUCAAAAAAAAUUUUUGAGGAAAAGUUGAAAGUAUCAAUUUUCCUUGAAAAUCAAAUUUCAAAAAAAAUAUUUUAGGAAAAGUUGAAAGUAUCAAUUUUCCUUAAAAAUAAAUUUCAAAAAAAUUUUUGGGAAAAGUUGAAAGUAUCAAUUUUCCUUAAAAAAAAUUUCAAAAAAAAUAUUUUUGGGAAAAGUUGAAAGUAUCAAUUUUCCUUAAAAAUAUUUCAAAAAAUUUUUUGGGAAAAGUUGAAAGUAUCAAUUUUCCUGCACAAAACAUUAUUUUCCUUCCUUUUAUUUUGAUUUUGAUUUUGAUUUUGAUUUUUAAAUAAUCCGAACGAGCCUUUGCAAGUGAAACAAUAGUUUUUCUGGCAUACUCUUGAGGUGAGGGAAUUUUCUCAAUUUUUGAAGUAUUAGAGUCAAUUGAGAAUAAUUUUCAAUAAUUAAUUACUUGGUAAAAUUUAAGGCUUUUGGACAACACAAAUUUAAGCUGGUACCAUCUUUUGAUGGGCGUUGUGAGGGUGUUAUAACCUUCCUCACACGUAACUGAACUCUCGAACCCUGUUCUGGUUAGCAGACCUGAACCUAUUCUUUUAGGGACCCUUAAACUUAAGUGUCCCCUGAAAGGACAGAUUUCUUAGGUGGCCAAUCGCACCUAGAUAAAAAAGAUUGGUGGUGACUCCCUAAAAGUCAAUGUCUAGCGAUAGAUCCCUAGAUCUAGACGUUAUGAUAGCUUGGCGACUCCACUGGGGACUCUGAGAGUCAAGCCAGCAAAUAAUUUGUGUUAUCCAAAAGCCUAAUAAAAUUGAACCUUUUUGUAUAUAUAUGUUAUUAUUCAUUCAUGUUUAUUUACCUUGUUAAUUAUGUCAUUGAUAUGCAUGUGCAUAACAUGAGCUCUACACCCGAGCUCCGUCCCUCUAGGAGGGAGUAAAAUACCUAUUGCUUUCGUGAGGUCUAAUGCCUCCGUAGUGGCUAGCGAAAUACUCCCAUUCAAAUUGAACUUUUUUCGCUUGUAGCUUGUAAUGGGUGAGGAUUAGGGUGCUUUACUAGUCUGUGAUGGACAAUGAUGUAAAGAACAAUUUGAAAACCUUUAGACUUUGACCUUAAACUACAUAUAGUGAACUUUAGAAGUGCCUAACCCUAAGAUAGAGCCCUUUCUACCCAAUGAUAGAUAUAGCCUGAAAUUAAAACAUAAAAAAGGGUGUUUAUCUAAUCAUUUUGAUUGUUUAACUUUGUGCAUCAUUAUCAUAUGUAACAUUAUGCAUCAGCAUCACUUUCAUUUCAUCCAUGGAACUAACUAUGUUGUUUGUCUAAUUGUAUGCAUCUGCAUUAUUUUCAUGAUCAUGUUUUAACACAAUCAUUUGCAUCCAUUUCAUACUAGAUUUCAUUCAAGAAAAUGUGCAUUUCAUUCAUGCAUCAAAGCAUCAUAUACAAAGCAUAGCAUAACAUUUCUAAUCAUAAGUAUGGUACUCAAGGUUCCAGGAUAGCUCCUUCUAGCGAAAAUCCAGUCCAUCGACACAACACAAGAUCCAGAGCAAGGCAAAUGGAGCAGGAAAAUUCCCAGAGAUUUGAAAAGAUAAAAAAAGCACAGGAGAAGAUUGAAAGUGAGCUAAGCAAGAUUCUGGAGGCUCUUAAUAACAUGAAUAAAGGAAAAAGAGUUGAAGGAAAUACAAGCCAGCAAGUUCCCCCAUUACAAGAAAUGGUUGACCCUUUGUAUCCUCCAAGUUUUGGCCCACCCCAGGCUCAAUCUGCUCAAGAGGUUCCACCACAACACUUCGCAUAUUCGACAUAUCCUGGAAUGCUAUCAGCUUUCAACCCAGGGUAGUAUAAUAGCUAUGUAAAUCCUAUCUUCGCUGAAAAGGCAGUAGAACCAAUUCUUGAUCUAGAUGAUUUAAAAGAGAAAGAGAAAAAAAAGAUAAGAGCGAAAGUUCAGAAAAGCUCCAAGAUUAGCAUGCUAGAGCAAAGGCUACGGGCUGUGGAAAGAUUUAGCUUGUAUGGGUCAGUUGAUACUGCUGGGCUCUGCCUAGUCCCUGAUGUGGUAUUUCCCAUAAGUUUAAAGUACCAAAUUUUGAAAAAUAUGAUGGUACAAAGUGCCCCAAAAUUCACAUCACAAUGUAUUGUCGAAAAAUAGCAGCUCAUGCUCAUGAUGAAAAACUCUUGAUGCAUGUCUUUUAGGAUAGCCUUACAGGCUCAGCAGCCAAGUGGUAUGUUCAGCUGGACAGAACUCGCAUUCGCUCUUGGAGCGAUAUGGCACAUGACUUCAUCGAUCAGUAUCGAUAUAUUAUCGAUUUGGCCCUUGAUCGUUUAUUUUUACAGAAUCUGGAGAAAAAGGCAAACGAGUCUUUUAAAGAGUAUGCCCAGAGGUGGAGAGAUGUUGCUUCUCAAGUACAACCUCUUUUGACUGAGAAAGAAACUAUAGUGUUAUUUGUCAGCACUUUAAAGUCUCCCUAUUAUGAAAAGAUGAUAGGGAAUGCAACAAAGAAUUUCGCUGACAUGGUAAUCUCUGGAGAAAUUAUUGAAAGUGCCAUAAAAAUGGCAAGUUAAAAGGAGGAGAAACCAAGAAGGCAUCAGAAAAGAAAAAAGCUCAAGCUCAAGCUGUGAGCUUUGAUAGACAACAAUUCAAGGCUUAUCAACCCUAUCCAUCUCAAAGUUACUUUCCAUACUAUCCUGUUGUAAAUAAUACCUUAUCCUACCCAUACCAGCUAGCUCCAUAACCACCUUAUUCAUCCACACACCAAUCAAUUUUUAGCCCCCAAGAUCUUACAUAUAGCCUUAACAUUCAAGCUCCUGCAAGAACCCAAAUUCGCCCUAUUUACCCAGCAAGUGGUUCACGAGAACAACGAACUACUCGAGAAAAACCUGUAUUUGAUCCAAUCCCUAUGACUUAUACAGAGUUAUAUCGAGAACUCUAUAAUAGUCAUUUGAUUGCCCCCAGCCAUGUGGAGCCGCUUAAACCACCCUACCCAAAGUGGUAUGAUCCUACAGCCCACUGCGACUACCACUAUGGAAUUACUGGCCAUUCUACUGAAAAUUACACUGCUUUAAAGCAUAAGGUGCAACGGUUGAUCAAUGAUAGAAUGGUAAGUUUUGAUCAAGGAAAGGCAACAACACCUAAUGUUAGCGUUCUGAGUGAAAGUCAAGAACAGAAAGGGUCCGGAGAGUCACAAUGAAUUGAGGGCAAGAUGUCAAUAGAGAUCUUUCACCUGGUUACCUAGGGGCAUGAUUCUAAAAAGGAUGACUGGUUGAAUGCCACUUGUCAUUCUAAGAGUUUUUUUAAAGUAAUGUUAGGAUUUCUUUUCUGCAAUAUGAUUUCACUUGUUAUCAUCUUAAUAAGGGCAAGUUAAUGCAUUUCAUUACAUUUUCUCUUUCACUCGACCAUUAUUCCAUGCCCUGUUACCUUUCAUAACUUCACAUUCCCAUUCUCAAAUUUCGGAUGAUGAAUAUUUAGACAAUGAUAACAAUAAUUUUGGAAUUUAAUUUUGAGAACUCAUCCACAUUAAUAUGAAAAGAUGAUUUGAGUAAAAUGUAAGCUGUUACCGGAGGUGAAAUAGAUAUGUCUUGAAGAUGUGCAAUCUUUUAUACAGAUUCAUGAGCUUUGUUCAAUAGAUGAUGUUCAAGAAAGGUAUUCACAAUUGAGAUGAAAAAUGGCCAUCUUUCUUUUACCAUUCGAAAAACUAUUGCUACCCCUUUGAGCCUAUUAUGAUUUUUUUUUCUGAAGAACCCCAACCAAGGAUCACCCUCUACACUGGAGGGCAAUUUUUAAAAAAAUCACAAAAAUUCUCAAAGAUAGAAAGAGAAAGAAAAGUAAAAGAAAAAAUAAAUGCCACACAUGAUUUGGGCCAAAAUAAUGAAAAUCCUUUGUGUGAAGAAAGAAAAAAGAAGUGAAAUGAUGUGGGGCAAAAUGUCAAGUUACAUAAGAUGAUCCUUGGUUUUGAACCUUUUUAAUACAUGUUUUGAGCCUAUUAUAUCCAUUUUUUUAUGACCCUUCACCUUGACCUACAUUACAACCUUGAAAAGCCCAUUUGGAUCAAGUGUGAAUACUCAACUUGAAUGAUCAUAUGUUGAGCGAAGGUAUACUCAUGAUGAAGCAAUGGAAUCAUGCUACAUUACUCUAAAGUUGGAUGUAUGAAAGAUAUCAACAAUGGAUGAAAAAUGAAAAAAAAGAAAAAAAGAUGAUGAAAAAAAAAAGAAAAAAAGAAUGAAUGAGAAAAUGAGAAAAUGAAAAAAGAGAUUCAAAUUGAAAACCUGAAAGGGUGAUUUUGGUAGAAAAAAAAUCCAGGUUAAAUGGCUCACAUGAAUGGAAGAUCAAAGACAUUUGAAGAUCCCUCAAAGACUGGGGCAAAGUUCGCCAAGCUCAAGAUGACUUCAACAAUAAAUAGAAUGAGUUUUUGAAAAAGAAUCCUAGAUUAAUGUUGAGAAUUGUCUGAAUAUUCAUCAUUUGGACAUACCAUCCAUCCCAAUGACAUGUAUCCAAUUUAUUUCCUUUAUACCAAAGCAGAUCUUCAUUGAUUAUCUUUAUCAUAAUCCACCUUGUGUUCUUUUAUUGUUUCACCCCUACAAUGAAUUGAGAAAAUGCUUGAUUGCAUUGUAUUUGUCAAGAAUUGAAAUGAUAAUGAAUGAAUGAAUAUGUGCUUAAAAGAGUCUUGCAUUCAUUUGAAAAGAAAUCUAAGAUGAUGGUGGUAACAAAAUGAAAAAUGGUAGAAACCUAAAAGAGAUGAUUUGGAAGGAUAUACGAUGUGACCAAAUGGAGAAUAUGAUGGGGCAAAUCUUGGAAAAUGGUAUAGCCAAGUGAUGAGUACAAGGAUGAAUUAGUCGAUAUGACUUGCAAGUUAUGAUUGAAUGAUGAAAAAAAUCAGUGGACAAAGUUUGUUUUGGAAUGGUUAGUGCUGAGACACCUAUGAGUAAUGACCCAAUGAUGGUGGAUGAAACUUGUUUUGAAAUUUGUUAGUGCUGAGGAAUUCAUUGAAUGAUGGUCAAGUAAUGAUCGAUUGAUGAAGCUUAUUUCGAAGUAUUGAGAAACUGAACAAGGAAGAAUGUGAGUGGAAAAGAUAAUCAAGAGCUACACUGGUCCGAUCUUAGAAAAGCAGUUGGAUCUCUGAAGAAUCAAAAGGCUUGAUGCCUAGGGAAAAAGCUUGAGAAACUUGAGUACCAUAUAUUGAAUAGGAAUUAAUUAGCCAACAUCUGCAUAGCAUGCAUUGAAAUUCAUAUGCAUUUGUACAGCAUACACUACUUUCAGGAAAGUAUAGUGUAUAAAUUCAAGAAGCAGGGGUGUUCCAACAUCCCACAUAGAGAAGACAGAUAUGAAGAUAUUUUGCAAAAUUGAAAAAGAAAAAGCUUGUCAGGUAAGUUCCUAAUCCUUGAAAUAGGAUGUCUUUUGGUAUCAGGAUCGAUUUGUAAGACCUUUGGGCAUAAUCUCCUGAAAUUCCUUCAAACACAAUUUUCAACUCCUCCUUUUGACAUGAUUGUCAAGGAGCAAUUUACUUUUCCAAAGUUUCGUUGCCUCUGUUUAGAGGGGCAAUUUAUUUUUCAAAGUCGUAGUGCCUCUGUUUAGAGGAGCAAUUUACUUUCCCAAAAGUCAUGGUGCCUCUGUUUAGAGGAGUAAUUUACUUUCCCAAAAGUCGUGGUGCCUUUGUUUAGAGGAGCAAUUUAUUUUGUUCAAAGUCGUUGAGCCUCUGUUUAGAGGAGCUUUGGUAAAAAAAAAAAAACAAAAACAAAAACAAAAGCACAAAAAAAAAUAAAAAAAAAAACAAAAAUGAAAAUAUUGAGUUGAGUCUUGAUUAGGUGUUUACGUCUUUGCACAAUUUCUGUUUCACAGAAAAUAUGCAAAGAGAGGCAGCUGUAGACACCCAAUUUGGUCCAGGCCCAGAUCAAUUGGGCCUGGCCCAAAUAGAUAAGCCCAAUUUGGUUCUUAUUUGGGAUUAUUUUUAUUUUAUUUUUUUCUUUCUUUUGUAUUUUAUGUAUUUUAUUUAUUUAUUAUUACUAUGUAUUAAUAUCUUUAUUUAUUUAUUUAUUUAUUUUUUAUUAAUAUUUAUAUGUAUUUUAUUUAUAUAGUUAUAUAUUUAUUGUUAUAUUAUAAUUUAUGUAUUAUUUUUUUUCUUAUAAUAUUUUUUUUGGAUUUUUAAUUAUCUGUUAAUAAUUUUUUUCUCUUUUUUCGUUUAUUUGAUUUGUCGUUUAUCUGAUUAUUAUUAUUUUUUCUUUUUCUGGGGCUGUGAUUGAAAGCUGAAGAAUCCUGCUGAGAAUGGAGAUUCAAUCAGAAGAGUCCAGAUUGGAUUCAAAGAUUGAAUCCCCGUCCAAAGAGGAAUUGGGAUUGAUCAGAAAACUCCUGAUCAAUCCCUAUAAAAGGGACCCUCUGGAACAGAAGCAAUGGACAGAAAAAAAACAGUGAGCAAAGCUACUGAUUUGAGAGAUAGAAGAGUAUAGGAGGCUAAGAAGUGUUCUGGAGUUAGUAGGAAUUUUUUUUGAAGAUUUUUGGUGAUUUUUUUUUUCUGGAAAAUUCUAGAUUCCGGUGAAUUUUCUGGCGAAAGUUGAAUUUUUCGACGAAAAUUUCGGCCACUUUGAAGUUUCUUAUGAGCUGCCCAGUUUCCGACGACCUUUCCCAGAAAUCGACCAACUUUCGGUGAAAAAAAACCAGAUUUUGGCGACAAAUCCCAGAAUCUGGUGAAUCUUCAACCGAAGUUCUUCGACCUUUUAAAAAGACGGGAGAGGAAAAAAAAAAGAAGAGAGAGAGGGGAGGAGCGUUCUGUCAAAAAACAGAGGGAAGAGCCUUAUAUACCGUCUCAAAACGACGUCGUUUUGGCCUUAAGUGACCUAAAGGAUCCGCGCGUUUUGUCGAGAUCCGACCCGACCCGACCCGAGUGUCGACCCGCUUCCUGACCCGCGCGUGUCUGUCCCCCUUCGAGCCGAGCCGAGCUGAGCUUCCAAGCCGCUCCCCCGAGCCGUUUCUCUUCCUUGAGCCGAGCUGAGCCGUACUUCGAGCCGAGCCAGUUUUUUUUUAUUUGUUUUUUUAUUUAUUAGAUUAGGUUUAUUUAAUAUUCUUUUUAUCUUUAUUUUAUUUUUAUUUUUUAUUUUUUACUUUUCUUUAUUUUUAUUUUUAUUUAUGUUCACUUUUAUUUUGUUUUAUUAUUCUAUUUUCUUUAAAUAAAAAUAAAAAAAAUAUUUUUGGGGAAAAGUUGAAAGUAUCAAUUUUUCUUAAAAAUAAAAUUUCAAAAAAAGGGGUUUUUGAGGAAAAAUUGAAAGUAUCAAUUUUCCUUGAAAAUCAAAAUUUUCAAAAAAUAUUUUUAGGGAAAAGUUGAAAGUAUCAAUUUUCCUUAAAAAUAAAAUUUCAAAAAAAAAAAAGGAUUUUUGAGGAAAAGUUGAAGUAUCAAUUUUCCUUGAAAAUCAAAAUUUCCAAAAAAAAAAUAUUUUAGGGAAAAGUUGAAAGUAUCAAUUUUCCUUAAAAAUAAAUUUUCAAAAAAAAAGUUUUUGGGGAAAAAUUGAAAGUAUCAAUUUUCCUUAAAAACAAAAUUUCAAAAAAAAAGUUUUUGGGGAAAAGUUGAAAGUAUCAAUUUUCCUUAAAAAUAAAUUUUCAAAAAAGGGUUUUUGGGGAAAAGUUAAAAGUAUAAAUUUUUUCUACACAAAAACGAUUAUUCUUUCCUUCCUUUUUAUUUUGAUUUUGAUUUUGAUUUUUCUUUAAAUAAUCCGAAGACGGAGGCUCUACAAGUGAAACAGUAGUUUUUCUGGCAUACUCUUGAGGUGAGGGAAUUUUCUCAAUUUUCUGCUAAAAGUAUUAGAGUCAAUUGAGAAUAAUUUUCAAUAAUUAAUUACUUUGUAAAAUUUUAAGGCUUUUGGAUAACACAAGUUUAAGCUGGUACCAUCUUUUGAUGGGCGUUGUGAGGGUGCUAUAACCUUCCUCACACGUAACCGAACUCUCGAACCCUGUUCUGGUUAGCAGACCUGAACUUAUUCUUUUAGGGACCCUUAAACUUAAGUGUCUCCUGAAAGGACAGAUUCCUUGGGUGACCAAUCGCACCUAGACAAAAAAGAUUGGUGACGACUACCUAAAAGUCAAUAUCUAGCGAUAUAUCCCUGGAUCUAAACGUUAUGACAUUAUGACUAAUGAAAUUACACAUAACUUGCUUUCAAAAAAGUACACAUAUAACUUUCACAUAAAAUUCUUGAUUUUUUUUAAGUGUAUGCUAGAAAAAUAAAGUUAUAUGUUUAUAAAAAAAAGAAAAUAAGGUUAAAUGAAUAUGAUGUUAGAUAAAUACAAAAAUUCACCAAAAGAAAGUUACGAAUUAAGAUGAUGAUCAAUGAUUAUCAACUAAUAAUUGAUAAAAUUAAUAGGAGGGAUUUUUUGCUUGGCACUAUAGGAAUACUUCUUUUAUAAGUAAAAACCAAACUUAAUGGAUGGAUGAAUUGUUUUUAUUUUUCAUACCGGUGCCAUUAGAAAAAAAAAAUUAUAAUACUUCUUUUUCUUUUUUUAACUUAAAACUUGCAAUAUAAAAACUUUACCAUUAAAUUUUGUGAAAAUACAUAAAUUUAUUUAUUUAUCCUCAAAGAAUAUAAUUUAAACAUAUUGUAUUCACUUAAGAUAAUUAAAAAUAUUUUAAAAAUUUUACUUGGAAAUAUUUUUUAAGUAAUUUUGAAAAUAUAUUCUUUUAUAGUAUUUGAUAAUUUUGAAAUGUCUAUUACAGAAGUUUUAUUUUAAUUUUUAAUGAAAAUAAUAUGACAGUAAAAGAGUAGGAUUAAAAUGUUUUAUGUAAUAUUUAAAUUUUAAAAUAUUUUAAUAUAAUAUUUAAAAUUAUAAUUUUAUUAAUUAAUAUGAUACGUUUUUUUGUCAACUGUCUUUAUUUAAAAUUUACAAAAUUAGAAGUAAAUAUAGAUUAAUUAAUAAAUAUAUAAUUUAAAAUUAUAUAAAAAAAUUUUUAAAUUCGAAUAUUUACUUCUAAUAUUUAAAUUAAAAACGCCGACAAUACCAAACGCAACCGGCAAAAUUUCUUCNNNNNNNNNNNNNNNNNNNNNNNNNNNNNNNNNNNNNNNNNNNNNNNNNNNNNNNNNNNNNNNNNNNNNNNNNNNNNNNNNNNNNNNNNNNNNNNNNNNNNNNNNNNNNNNNNNNNNNNNNNNNNNNNNNNNNNNNNNNNNNNNNNNNNNNNNNNNNNNNNNNNNNNNNNNNNNNNNNNNNNNNNNNNNNNNNNNNNNNNNNNNNNNNNNNNNNNNNNNNNNNNNNNNNNNNNNNNNNNNNNNNNNNNNNNNNNNNNNNNNNNNNNNNNNNNNNNNNNNNNNNNNNNNNNNNNNNNNNNNNNNNNNNNNNNNNNNNNNNNNNNNNNNNNNNNNNNNNNNNNNNNNNNNNNNNNNNNNNNNNNNNNNNNNNNNNNNNNNNNNNNNNNNNNNNNNNNNNNNNNNNNNNNNNNNNNNNNNNNNNNNNNNNNNNNNNNNNNNNNNNNNNNNNNNNNNNNNNNNNNNNNNNNNNNNNNNNNNNNNNNNNNNNNNNNNNNNNNNNNNNNNNNNNNNNNNNNNNNNNNNNNNNNNNNNNNNNNNNNNNNNNNNNNNNNNNNNNNNNNNNNNNNNNNNNNNNNNNNNNNNNNNNNNNNNNNNNNNNNNNNNNNNNNNNNNNNNNNNNNNNNNNNNNNNNNNNNNNNNNNNNNNNNNNNNNNNNNNNNNNNNNNNNNNNNNNNNNNNNNNNNNNNNNNNNNNNNNNNNNNNNNNNNNNNNNNNNNNNNNNNNNNNNNNNNNNNNNNNNNNNNNNNNNNNNNNNNNNNNNNNNNNNNNNNNNNNNNNNNNNNNNNNNNNNNNNNNNNNNNNNNNNNNNNNNNNNNNNNNNNNNNNNNNNNNNNNNNNNNNNNNNNNNNNNNNNNNNNNNNNNNNNNNNNNNNNNNNNNNNNNNNNNNNNNNNNNNNNNNNNNNNNNNNNNNNNNNNNNNNNNNNNNNNNNNNNNNNNNNNNNNNNNNNNNNNNNNNNNNNNNNNNNNNNNNNNNNNNNNNNNNNNNNNNNNNNNNNNNNNUGUAUAUGUAUUUCAUUUAAUUAACGUGAAUAUGAAGGCAAAGUCAAUGUCAAGAUCCCCUCAAACAAUGAAAUAUUUGAUGUUAUAUAAUCUCGUAGACUUAAAAGUAGAUAUCGACCGGAACUCAUAAUACAUGUUUUUUUUCUUUCCACGGAGAAUAAAAUGUAGCAGGAAGCCACUUGGAAAGUGUGGAAAGAAUUUUUUAACCCACACUCCACGAUUUUAUGACUCACACUUUGGACUAAAGUAUUCAUUACAAAAUGACAAAAAUGAAAAUCCAAGUUGCAGUUGAAGUGCCAAUUUGUCCCUUUUUAUUAUCUUUGUUAUUCUCUCUGUCUCAUUUUUUUUUUUUAGAAUGUCCUAAAAUUAUAUCUUUUUUUUAACAUAUAAAACUCUUACUUUUUUAUUUUAAAAUUAUUUUUAUGAUUUUUUUAAUUUUUUAACAUUAAAAAUCAUGAAACUUUAAUUUAUAAAAAAUAUUUAAAUUUUAAUAUUAAAUACAUUAAAGUCAAAACUUUUUUCUUAAACUCGUAAAAGUCAAUAAAAUGACAAAUAUUUUGGGAUAGAGGAGUAUUAAAAUAUCAAAAUUAUAUUGAAAGCAAAAUAAAUUUUCUUUAAAACAAAAAAUAAAUUUGCAUUUAAAUUCAAAUAAACAAUCUUUAAAAAUAUAUAUUUUGAGAAAUAGUGCAUAACAAUUUUAAGCAAAUUCGAUUUAAAAUACACACUUAAAAUUUUUAUCAUUUCAAAAUAUCAACCAAUUUAAAGUUAACAUUAUUAAUUAAGGAUGAAAUAUUUAAGUUAAUAAAUUAUCAAAAGCAUAUACAUAUAUAUAUACAUAUAUAUAUAUAUAUGUCGUUCACUAUAUAUUUGCACUUUCAAAGUUUAUGGUUUUUAAUACAGUAUAGAUAAAUAUAGAUAUAGUAAAAUCUUAUAAAGUAAAUAACAUUAACCCAAUGAAAGUACCUAAUAUAUUCAAGAUUUUCUCUUCCCUUUAAACUUCUUGAAAUGUAUCAAAAAAUGGAAUUAACAAAGUGGUCUUACAUUUUUCUUUUGGUGUUUAUGGAAGCUUAUAGAGUUUGACUUACAAAAUCUAAGUAAUUUACUCUCAUUUUAGGUAUUACUCCUAACAUUUUCUUUGUGAAAUUUAAAUUUGAGACUUUCAAGUUAAAUGUGUUGUCUUUGAGUUAGUAUCUUAUAUAUUAUGAAUAUAAUCAUAUAUAUUGGAUGCAUUGUUAUAAGGUGAAUCAGACAAUACCAUCUCAUUAAUGAAUAUAUUUUAAAAUAUAUAUUAAUUUUUACAUAUUUAUUUUAAAGACUAAUAUUUAUUCAUUAAUAAAUUAAUAUCAUCUAAUUCAGCAACAAUAUAUAGAAUCUAUACACUAAUGCAGUAAACAUAAACUCAAAAUAAAAUUACAUAUAGAAAAAUUAAAGAAUUUGAUGAAACCAACAAGAGCAUAACGUAAAUUUGCAAACUUUUAUUAUGGUAGAACUUAUAAUAUCGUUGUUCAUUUCUAAACCAAUUUUGUUUUUAGGACGUUAAAAGCUUGAAUUUAUAAAGAAAUUUAAAAAGAAAAAGAAAAACUCUUAGUCAACAAAUCAAAAUAUUUUGUGUUCAUACUUUAAGAAUCUAAGUAUACAAAUACAUAUAUAUAUAUAUAUAUAUAUUCCAUCUAAUUAUAGUGGAUAUGAAGGCAAUGUCAAUUUCAAGGUUGAUGCCAUUGUCAAUAUUUGAUGUUAUAGUCUUUUAGACUUUAAAAAAAAAAAAAAAAAAACUGAGAAGUAGUUAUAUUGACUGGAAUUUGCAAUAAGAUUUUCUUCUUUCCACGAAGAAAUAGUAUGUAGCAGGAAGCUACAUGGAACAUUAAGUGUGGAAAGAAUUUUUUUUUUCUCUCAUUGAUUUUUCCUUUUAUCAAAUGAACUCAACUUUAACCAUUAAUUUUGAAAAUAUAAUGUAAUAAUAAUUUUCAAAAGUAUAUAAUUUGAAAACUUUGAAAUUCAAAAUUUCAAGUCUUAGUUUUUAAAAAUUUAUAGCAUUUUAAUCUUUUGAAAAAUAAUAGCUAAAGUUGAGUUCAUUUAAUAAAAAAAUCAUUAAAAACAAAUGAAUUGAAAUGGAUAGAACGUUAAACACCAAAACAAAUUUGACAUUGUACUGUGGAUUAAUAUUAAAAUUUUUUUCCUUAUAAUUUAAUUCGUUGAAUUUUGUCACAAUACUUUUAAUUUAGGUAAAUUUUUUAACAAAAAAUAAAGAAAUUGAAAUAAAUCACGAAAUAAUUUAUUUAUACAAACGACAAAUCUGCUCAAUGCAUUGUCAAUUAAUGUUGAUUUUGAAUAUAUCAGUAUGAAAAUGACAAACUUUCAUCAAUUUCAUCGCCUUAUAUUCAAAAGUCAGUUUAUAGGGAUGGCUAUUAUUGCCUAACUCCUUGAUUGGCUAUAUAUAUUAAGCCCAAUGCAAGGCUUAUUGUUAUAAAUUUAUAAGUAGCAGUUGAGAGAAUUGAAAAUAUAGAGAUAUAAUAGAGAAAGAGAUGAUGGAACCCAAAUGGUUGUGGUUGAGUGUGUUGUUGUUGUUGUUAGGAGGGUACGGAUGGAAUGGUACUGAUGCUUGUUGGGAGGAUGAGAGGAUUGCUCUCUUGCAACUCAAACCUUUCUUCAAUCGUUUAAAUUAUCUGAACAGCUGGGAAGAGGAGGUAAAGGGUUCAGAUUGCUGCCAAUGGGAAAGGGUCGAGUGUAACGCCUCCUCCUCCUCCUCCAGGCGAGUCAUAGGACUCUCUCUUAAUUAUACAACAUGGUCCUACAAAGAAAGAUGGUAUCUCAAUGCCUCUUUGUUUCUUCCUUUCAAGGAAUUGAAGCGUCUUUAUUUGCCAGAGAAUAACAUCGCUGGUUUCGUUGAAAGUGGAGGUCCAUUUUGCCCUUACAUUGCUAAUUUGCAAUAUGAAAAUUCAUUCAUAACUUUUUCACUUUUACAAUCAUAUUUAAUUCUAUUAUUGUUUUAUUAAUGAAAAGCCAUUAAGUCCUUAUUAUAUAUUUAAAAGAACUCUCUUGCAGGUUUUGCGAAGCUAAAUUUGGAGAUCCUUGAUUUAAGUGACAAUUACCUCAAUGAUACAAUUUUAUUAUCUUUGAGUCAACUUUCAUCUCUCAAGGAUUUAAAUCUAGCAGGAAACUUGUUCACAGGAUCAACUCAUGCAAACGGUAAAGUUAAAAUUAAUCUAAUAAUGAUUAUGAAUGAUAUACAGUUAUUAAAAUAUUAAUUUGUCUUCAUUACAGGUUUCCAAUGGCUCUCAAGACUUAAUAAUUUGGAAACUCUUGAUUUAAGGUACAACCAUUUGAAAAAUAACAUAUUGUUUCAUAUGAAUGGUCUUUCAUCUUUAAGGACUUUAAGUUUAAGUAAAAAUCACUUGGAAGGAACCGUUCAUAUUCACGGUAAACUCACUUUACCUCUUAUUUGUGUUAAAGUCAAAUUUUGUUUCAAGAAAAGCUCUUGCAUAUUAUUUGAUUUUAUAUAUAAUAUAAUUAAUUACUCGUUGAGGUUGAAUAGAAUUGAAUAAUUUGACAAACUUGAAGAACUUGGAUUUAAGCAACAAUAGAAUUGAAAGCUUCCGACCAUCAAAGCAAGGUAUAAAUAUAUAUUUCAAUUCACUCAACUAAGAUCAUAAUUAUGUGAUCAGCAUAUAAAAUUUUCGAUUGACAAUAACAUAUAAUAGAAUUAUAUAUUCUUGUUCAGGAAACGAGACACAAUUGAGGUUGACCAAUUUGAAGGAACUUGAUUUGAGCCAUAAUCUCUUCAGGAACAACAUAUUUUCCUUCCUUAGGGGGUUUUCAAGUCUAAAGUCCUUAAAUAUGCAGGGGAACCAAUUGCAAGGCUCCAUAGACGUUAAAGGUAAAGCUUUUACUACCUUUGUUUUUUUUUAUAAUUCUUUUUAAAAGCCUUAAACUCAUAAAAAAAAUUGUUUUUGCUAAGUGAAAGGUAUUUAUUAAUUAAUCAAAAGGGUACAAAGCUAGCAUAAAGUUAAUUCAGCAAAGCAAAUAGACCUAUGCAUUCAAACCAAACUGACAAAACACCACCCAAAGUAUAUAACUGAAGACAAAACACCUAAAAGCUACACCACCUUACCCAUAAGCCAAUUAGCCCCAGACCAAAGCGAGCCAUGUGUGGUUUCAAUUUUUUGUAUUGUCGGCAUAGAAUCACUCUCCACUAUCACCUGCUCUGUACCCUGUUCAAAAGCUAGUUACAGUCCCCAAAGGAUCGCUUUUGCCUCUGUAUGAAAGGAACUUUCAGUCCAGUCUACUCAAGUCACUGCUGAAAAAACCACGUUACUCUUUGAAUCUCUAAGAACAGCACCUAGCCCAGCUUCCUGUUCUCUGAACCUAUACACUGCAUCCACAAUGAGCUUUAACAUAUCCAGUACAGGAGGUUGCCAACUCUAUCCUUGUGGCUUCCUCGAGAUCAUAGUUGGUUGGGCAACCAGUUCUAGCCUUUCCCUCACAAGGGCUGUCUUUACCAAUGAUUUCCCCAUAGCACAUGUUACUCGAUGGAGGCUUUUUAAUUACAAUCAUCGUAUUGUAAUUCUUAUUGUGUUAAUUAUAAUAUCAUAAUUCUUAAUAUUAUCAUGUUUGCUUAUAUAAUUACAUUAAUUAAGUUAACAAAUAUUAUAUUAUUUUCAAAAUGUGAAAUGAAACCCAGUUAAGAUGCUAAUUGUACCUUUUGUCUCUUGGAUAGUUGCAGUUGCUAAUAUGACAACUUUUGGUUGCAAAAAAACAUUUCUUGUUCAUAAUAUCCGGUAGGAAAAAAGCCAUUAGCUUAAGAAUCAAGCUACACCUAUUGGGCAAAAAAAAAAAAAAAAUCAAGCUACACCUAGUUAUGAAGGAGGAUGUCACUUAUUAAACAGUCAGUCAUUUCGAUUUUUGAUUGGGAUAAGAAAUUCGAAUCCAACUCUAUGUAAGAUAAAGACAACCAAACCAAGUAUUUAUUAUUGAAGUGAGAAAACCGAUACAUGACUGAAUUAGAAACAGUUGAGAAACCAUUUUGUAGUUUUUUUCUUUUUAAUUUUUGUCUCCUGAAGUUUCCUGAGUAUUUGUGUUAAUGGAUCAAGUCAAGCAAAUGGUAGAAUUAAAAUUAACCCAAUAGUGAUUAUGAAUGAUAUAUAGUAAUUAAAAUAUUAAUCUUUUUCAUUACAGGCUUCCAAUGGCUUUCAAGACUCAAUAAUUUGGAAACUCUUGAUUUAGGAUACAACUCUUUGAAAAAUAACAUAUUGUUUUAUAUCAAUGGUCUUUUAUCUUUAAAGACUUUAAGUUUGAUGAGAAAUCACUUGGAAGGAACUAAUCACAUUCACGAUAAACUUGGUUUACCCUUUUUUUACGUUUAAAUCAAUUGUUGUUUCAGGAAAAGGUACUGCAUAUCAUUUGCUUUUAUACGUAAUAUUAAUUACUCAUUGGCAUUGAGUAGGAUUGAAUAAUCUGACAAAUUUGAAGAACUUGGAUUUAAGCGACAAUAAAAUUGAAAGCUUCCGACCAUCAAAGCAAGGUAUAAAUAUAUAUUUUAAUUUACUUAACUAAUUCUUAAUUAUGUGAUUAAUGUAUAAAAUUUCUCAUUAACAAUAGCAAAUAAUAGAAAAUAUUCUUAUAUAGGAAACGAGACACAACUGAGGAUGACCAAUUUGGAGGAGCUUGAUUUGAGUAAUCUUUCAAGAACAAUACAUUUUCUUCCUCUGAGUUUUCAAGUCUAAAGUCCUUAGAUAUGGGGGAGAACCAAUUGCAGGCUCAAUAGAUAUUAAAGGUAAAGCUAUUACAGCUUUUUUUUUAAUUCUUUUUAGAACCUUUUAAACUCAUCAAAUAGUAAAUCUCAUAUCACAUUUGGGAUUUUUUUCUUCACUUAAAGCUUUAGAUUAUUUUGCCGUUUACUUCAUUAUAAAGUCAUAAAAAUAUUCAUAAAAGAUUAUUUGAUAACCAGGCUAACAUAAUGAUUAUUUGAAUUGAACUUGGACAUAGAAUUGAAUAAUUUGAUGAAUUUGAAGAAGUUGUAUUUAACAACAAAAUUGAAAGCCUUCAAUCCUCACAAGGUAUGCAUUUAUAUUUGCUCAAUUAGUUAAGUUGUUAUAUAUAAUUAAAUAUUAUGUAAAUCUUUUUUUAGUGAUGAAAUUAUGUAAACCUUAUGUAGAUAGUGGGAGACAGCUGCACUUGACCCAUUUAGAAGAAUUUGAUUUGAGUUAUAAUCUCAUGAACGACAUCAUAUUUGCAUCACUUAGCGGGCUUUCAAAUUUGAAGUCUUUGGAUGUAAGCUACAAUCAGUUAAAUGGAUCAAUAGAUAUGAGAGGUAAUUUUCAUUCUUUUUAUUUUGUGAAAAUUUUGAAUUUGUUAACAAAAUCUUUAUUCAUGUUUCAAGAUGACAUAACAAAUAAGUUCAUCUGUUUCUUUUCUUUAAUGAUGAAAUUAUGUAAAUUAUUUAUAGAUACUAGGAGACAGUUAAAAUUGACCUAUUUCUAAAAGCUUGAUUCAAGUCAUAAUCUAAUUAAUUAUUACUUUUCAACCAAAAUUUCAACUCUAUUAUAAAUACUUUAAAAAAAAUACAUUUCAUAUAUUUAGAUGAUUUAAUGAAGUUUAUUCAUUACUUUUUUUCCAGACUUAGGUGCUUUUACCAACUUAGAGGAACUGGAUAUGAGUUAUAAUGAUUUGAAUGAAUUUGUGAGCAGUAAAGGUAUGGAUUUAAAUAAAUUUUCUAUUUUUAUUUAUGAGGUUUAUAAUGAUGUAGAUGUUUUAAUGACCAAAAAAUUCAGCAUAUUAAAAUUUAAUGCUCAAAUUUUUAAAGGAAUAAAUUAAUUAUUUAUUAUAUGCUUUUUAUUACAAUGCUACAAUUCUCUAACUAUAAUAAAGAAUUAUGCAGGAAUCGAUUAUUUAUAAAUGUGACCUCCAUAUAAAAUUUUGUUAGACCUCACGUAAUUUUGAAUUGUGGCUAUUUAAUUGUAUUAUAAUGAUUGUAGGUGAAAUGCUCUCAUUAAAAUUAAUGUCUGAUUUUUUAAAGGAAGAAAUUCAUUCUAAUUUGAUUACUAAUUAGAAAAUGAUAUAUAUUUGCCUUAGAUAAUUGCUUUCUUUAAGAAGUGUUGCAAUGGCAUAUCAAAUAUUUCCCUUUUUGUUUGUAUUACCUUGUUGUGUCUUAGGGUUGGACUUGUUUGCCUUUUGUCAUUCUGUUUUAGAUUACUACGCAUUCUUAUUACCGUUUAAAAAAUUUUGCCUUUUCAUGUUACCGUUUUGUUUGAUAUUCAUUUUUUUUUAUUGUUUCGUAUAUUAAAAUUCAUAUUAAAAAUUGUUAACAUUUCAAUAUUCUUCUCUAUUAAAAAUUCAUCUUGCAUAAAUCUUGGAUAUACAAUCUUAUCAACAAAAAUAAAAAUUUACUAUUAUUUAUUUUUUCUAUUUACAGAAUAUAAGAGAUUGAAAAAGUUAAAAGUUCUUCGUCUAAAUGAGGUUUCACCAAUGGAAGUAGUCCAUUAUUGCUAAAAUUAGUAAAGGCAUUCCCAUCGGUUAAGAACCUUCUAUCUACAAGGGAAUUACUUAAACAAGACUAUGGCUACUCAAGAUCAAGGUAAGUCAUUAAUUUAUUCCAAAAGGAUUAAAAAUUAGUAGAUGUUUGUUGAUUAACAUCUAAUAAUACCUCAUAUUCUAUGAUUACUCAGAAUUGCAUGUGUGGAGCAAUGUGGAGAAAUAUUUCUAGACGGUUCUUAUCUCAACACAACAUUUUGCAAAGCAUUGGAGUGUUCACUUCUCUUAAAACUUUGUCUUUAUUUAGCUGUGGACUUAUUGGUUCCUUACCUAAUCAACGGUAAAUUAAAGACUAUAAUUUCUCCAAUAUAACUCAUGGAAUACAUCUAUUUCCAAUAAUCCUUUAUUCUAUUUCUUUCACCUAUAUCUUUUAUAUAUAUUCUGUUUUUGGAAAAAAAAUUUAUUUAAAAUUUCUUCUAUGAAUUUUAUAAAUUUUUCAGGUUGGUGUGAUCUAAGAAACGCUUGAAAACGUUGAAUUCAGUUGAAUGCACUUGAGGGGAUACUUCCUUACUGUUUGGGUAAUUUGACAUCUCUUCUUGAGUUAGAUAUCUCCUACAAUCAAUUUACUGGAAGUUUGACGCCUUUAGCAAAUCUUUCAUCACUUAGAUUCGUCUCCCUUUCAACAAAUCACUUUCAAAUUUCAAUGCCAUUCUUGUCACUUGCAAACCUUCCAAAUCUCAAGAUUCUCUUGGGUGAUGAAAACAAGAUGAUAAUGGAACCUAAUUCCUUUCAUGCUUCAAUUCCGAAGUUCCAACUAAAUAUCAUCAGUUUGUCAAAGUGUACAACAGAUAAAGGACUUAGUCUACAACCUCCUAAUUUCCUUUAUUACCAAUAUGACUUGAGAUAUGUUGAUUUUUCCUAUAACAAUUUUAGUGGAACAGUCCCAUUAUGGUUGUCAGAAAAUAACACAAAAUUAGAAGAUCUCCUCUUGUUAGGUAAUUCUUUCACUGGUCCUCUCUUGUUAUCACAGCUUCUUAAUCCUAAUAUGUCUUCAAUUGACAUAUCUAAUAACAAAUUACAAGGUCAAAUUCCAACAAAUAUAUGUUCAAAUUUUCCAAAUUUGGAAUUCUUAUUCUUAUCUAAGAAUGCCAUUAAAGGUAAUAUCCCUCCUUGCUUAGGUGGCAUGAACACUUUAUCAGUUUUAGACCUAUCAGACAAUCAUUUGUCUGGAAGAGUACCAGAAGAGUUGGUCAUGAGAAGCUCAUUAGGUAUUCUUAGGCUAUCAAAUAACAAUCUAAGUGGAAUGAUUGUUCCUAUGAUGUUCAACACAAGCAAGUUGUCAAAUUUGUAUUUGGAUGGUAAUAACUUUGCUGGAGAGAUUCCGGAUAUUGAUGUUUCUGCUACUGAUUUUUCACAUUCAUCACUAGAGGAAAUUGAUCUCAGUAAUAACAGUUUUAAUGGAAAGCUCCCAAGAUGGAUAGGGAAUGUAUCGCAUUUGAAGAGAUUGGCUUUGUCCAAUAAUCAUUUCGAAGGUUCUAUUCCAAUGGAUUUGUGCAACUUGUAUGAGCUUGAAUUUUUGGAGCUUUCUCAAAACAAUUUAUCUGGCUCUAUUCCUUCUUGUUUCAAUACACCAUAUUUGAGACAUGUCCACUUGAAGAGAAACAAACUAAGGGGUCCAUUGACAUUUGCUUUUAACAGUUCUUCAUUAGUGACAUUAGAUCUUAGAGGGAAUAAUUUAACCGGUAAUAUUCCAAAAUGGAUUAGCACACUUUCUGCUUUAAGCGUCCUUCUUUUGAAAGAUAAUCAUCUAGACGGUGGAAUUCCAGUUCAAUUAUGCAAGUUGUAUUCAUUGAGCAUCGUAGAUCUUUCUGGAAAUAUGUUUUCUGGUCAUAUACCUUCUUGUUUGGGUAAUUUAACUCUGGCAAUGAACAAGGAAAAGUCUUUUGUAGAUAACUCUUGGUAUAUAGGAUAUACAAUGAAGGAUCUAUCUAUUUCAAUUAAUUCACAUGGUUAUCCCAAUAGCUACAUGGUAGAAGAGAUAGAGUUUACAACAAAGAGUAUGUCCUACACAUAUGGUGGUGACAUUCUUGAGUAUAUGUCUGGGAUUGAUUUAUCUUGCAACAAGUUAACUGGGCAAAUCCCACUCGAAUUGGGAAACUUGAGUGAAAUCCAUUCGUUAAACUUAUCACACAAUAACUUGAUCGGAGUCAUACCCUCAUCAUUUUCAAAGCUUAAGCAAAUCGAGAGUUUGGACCUUUCUUAUAACAACUUGACUGGUAGAAUCCCUGUACAGCUGGUUGAGUUGAACUCUCUAGAGGUUUUCAGCGUGGCACACAACAACUUGUCAGGUAAUAUUCCAGAACCAAAAGCUCAGUUUGGGACCUUUGAUGAAAGGAGUUACGAAGGAAACCCUCUUCUCUGUGGAGCUCUAUUGCAAAAUAACUGCUUUAAAACUGAGUCACCAUCAACAGCACCAACUACAGAAGACGAUGAAGGAGAAGGUAGUUUCAUGGACACAUAUGUUUUUUGUGUGAGCUUUCUGGUUUCAUAUGUAAUUGUUUUAUUGGGAAUUUCUAUUGUUCUAUACAUAAAUCCAUAUUGGCGACAAGCAUGGUUUUCUUUCAUUGAGAGUUGCAUCACUACCUGUCGUUACUCAAUUGUGGGCAAUUUUCUUGAGUUAUACAUCUUCAAAAGAUGUGCUUAGGUGUCAUGGGAGCUCUUAUGAUUUGCCUUUUGUUUAAAUGUGGUGAAGACAUGGAUAAAGUUGAUUUUUGUUGUCAGAAGAAGUUUGGUGAUUUGAUCUUUUAAAUGGGGGAUUUCUUUUAGCUUACUGUUUUGUUAAAAUAGUUGUAGGAAGAGUUGUGGAUUUUGCACUUUGAACAGAGCUUUAUGUCUCUGUCGAAACUCUGUUUUUGGUAUUUGUUUUGUUUUGAAGGAAGCCUGUAGCUUUGUGUCUUGUUGAUUUUAUUUUCUACACAAAUAUUCAAUUCUCUAUUCUCCAUCAUCUACAAGUUAUUAUUAAUAUCUUUUCCAAGUUAUUAUUCAAAUUGGCAAAUUUUUCCUCAUUAGGUUUGACUUAGUUUUGAGCUUCUAGUAAAUGAUUUCUGGCAUAAAUUGUAGCGAAGGCAAAGAUUGCUGGCUAUGGCCUACCAAGAACUUUCUAAAGUUGUAUUGGUUGGAUUCAUUUGUUUUAACUAGAUUUUAUAUCGAUCGUUAAAAAGCUUUUUCAAUUUAUUUUCUUUUGAUGCUUAAAAAUUAGUAUUUUAAACAAAAAACAAUUACUAAUUCUAUUCAUAUUAAAAAUAAUAUGAAAUUUAAUUCAAGAAUGUGUUUUUUUUUUUUUUUCAAUUUCUCAUUUCUAGCUCUUUUAUAGAGGUUUAUUUUUAUUUAAAUUACUUAAUAUUGUUGUCUUUCGAAAAUUAGUGUUAGUUUAUAAAAUGGACCAAAUAAGCAUUUGAUGUUGAAAAUAUCAUUUUGAUCGCAAAAUGCAAUUAUUUUCUUUUAUAGGGUUACAAAUUAUUCCGAAAUAAAAAAUUAGGUUUAUAUAUCUCAUACACAUGCAAACCCCAUCAACUAAAUAAAUUAAAUGUUGAAUCUCCCAAAGCAACAAUGAGAUCAUGACUUAGUAGUUAUGUUAUAAACGGUGUUAGCCAAUGAGAUCAUGACUUAGUAGUUAUAUUAUAAUUUAUUAGUUCAUUAUUCAGUAAUUGUAAUUUGAUUAUGAUAUAAUAAUUGAUUAUUCAAUUAAUUAUAUGAAUGUAAUACUUGAUUAUGAUUAUAACAAUUAAAAAAAACUAGAAUUUUUGAAUCCAUUCUUUGCAUGGUUAAUUUUUAUUUUAAAAAAAAGCUUAAAUAAUAUAUACCAUAUAAAUAAUGAUUUCAAAAGUUCAAAGAGUUUCUCUUUAAAAAAACAACCUUCAUACUACUUUAUUCAAAAAUAAAAAAUUAAAAAUAAAUUUAAAAAACAUAAAAAAUAAUAAAAAUAAAACAACAAAGGUAUCAAAGGAAAAAACAAUUAAAAAAAAAAAGAAUAACCUUAUAUCUAAUUGUAGCAUUUCCAUGAAAGAAAAUGAAAUAAUGGAGUAAAAUCCCCAUCCUCUUUCACCGCAAAGAACUUAUGUGUAAAUUUGAUCACAUAUAAACCAAUAAAUAAUCAUAAAAUAAGUACACCAGGUCUACAAAUAAUUAAUAAUUGGUAUACAAAGAUUACAAAAAAUUAAACACAUUUUAUUAUUUCUAAUAAAAUUGAAUUAUAUUAAUUUUUUAAAAUGUUUAUUUUUAAAUCAUUGAUUAAUGGAGAAUGAGAAGAGAUUAAAAUUAAUCUAUACCUUACUACUAAGGAUCCAGAACAUCAACUUCACAUUUGUAAAUUGAAUUACUUAAUUUCAUUUAAUGACACUUGUCCUAAAAAAUUAUAUAGGGUUUGCAUCUGUGAAGUAUCGAUUGGAAACUAUGGCUAUAGUCACGGGCGUAGAUAUGAAUAUAUAUAAAUAUAUAUAUAUAUAUUCAUAGAAUUUUUUGGUUUUUUUUCUACAUUGAUCCAACUAAAUUUAAAUUAAAAUAAAAAUAAAUAAAUAAAUAAAAACUAUAUAUAUUCAUAGAAAUUUUUGGUUUUUUUUCUACAUUGAUUCCACUAAAUUUAAAUAAAAAUAAAAAUAAUACAAAUAAAAUUUAAUCUAUUUUAUAAAACAAAAUACAAGUAAAAUGACUGAAAAAAUCAAAUCUAUUAUACUAUAAUAGUUGUCCAAUUAUGUACAUGGAUACACUCAAACAAUUAUAUAUCGAGAUUAGCAAUUAUAAAAUAAUGUUAUUCAAUAUUUUUCUAAUAAUGGGAUAAGAUAUAUUUAAAUUUAUCAUUUAUAUUUUAGAUCUGGGGAAAGGAGAUUAGGUUGGGUUAAAUUAAUGUUAGAGGGGUUUAUCAUUUAUAAUUGUUUCAAAAAUAUAAUCUAUUUAUAUAUUGUUGAAUUAUAUAAAAAAUGCUAAUAAUCUUGCAGUCAUUUGCUAGUUAAUAUAGCAUUAAACUCCUAAUUUUUAUGAUCAUAAUUUUAUUCUUGACAUAUUCAAAUACCAAAAAAUUAAGAGUUUAAAUUUAUAUUAGAAUGAUCAUUGAUAAGUACUAUACACUUACCAGCAUCAAAUCAAUAUUGAUUGUAAAUCUUAACACUAAUUAACUUAUUUAAAAAUAAUUAAUUAAAAUAAAAUUAAAAAAAAUUAGGACAGCCUAAAUCGUUUUCUCAAAUCUUCAUUUAAAAAAGUUGAUAAAAACCUAAGAUAAAAUGUUAAUCACUUAUAAAAAAAAACAAAAUUCCCAAUGAAGAUUUGAUUCCAUUCUCUUUUGUUGUUUGCUAUGGAUGGCUGUAACUUCUAAAAAAUGAUAAAUAUUUAUGGAAGUGAUAUCAGUGCGGUGUUGUUCUCAGAGACUGCGAGGGUAAUAUUAGAAGUUUGUUUUAUGGCCCUCUUGGUGAUCAGAAGUCAAAUACUGCAGAAGUUUAGCCCAUUAAGACUGCGCUUCAAAUGUUUUCUUCUUCACCUCGGCUGGGAAAGGGAGCUCUAGUUUGGAAUCAGAUUCAAAAGUAUCAGUGAGUUGGGUGCGUAAUAAGAAUGCCAGACCAUCGAAACAAUGGCUGAUAUUUGCGGAAAUUUAUAAGCUAGUGGAAAUCAUAGGAGAGGUUAAGUUUGUACACAUUUUUAAAGAAGCCAAUUACUUUGCUGAUUCAUUGGCAAGGAAGGGGGUAGACAGUCUUAGCUUGUUUUAUGCAUGGCUGUAAUAUGAUAAUAUUUCCUGUGGUGAAUAGGCAGUUUCUGGAAAUAUUGUUAUCAGUUGUAAACACUGUUUCUGAUCAAUAAAAUUUUUUUGACUGAGAAAAAAAAGAAACGAGGAGAAGUUUUCAAUCCAUUUUUGAUUAAAAAACCUAUAGCCUCAUCUAAAAGAGGCAAUUUUUAAUCAAAAUUAAUGAAAAUUUUGAGAAGAUGAGAAAAGAGAGGAGAAAAUUGCUAGAGUUUCUUCAUUUUCUCAUUAAAGCUCUAUUUCGUUUUUUUUUUUCAAUUAAUUGUUAGUUAUUACUAGUUGAAUAUGUUAAUUAAAGAGAAAGGUUAUUAUGGAUUAGUUUGGUUUCACUUUCAUACAUAAAUAGGUUAGUUAAGGAUUAAAGGUUAUUAUAAAUUAAUUUGGUUUCGUUCUCAUAAAAGCGAAAUAUUAGUUUCAAUCUUUUAAAAAAUUAUAAUAUGGUAUUUUAUUAUUGAUUUUCAAAAAUUUGCUUUUAGGAUCAUUAUGAUGUUAGUGAAACCCAAAAAAAUAUAUAGUAUAAAUUUUUUACAUAUAAUUAAAUAUUAUAUGACUUCUUAUUAAAAAAAAAUUUUAAAUAAGCCAUCAGUUAUGUGGAAAAAUGUCUUUGAUUUAAGAAGGGAUUUCUGUUCGAGCCAUUGCUAAGAAAAAUGGACAUUUCGUGAGGAAUUGAUAGUGUCACCUAAUGCAUCCUUCAUGGCAAAUAAAGAGAAAACCAAUCUUUUUUUUCCUUUUCCUUUUUGCUAUUUUUUCACAAAUUUUGGAUUGCCAUUUUUGUUUAAUUUGGGCUUAGAAAGCCCCAAAAUAAUUUGGGUUGCCUUUCCUUUUCUUUUUUCCUAUUGGUCUCUUUUUCUUUUUUGUGUUUUGUAAAAAUUCUUUUUACAAAAAUACAAAAAAGUGGAUAUAUAUCUAAAAAAGUGCAUGUAGGCAGAUUUUUUUUUUUAAAGUGGAUAUAAGCAUGUAUCUUUUAAUUUUAAAUUUUUUAUAAUAUUUUUUUGAUUUUUUUUUAUCAAUUCUCCCAACUAAACUUGUGUCAUUCAUUUGACUCGUAACGUGAGUUUUAACCAAAAAUUUUAUAUUAGCACUGGACUUUUAACAUAGUGCAAAACAUGUUUUGAACAAAAAAUUGUGUUCUGAAAAAAAUAAUAUCUAAAAAAAGAUGCGUAAUAUUUUUAAAUUGAAAACACAUUUGUAUCUUUUAUUUAAAUUUUUUGUAAUAUAUAUAUUUUUUGCCAAUUCACCCAACUAGUUGCUAUCACUUGAAAUAUCAAAAUCAAUCGGAAGUGUAUGACUAUAGAUAUCUAUACUAAUAUUAGAGGGAUGUUAUACGGUUAAAACCAAAUAUUAUGUCGAUCAAUGCAAGGAAGCGAUGUAAAUGCAGUAAGCACUCAGAGUAGAGGGAACAACCAGGAGGUGUGGAAAAGAAUAUGGUCUCUGCAGGUUUCAACCAAGAUUAGAACUUUCAUGUAGUGGGUUUGUCAUGAUAUUAUAUAGCUAAUGGUUAACUUGGCAAGAAGGCAGAUUCCAAUGGAAAAAACUUGCUUGCGGUGCAGGGGUGGUGAAUGUUCAUGAGCAACAGAAGUGUGGGGACACCUAAACUAUUAGUGGGAGAUGAUAACGAAGUGCAGUAAGAGAGUAUAGGUUGGUUCCCUGAGAUGAUUAUGAAACUUAAGCACAAUUGUUGGCGAUAACAUGAUGGACAAUAUGGAAUAGUCGAAAUUAUGAGGCUCUCGGAGAGCAAAGGAGGAGUUCCCUCCGGUCAGCAACAUUCGCCAAAACUUACUUGCUGGAAUUCACCAAGCUCAGUAGAAGCAGAUCAUAAUUCUGCAAACGCCAAAUGGUAUCUCAAAAAUGAAAACUCCCAGUUAGUGACUGCUAUAAAAUAAACUUUGAUGGGGCCAUUGACAGAGAGCAAAAAAUUAAAAUUAUAAUGAUAAAAUAUAGUUAAAGGAUAUUUUUUCUUUUAAUUUUCAAAAAAACUACAUACACAUCUAAAAUCACAUAAAUUUUUUUCAACUCACUUUUUUUUUCAUUUUUCACCUAGAACAUUAUCAUUUUCGAUAGAUUAAAAAAAGUGAUAAUCUAUAUAGAUAAAAUAUGAUAAGACUCGAAAAUAUUAAAAUAAGUUAUCUCAUAUCUAAUAAAUUAUCAAUAUCAUAUAGUCUUAUAUUCAAGUUGAAUCUCUUCAUUUAUUAUCAAUUAAUUUUAAAUUGUAUACUUAACAUGAUAUCAGAGUCAAGAUUUUUCUUCCAUUGUUCUUUUUUAAUUUGUUACGUGAAAAGUUUCUUUCAUUUUCACCUAUAUGUGACGGGGUCUAUUAAAAUGAGUUAGUUUAUAUCUAAUAAAUUUUUAAUAUCCUAUAAUCUUAUAUUCAAGUUGUAUCCUUUCACUUGAUAUCAAUUGAUUUUAAAUUGAAUACUUAAUAAAAAACAUGCUUACACUGGACCACUAAAAUAUAUGAAAACUCUGUUUUAUUUAUAGGAUAGAUGUUUUCAACAUAUAUAUAUAUAUGCAAAAUUUUUCUUUGAAAGGCUAUAUAUUUGUUUGUCUACUAUUAUGACUAAUGAAAUUACACAUAACUUGCUUUCAAAAAAGUACACAUAUAACUUUCACAUAAAAUUCUUGAUUUUUUUAAGUGUAUGCUAGAAAAAUAAGGUUAUAUGUUUAUAUAUAUAUAUAUAUAUAUAUAUAUAAAUAAGGUUAAAUGAAUAUGAUGUUAGAUAAAUACAAAAAAUCACCAAAAGAAAGUUAAGAAUUAAGAUGAUGAUCAAUGAUUAUCAACUAAUAAUUGAUAAAAGUAAUAGGAGGGAUUUUUUAUUUGGCACUAUAGGAAUACUUCUUUUAUAAGUAAAAACCGAACUUAAUGGAUGCACGAAUUUGUUUUUAUUUUUGACACCGGUGCCAUUAGAAAAAAAAAAUUAUAAUACUUCUUUUUCCUUUUUUAACUUAAAACUUGUAAUAUAAAACCUUUACCAUUAAAUUUUGUGAAAAUACAUAAAUUUAUUUAUUUAUCCUCAAAGAAUAUAAUUUAAACAUAUUGUAUUCAUUUAAGAUAAUUAAAAAUAUUUUAAAAAUUUUACUCGGAAAUAUUUUUUAAGUAAUUUUGAAAAUAUAUUCUUUUAUAGUAUUUGAUAAUUUUGAAAUGUCUAUUACAGAAGUUUUAUUUUAAUUUUUAAUGAAAAUAAUAUGACAGUAAAAGAGUUGGAUUAAAAUGUUUUAUGUAAUAUUUAAAUUUUAAAAUAUUUUAAUAUAAUAUUUAAAAUUAUAAUUUAAUUAAUUAAUAUGAUACGUUUUUUUGUCAACUGUCUUUAUUUAAAAUUUACAAAAUUAGAAGUAAAUAUAGAUUAAUUAAUAAAUAUAUAAUUUAAAAUUAUAUAAAAAAAUUUUUAAAUUCGAAUAUUUACUUCUAAUAUUUAAAUUAAAAACGCCGACAAUACCAAACGCAACCGGCAAAAUUUCUUCCCUCCGCCACCGCCCCCACCGUUUUCUCUCGGCUCAGUAUCGAGCUCCAAAUAAACGCAUCCCUCAACCAAAAUUUUACCCCCCAAAAAAAACUCUUCUCUCUUUCGCUCGUCUCCUCAAACGUCUCUAUUUUCCUUUAUUCUGCUCUAUUUUGAACAAAAAAAGACUUUUCUUCACUUAUUUUUCUAAUAUCUCUCACUAUCUCUCUCGAUGCCCUAGCCACCUUCCCUCACCGGAACUCCACGGGGCGCGUCGUACCGCCGGCGAUAUCUGUGGCACUAAACUUCCGGUUUGGUUUGUCUUUUUUCUAUUGGAUUCUGGAAUUAUCUUUGAAUUUGGAUUUGAUUACGCAAAAAAAUCGAAAAUGACGGCGUCGAGGAUUUGUUAGGGUUUUAAUCUUGAUGGCUGGGACUCGUAAAAGGGGAGGGAAUAAAUCAAAAGUUAAGAAUUUAAGUUUAGGAGAUCUUGUUCUUGCCAGUCAAGGGUUUCCCUGCUUGGCCUGCCAAGGUCUCUUCCUUUUUCUCUUCCCUUUUAUUUUAUUAUUAUUGUUACUUUCUUUCAUCCUGAGUUAUGGGUACUUUAUAUUUUGAUGAUUAAAUUUUUAAUUUCUUAUAUGCUUAUUUGAACUUAUAUAUUUGAAUAAAUCCAUGAUGAGUUUGGGAUUUUUUUUUUUUAAGUUUUGCAUGAUGUUGUUAAGUUUAUUUUAUGCUUACAUUGUCAUACUUUGUAUUUUAUUUGUUGCUUUUAUACUCAAUUUGUUUCCUUUAGUAAAUUUUGUUUUAUUUUGUGAAAGGCCUAUUUUUGGAGUUCAAAGUUUUGCCAUGCUUAUGUUAGCUGAUUGUGUUUUUAGUGUUUCAGGUUUGGUACUUUGCCUGUUUAUCAAUUGGGUUACUUAAUGCAACUAUGCAAGUUCUUUUUUUUUUUUUGGACUGAAAACAAGUCGGACAAAUGUGUGUUUUUUUUUUUUUUUGGCUGCAUGCUAGAUUUUUGAUCCUAGAAAGUGUCAUCAGAAAUUUAGUGAGGAAUUUUCAAUUUAUUUUUUUGUUUUUAUUAUUUUGUUACUUAGAACUCAGUUGGUUUGUUGUGAUUUUGGUUUAUGGUUGGUUUUUGAGGUAGAUUCUAUGGGCUAUAAAUUUCAGAUUAGCCGGCCUGAAGAUUGGGAGCAAGAACCUGACCAUAGGAAAUAUUUUGUCCAAUUCUUUGGAACACAAGAAAUUAAGUAUUUUUGUGUUCAAUUUGAACAUGUUUGGUGAAUGACGGAGAUGGCAACAUGAUGAAUAAAGAUAUGUGAUGUGUCUGUUUUAGGGUUUGCAUCUGUUUUCAGGUAGGAGAGAAACCACAUUUACCAUAAGAUGGAACAUGAGGUAAAUACAUGAAAGGUGUUACUGCAUAAUUUCUUUAAAAAAAUAUUAAUUUUUUUGUAUUCCAAAUAACUUGUUAUCUAUGUCAAUCCAAGCAGACAAACCUUGAUGUACACUUUUUCAUUUCCUGUCAAUGUUGUUCACAUAGGGUGCUUGCUGACUAGAGGAUACAUUGAAACUGACUUGAUUUAUUCUAUCUCUGUGCUGUCUGUAUACAUCGUUGCUUUUCUUUCCAUCCAGCUCCUGUGAUCAAGAAAUUGUAGGAUGCACAUUGUAAUAUCAACAAGGGGAAAAUUGUAAUAGGUAGGGCUCUAUGCUGAGUCCUCUAUGUGUUACAGUACUGAACCCUAGGCAGCUCUGUCAUUUAGCUUUAGGUUGCAUGAUAUAAACUCAUGGAAGCUCACCAUUCUAAUGUUCAGGGAGUACUCUUUCGCAGAUGUGAUAGUCAUGCAGAUUAUCUGGGAAUUUUAUGUCUUAUAGUUUUUUUCAUAUGAUAAUUUGAGAAAUGGUGAGAUGUCCUUUGGGUAACCGACCUUUUCAAUCUAGGAUGCAGAAAAUCAAAUAUUGAUACAAUGACAAAUGGUGCAAUAUUUUUCUACUUCUACAGGUUCUUGAUAUAGAAUGUGCAUCUUAUGUUGCCUUAAUUAAUCUUUUUUAAUGUAAUUUUAAUAUUUGAGUUAUUAUUUCUUUUGGAGUAGUGAGAGAUAUCUUUCCUCCAUUUUGUGGUUGUUGUUAGCUAACAAUGCUUAGGCUCUUAAUACAUGUGUAUUUGUGGGUUGUAGUGAAUGUUGAAGUCAUAUUGUUCAACAAAGCAAUGUGUUUAGCCUAAUUAGUAGGCAUGAUCAUUUCUUUACCACUAAAUCGUAACUGUGCUGAAUUUGAAAUUUGGUGUAGCUUUUUUGGUGUUUGAAUUGAAUGGCAUUGCAAAUUUACUUUUUUUUUUUUAUUGUUGGUGUUAAAUGGAUUUGUGGUUUAGUUAUUUUUGUAUUCUAUGUUAGAUUUAUUCUCACAUUUACAUUAACAUAGAACUUAGAAUUAUUUUUUAAAAUUUAUUGUUGAUAAUGACCAAUCUUGAUGGAGGAUUUAUUUGUAGUAUAUGGCUGUAACACAUUUAGGGUGCAAUAAUGGAUCUUUAUUUUGUGCAAUGGAACUUUUAUGUUUGUAUAAUGGAUCUUCUUGAAUGUUGAUUGGACAGUUUUUGCAGCUACAAGUAUCUUGAAAAGAAAUAAAGUUCAAACGAAUCUUGUAUAUAUUUGGAAAUAAAAAGUUUUUCAGUUUUACUAUCAUGUCAAGGUUUGCUUGAAUAAAUUACUUAAGUUGUGUCUCAGUAGCCUCCCAAAUUCUAACCAUGAAUUAGAGGAGCAUUUCUGGUUCUGGUUAUAUUCUAUAUGUUAUAGUUGAGCAGAUUGAGAUUUUAGCUGAAGUUUGUUAAGCGUCAACAUGUGGUGGUUUAGAUAUGGUAUGCUCGGAAGCCUUGAGUAAUGGUAUUUUAAAUGCCCUGAAAAUGAGUACAGGUGGAGUUUUCCUUAGAAACAUUUGCAUAAGUCAUUUAUUUAUGUGGAACCAUUGAAGUGGUUUUGGGAUAUUCGUUUUUUUGAACUUUCAUCUGUCAGGGCUUUCUUUUGGGAUUUUUUUCUCUAAAUUCUUAGACAUUUUGUUCUAUCCAUAUUGCAUAUUUAUAAUCAUGGUUAAGCUGUGAAUGCUUAAUCCUUAACCUUGGAUGUAAACUUUAUUCCCUUUUGGAUCAUAAUGACUGGACGAAGAUGCUUCUGCUCCUGAAUUAUGUAGAAGACAUUUUAGUUUGUUGAAAAUAGAAUCUGUUCUUCCUGUCUUUUGUUUAUUUUUUAAUAGUUGGUUAUAUAUUUUCCCAUAUUCCUUUAGGGCAUCAUGUUCAUGCACAUGUGAGCAAGUUGAUAAAUUUAAACAUCUGCAUCUUUUUUUUUCCCUUAAAGAUAGUGUUUAUGUAAUCAGAUUUUCAUAUUUCAUUUUUGAAGCUUUUGACUCUGCAUUUUUAGUGUAAAAAGGAGCAAUGCUUUUCAUCCCAGCGAAGAGAUGCAUGCAUGGAUCGUUAUUUUUUCUUACGCUACUCUUUGAACUUCAAUUCACUUGUGUUCUAGUUGUUUUUUUCCCACCAUGUUUUUCUUCUUUUAAAGAGCUUUUGUUGCACCUGGCAAUAUUCAAGCGUUUACCAUUGAGACAGUAAAUUGUUGGGUUAAGUAUCAAGUUGUUAAAACCAAGUACUUUGUCCAAGCUGUGAAGGAAAUCUGUGUGGCAUUUGAUGAAUUACAUAAAGAGAAGUCCAUUGGUUUGAAGAUGAAACUGAUAGAUCAACACCUGGCUGUGAGACUUCAUCUGUUGAUGGGGUUGAGGAUGACGGUGCAAGAUGCAAAAAUGCAUUUGAGAAAUCCAAAGAUGUUGAACAGCCAUUGAAAAAAAAAAAAAAAAGAAAUGAAAUGAAGUAUGGUUCUCAGGGCAUUUGAACUUAUGGAAAAGUUAGUGGGAGUGCCAACAAAAACAAGAUCCAAGGUAACUAUACAAUUGGCUGAUUUAAUGUCUUCUUCAUAUGUUGUGGCUCUCUAAUUAAAUAAUGUAAUAAUUUGUUAAUAGGGAAAAUAAUUAUUGAAAAUAAACAUCCUAAUCAUGUUAUUUACAAGGGAUGUGUAGCUGUGGAGAAUUUUAUUAUAACUGCAACAAUAGUUGGCUUCCUUAAUUUUGCCAAGAAUAUAUUGUCUGAAAAUAAGAAAUAGAUGUGUCCAUGAACUAAGAGGAGCCAAGCAUGGUUAAAAC
Molecule: long non-coding RNA, 100186 nt
Filed under: Durio zibethinus
Lineage: Eukaryota; Viridiplantae; Streptophyta; Magnoliopsida; Malvales; Malvaceae
Description: long non-coding RNA (DZIB_LNC001575)
Source: RNAcentral